CUUAAGGUUAGUUUAGCGUUGGUGUCAGACGUAGUUAGUCCCACGUUAACUAAAAAUGACCUAAAUGAAAGAUAUAUAAGAGGGUGAUUCGUCGUUGUUGCUACUGGACCGACUUGCAUUAAUAGCUUAUAAUAUAAAUUUCCUUUUAUUGUAUUAGGUAUUGAUGGGAUUAAGCUUAAAGAUGGUCGUCUAUUGAUUGCAUAUAAUACAAUUUCAAGGGGUGUGCUUAAACUUGCUCUCUCUGAGGAUGAUGGUGAUUCAUGGCACCAGGCACUUACAUUAGAGGAUACUGUGGGAAUGGAAUUUUCAUAUCCUGCUGUUAUCCAAGCUAGUGAUGGGAGAGUCCAUGUCACCUAUACAUAUAAUAGAACUCAAAUUAAGGUAUAUAUAUUAUGCAUAUGGCAGUUAUACUUUCUUCUUUUGAUGGCAUUAGCAUCAUUCUGUAAAGAUGAUGGCAUGCAUUUUUUUAUAUAAUUGAUUUGACUAACUUUUUUCCUUGUUUUUAUUUGGACAGCACGUUGUUGUUAGGCCAAGGUGAUGCAGACCAACUUGUUUUUUCAGACAGAGAAGCAUAGAAAACUAUACAAUUUAUGCAUGCAAUUCAUAUGGCCUUUUUUUGUGAAUGAAAAGGGGGCAAGCCCCGACAAAAAGAAAAACGAAAAACUAGAAGCCUAUAGGAAAGGUUACAAAACUACGAUCAGCCAACAAGGCUUGCGACACAAUGCUAGGAACAAUUCCAGACGACCUCAAAUCAAAUUUUGCAAAAGCAUCUGCAACUUGGUUAGCCUUGCGAAAAAUAUGUUGCACCUUAUAACUCGACAAAUCUCAAACGCAAUCGGUGAUUUUGAGAAACCAAGAAGCAAUGACGACUUCUUCCACACCCCUUCAAAAUGAGCGAAAGAGCAGCUUGAGAAUCUGAUCCAACCACUAUCUUUCUAAAUUUAUACUCCAGAGCGCUUAAAGGCAAAAUGUAUAGCUCAAAGUUCAGCCACUGAUAGAACAAGCACCAAAAUUAGAUGACAAACCACACGAGUAAUUUUCGUCUUGAUCAUGGACAACCCCCACCACACGUUGCACGACCUCCAAAAUCGGUAACAGCGCCAUCUCCAUUAAAUUUAAGCCAACAUUCUUACAGAACCAACCACACACUGCUACUUAGACUCUCCACAUAAUUAUGAUGCAAAUUUAACUUCAAAUUUUGAUCAAUUUUUUUAAAAGGGGGUCAAGAAUGUUCUCCAUUCUUCCCCUUCGUAACUCAUAUCCAGUACUGUCAUUUGAUUGUAGAUAAUUUGUCUUACCAAUUAAGUUGCGCUUUAAAUUUAAACGAGAAUAGAAUGGUUAAAGAGAAGUUUGUCUAAAAGAAGUUCAACGAAAUAUAGUUAUACAUAAGUUAACUUUUGAGUUAUCAUGGAUAUAGAUGAACUGAUUUCUAGCUUGGCAACUUAUAAUUGUUCGCUACGAGUUAAAAAAAUAUUAUAACAACCGAACUAAUUGGUUUGUUGUUCAUUAUAUAUAUGUUGUAGGAGUAUAACUUAUUAUGCUAUAUACAACAUUGAUGGUGACAAUUUAUUAUGAUCUUAGAAAAUAUUCAUUUAUAUGGAUAGGAAAUUUUAAUUUUUGAAGUAUCACCCAUGAGUCAAGUAUUAUUUCUUGCAUAUGCAUGCAUAGUUAGAUUAAUUUCAGACUAGUAAUGAUAUUCUUAAAGAAAAUAAAAGCUGGUGGCCAUAUCCUGUCAGGUGAUGCAGAAACAAAUAAACAUUUCAAAUCAGUGGCAUUAUAUUGUAGUUAAAAGUUAAAAGUUAAAAUUAAAAUUCGUUGAAUGUGAACGCAACAUGUAGUGAUCAAUCAUCCAUCUGCCAAUCACAGCCGUGACAUGACAUUGAUAUAGUACGCGCAAACAACAGUUACGAGUGGAUUUUGAUUUAGGUCAACACUUCCACAUAACAGUGCAUUUUUUAGGGCUCAAAUCAAUUUUGCUUUCUUAUCUAUGUCGUUUUCUUUCAUUUUUUCACAUUUACACCAGCAGCAACCCUCAUCACGUUUUUGCAUUAACUAAAACCUACUUUUCUUUCUCUUUUUAUCACCUAGUUAGAUUAGUUAGGAUUUAGUUUAUCUAAUUUUUUUUUUUUUUUUUUUAAAGUUGAUCAAAUUGACUAUAUAAUUUUUAAUGUACAGCUACUUAAUGUAAUAAUUCUCUCGUAAUCAAUAUUAUUGUUUCCAUUUCAUUUUUCGAAUCAAGAAUUUAAUACUUUCACUCCAAUUUCUACUUUACUUAACAUGGAAUGGAAAAGUGAUUCAAGGUGUGUUUGGUUAUGCCAUAACAUAAUUCUAUUUUUAAUGAAUUGAUUUUGUAAAAUCGUCUAUGGAUAAAAGUGAAUCGAAAGCAAAAUAAUUUAUGUUUAGAUAUUAUUUAUGUAAAAAUGGAUUUAACAAUAAAUUUAAAGUCUAAAUCAUUAAAAAAAAUUAGUCUAAAAUCAAUUGUAGAAGUCAAAAACCUACAAAUUCUAGCUUCUACUAUAAUCAAUUCUACAAGAAAACAAUUAAUUUUCACUUGAAUAAUUCAAACAUAAAAAAGUCAAUUAUACGACCUCUAAAAUUAAUUUUGAGUCCUCCAACAUACUACACAGAAAAACAAAAGGAGCAACAACAUAAAUAGAAAAUAUUGGCUUUAUUAUUUGAGAAAUGAUAUUUUGACAACCAACAACUUAUGUGACAACUUUAUCUCUUAUACUCACAUUAUUUUUUUACUUUCUCUCUCUAUUGUUUUAGUUUCCGUGUCACUAUCUACUUUCCUUUGUAAAUUAGUGGUUGUCACAAAAGUUGUCAUUCAAUUAGUUGUUCAAAUAACACAGCUCUUAUUAUUUAUAUCAAAGAAAAAAAAGUCAAGGGCAUGCUCAUGUAAUGGAAAAGAUCCUUACUCUUUGUUAAGACAACUUAGUUCGUGACUACAAAGACAUUGAUAUGUAGGGAGUACAAAUAUAAAUUCUGUAAAUUUCAAGUACUAUUUAGUAUGUGGCAAAAAUAAAAAUUUGAAGCAAUUAUAAAAGAGUGAACAUUAAAAGUUUUUUUUUUUUUUUGAGGGGUUUAAAAGAAUUAAAUAACCUCAAUAUUUAUAGUGAUAUCAAAUUGAAAAAUUCACAAAAUUUGACCUUGAAUUUGUACCGCGCUAUCAAAAAGAUCUCUAACUCUAUUAAACUCUCAAAUUAGUCUACAUAUUUAAUCACUUACUAGUAUCAAUUUAGUAUCAUAUUUUAACUAGUUACUGUCAAUUUGAUUUUUAAGCUUAUUCACUUACUAUCACUUUAGUCCCUAGCAAAAAACCUUUUUAAAAUAUUCAUAAAGUCAAUGACCUAUUUGAGAGUGAACUACAAAAUCAAAGAUUAAUUUGAUAGUUUACUCAAUAUCAAAUUCAUUAAAUUACUUCUCAUGAAAACAUUGAAUUAAGUUGCUUUCAUUUUAAUUAUAAAGAUAUUGAUAGAUAAACAAGUUUAAAUAUUUUAUUUGCUUUUAAAUUCUUAAAUAAAUUAAAGCAAAAAACUUGUGAAUGCAAAUAUUUGCAAAUGAAAAGUAUAUAUAAUUUGCAAAUGAAAAGUGUUGUUUUUGGAUUUUAAAAUUACGACAGAGCUUUGAAACUAUUACCGGGGUGAGUCACGACCAGGUCGCUUUCUUUAAGACGUUUCGCGGCACUACCUAAAUUGUGCAAGGUAGACUAGCAACCGCGCCGUCUCCAGGAUAAAACAGCCCAGAUUCUUUCUGUACGAUUAAAGGCUGCACUGCUAGAAAUCGCUCGAGAAUAACACCUCAAUAUGGUUUCGAAAAACCACUCUAAUAUGGCACGUAGACCACUCAAAAAACCAAAGAAGGAGGAAGAAAAGAACAGUUCGUCAACACAAACCGAGGGAGAUGAGAAGGGGAGAAAACCAGAGAAGAGGAUUCGAUUCUCGGUUUUGGAGUGAAGAAUGCUAAUCCCGAGCUCUCUAUUUAUAGAGGGGAUUUGACCUCGUUUUAUCCGCCGACCCGGUUCGCGACCCGCCAACGUUAGCCCACGACCCGUAACGGUAACCCACGACGCGGAAACGUGGAGCUGAAGCAUGCGCGUGUGGAAAACGUGUGAGACUUGGUCUCUGCGUGGCGGGAAUCUCGGAGCAAAAAAAUAAAAAAUAAUUUUUCAUUUUUCUGAGCACCAAAAAAUAUAUUUCUUUAUAGACAAGCCCAAGCCGGUCGGACGGUGGCGUUGCGCGCGCGUGUGUCUUAUAUAUAAUUUUUUGCAAGCGUUCACUCCGUUCACAAAAGUGUGUACCCCAAAGGCACACCCUUGGAAGUGAUAUCCCACAUAUAUAAACACUACUAGAGUGUGUGAUCUACCCAAUGUAGGACAUAAAAUUUUCAAUUCACACUUUACACUAGUUUCUCCAUUCUUGUGUUUACAUUCCAAAGGCUCCACAAACCAACUAGUAUACUCCAAGUUUUUUCCAAUAUACACUAAUGUUCCAACAAAAAGUAUAUAUAAUUUGCAAAUGAAAAGUAUAUAUAAGUAAGUAUAAGUAACAUCACAAAACCAGAAAGAAAGUUUAGACAAGUACAUUAUAUUAAAUGUGAGGACGUGUAGAAAUAUCGUGAAUCAAAACAUAAAAUUAGUGAUAUAGGUACCAACAAUGACAUACUAUUUUUUUUUUAUAAUCUUCUGAUUUUUAAACAAAAGUAUCAUAUAAUUUUUUUUAGGGGAUAUAUAAUUUACUUGAUCUUUAUUUAUUUAUUUAAUAAAUAGUAUAAAAUUUAAGUUUACAAAUACUCUUCUAGACAUAAGUUAGAUUAAAAUAUACUAUAACAUUGGAUGCUCAUUGCGACCACUUAACUAAUUUAAUUCCAAUCAUCUGCGUUGAGAGACAAAGGCAUCAAAUUGUAUAUAUACCUUCAGCCUUAAGGACAAAGCAUAAUGAUGAAGAGGAAAUUUCAAAGAAGAAACCAAAGAAUGUCAGACUUGAAAGUGAGAUGAAUUAAUCACCAAAACGCUGACGCCAUAGGGUUAAUUACCAUAAAAAAAAACCGUGUUAAUUAUCAAACUAUAAAAGUACAAAAUAUAUCGACAGCUGAGCUUGGUAUACUAUGCUUAGUUUAGAAAAUUUAUGAUUUAACUUUAAGUACAAAAUAUAUACAAUAAUAAUAGUAAUAAAAAAAAAAAAGUUAUGACAUAUAUUUACUUAAGUAUGACAGGCUAAUAAAUCUAAAAGACUUUUUUGGUGGCGGAAAGUCUAGAUUUUUAGAUUUUUUAGUUAAAUAUACUUUUAAAGAAAAAUCAUUGCUCUAUUUUAUUUAUCUGAUCUUACAUGAGCAUGACAUAAGCUAAGUGCAUAUUAACCCUACUGGUUGACUUGCCCUAAUUAUUUCAAAAAACGAAUUCAAAGACCUUGAAUAUCUAUCCUCCUUUUUCCGUGUUGAAAAUAUUUUGAUGACUUAACUAUAUAGUGCACCACAAUGAAUCAAUUCAAUCCAAACCACAUAUUAAUCUUCAAGUCGAAUGAAUUGUGAUCCUUAUAGUAUUUUGAAUAGCUUGAACCAUAGUAUGGUUGGGGUUUGUCCAUGAGGUUUAGUUUAACCUAGCAUCCUUGAUUAACAAUGUUUCAAAUCUCACGUAAAAAUAUCAGUGUCACUUUAAUUAAUUCUAAUAAUAGUUUCCUUUAUUCCAAUCGUCUUUCAAAAAGAAAGAAUAGUAUGGUUUAACCAUUUAGUGAUUCUCUUUUAAAAGGGUUUGACUUAAUAUAAAUAAAUGAAACAAUGAAAAUUGUAAACUUAUACAAUAGGAGUGCUACUAGUUUUACUAUAUCAAUCUAUCAUUUGACUGAACUCAGUGAUGUCGUUAUCGUCUAUCCCAGGGAUCCCUGCUAUUAAAUAUACACCUAAACCCAUAGAUGUAUUCAACAAUGGUGAUAGCAAAGGACAGAGAUUAUCCAAUGCAAUUAUGAAUUUGGUUGGAAGUAGUUUAAUUCUCAAUAUAUAUUCCAUGCAUUUUUAAUGUGUAGGUCCUAAUAAUUAAAAUGAAUGAGAAUAGCAAUGAAUAUUGCUAGCUUCCUGAGCAGUACAUUUUACUAAAAAUGGCCUAUAUAUGUUUUUACCUGUCAUCUAGGUCACUAACUUCUAAAAUACUCCUAGUACUCUAAAUAUAAGCCUUAUUUGAAAAACUAUUUUAUCUAUAAAUGUUAGUGUACUUUAAAUUACUAGAUAUAUAAUUUAUUUUUGUACAAAAAAAUAGUUUUUGAGUGACUUUUAAAAAAUCUAAAAUAUUCGGGCCAAAAGUUGGGGGUGCAAAAAGUGAUUCUCCUAUGAUACUUCUUUUGAGUCGCUUAGCAUGCUUUUAGCCGAUGCAAUUAAUGAACGAACCUUCAAAAAAAAAAAAUAACCCUCUUUUUUUUAGGAAAAUAAUUACGCUCUCUUGAUUAUCCACUACAAAUAUUAUUAUUAGAUAGUUUAAAAGUUCACCGAUAUGUACCAUAAAUCCUAACUUAACUCAUAAAAUAUCAAAAUUGUUAGAUUUGAUGUUUUUAUUGUGGUUCGAACUUCGGCACCUCCACUUUUUGCGUGUGAAUUAUGAUAAUGAUUUUGUCAUUUUCUCUAUGUAACAAAAAAAAAAAUAUGUGAAAAAUGAUUUCUAUAUUCCCAACAUUUUUGAAAUUCAAUCAACUUUUAUAGCGAGUAUCUCCAGUCCAUUGACACUGGCAAUUAGCAAAAGCGAGUAUUAUGGAUCUUUAUUUAUUUAUUAUAUUUGUCUUUCAGAUAAAGUUAAUUAUUUUUUUAUUUAUUAUAAGGAGGUACACUAUGGAAUAUUUGAUUUAAAAAAUAAUAAUGGAAGUGCAUUAGUGCAAUCAUUGGGAAUGCAUAGUCAAUUGUUUAAUUAAAAUUAAAAUGAAAGAGCAAAAUUUGAAUAGUAGUAGAAAAUUAGACUCCUAAUUAAAAACAAUACUUUAUUUAAAAAUAAUCUAAACAACCCUAAAAAAGAAAACCUCAUUUGUAUAUUAGGUGGUCUAAUUUGACCAAUGACCAUAUACGUUAGUUAUAUAACAUAUUUUGAUCAUAUUUUUCUAAUACAAUAUAAAAAAAAAAUGUUUUUGUAUCAAUUGUAAGAUUUGUUUCAAUAAAUAUUUUUCAAAAUCAAUUUUUCAUAAUUUCUACUAACAGAUAAUUAAAUAUAUUAAAAGUCAAAAUUAUACGAUAAAAUGUGUGAAAUAAUCAAAUAGGAUACAAUCAAUUUAACUAUUGAUAGCGCUAUCGUAGUUAGAAAAUUGCUCUUUUCCCAACAAAAAAAAAAACUCACUUUCAUAUAAACUAACAAAGAUACCUCCACGUGACUUAAGUGAUGCUGAUGUUAAACAAAACGUGACUUAAGUCACAUUCGCUACAUUGACACGUCCUACAUGAGUUAACUCUCGUAUGUUAUAACCCAACGUGAGUUAACUCAUGUAGGUUAUAACCCCGGCGUGAGUUAAUUCAUGUACGUUAUAACUCAGCGUGAGUUAACAUUUGUAGGUUAUACUUCAGCUUAUCGAACGUGAGUUAACUCACGUGGAGAGUAUUUUGGUCAGUUUGUUUGAGAGUGAACGUUUUUUUUUUUUGGGAGAAGAGUAAUUUUCUUGUAGUACGGUCAAAUUUAUUAGGGCCUUUGGUAUUGAGUUGUGUUAUUUGAACAUCCAUAUAUGUGACAACUUUUGUGACAACCAAAAUUUUACAAAGGAAAUGAGGUAUUGACACAAAAACUAAAGCAAUAGAGAGAAAGUAAAAAGAUAAUGUGAGUAUGAAAAAAAAAGUUGUCACAAAAGUUGUAAAAAAUGGUUGUUCAUAUUACUAUCUCUCUGAAAGAACUGGUGUGGGUCCCUUGAAGGAAUGGGUGUCUAAAAGAUUUUUGUCACAACUUUAAUGAGCACAUUUUUAAAAACAUGGCUUUUGAAGCUUACAAGAAUCUUAAGUUAUUUACUACAACUUGAAUUGAAAGGAUUAGGUGGUAUGGUUAAAGGAUAUUACGUAUGCAAAGCAUGCUCCCUUUUCAAUGUAUAACCGGGUGACUCAUUUUCACGUCAGAGAAGAGCUUUUGUUGAUUUGUGCUAGAAAGAUAGCUAAAAGCUUGUGUGUAAAGUAUUGAUUAGUAAAGUAAAGUGUUUGAGCAUGAACAAAAUUUCAUCACCAUUAGUUAGUGGAGAAAAAGUAACUUCUCAUCUGGCUUCAUCUAAGUGGGAUUUUCUAUAGUUAGUAACACUUUAAGGAUUCCAAAGUAAUCAAAAAGUUUAAAGUAAAGAUCAAGAUGCCUUGUGUUUAUUCAAACAAAAGCUUUUUGAGGUGGGAAUUUGGCAUCUUCUCCGUAUCCCUUAUAUGAUGAAAAUUUAACAAAUGUAGAAAAAUUAAGUGGACUAUAUAUAAUAAUAGGUAUUAUAUGGGGCGGUGCUCCUCUCAUUAUAAGGAGCUACCCAGCCUUAAUCUAUAAUCUAUGAUUACCUGUGGAACGAUGAGUCAUAAUUAAUAUAUACUACAAAGCAAUUCUGUUGAAUAAUAGAUACACCCACAAUUGAUAAAUAAUAAUUUGUUUUUCACUUUUGAGAUUUUUUUAUUUUAAACUCACCUUGAGUAUAUCAUGUGAAGUAUUCUAUAUCAUAAUAUCAAGCAUCUCAUCUUCUUUGCAUCGUGUAGGAUCAAGACUUGAUAAAGAAUUAAGAGGUGGGAAUCGAAGUAAUACAUUCAAUGAAGAACAAUAGUGAAGUUUUGCGAAAGAAAUGAUGUAUUUGCAAACACUUUGAUGCUCAAGUUAGUAUUUGAUUAAAUAUAAUGCAAUAUUAUUGAAAUAGAAUGUGCAAAUUUCUUCUGGUGAAGGGGUCCUUUUAUAAAUAAGUUUUCAUGUGAAUUAGGGUAAAUUUGGUUGAAGUCAUUGAGCGACUCUCAACGUGAUUUCACGAAUCUCUAUGUUGUCAAUCAUACGAUCAUUGACUUUAAGAAAGGUACAUUAUAAUGGACUGACGACCCAACACCUUAGCGAAAGAUAAAAUCUUUUAUGUGUUGUGCAUCGACCCAAUUUGGAACAAUAUCCAUCUUAAAACAAAUUUGGAUUUUGUAAAUAAAUAAGGAAAAUGCUAACAAAUGCACGUUGAAUUCUAUAUAAGGAAAAAAUAUAUAGUUGUAAGGCCACAAGCUAAGAAAUUAAAAAAUAAAAAAUUUAUAUUGAAAACAACAAUUUUGACAUUUUUAAAAGUUUGAAUACAUGACUUUUGAGAGAGAAUUAAUAUAUGUGGUUAAACCAACCGUUAGUGCUAAAACUAUUUUAUAUAGAAAAAUGAAAAUUAAUUAAGGUAUCAAAAGAGGGCUACAAGUUUGUAAAAAAAAAAAAAGGCUACAAGAUUUAUAUACACAAUUUCUGUAAAAAUAAAAUAAAAUUGUCAAUCCAUCAUAAUUGUUACAUAACUUUAACGCAUUUGAUUUUAAUGAUAAUAUUUUAAAGACAUUUAUUAGCAUUUUUUUGAAGAUAGUAUUCAAAUUUUCUUUCAUGCCAGUAGUUUCUUUUGAAAAGGAAAUGAUGGUACAAUUCUUCUAUUGUGAAAAGGGGGAACCAACGGUCCACUUUUGCUUGAUUGGUGCUCUUGUGCCGACUCAUAUCGUCUUCUCUUCAAAAAGCAAAACCACUUUCUUUUAUUCUAAUCUAAACUUGAAAAAGGAGAGGAAAAAAGGGAGGUACAAAAGUCUACUUGCUUUGAGUGCAAGAAGCUACCAAAAAACUUUUCAAGAGGAGAUGGCUCAAAUUUCUUCUCAGUUGUGAAUGAUUUGCUUUUUUUCAUUGUUUGCUUAAAGUUUGACCUUGGUGACAUGAUUAUAGUCUACUUUUUACAUAUCUCAAUAACAAUAAUAAUAAAAGACCUGCUAAAAGGUGGGGCUUGCCUUGCAAUAUUGAAAAGUGUUAUGGGACCUUUUGCCUCAUUAUAUUCCAUCAAUUACCCUUUGUGGGAGACCUUGUAUCUGUCACCUAUUGAUCAUAUAGAAUCAUUAACUUAUGGAAAAUGUGUUUAUCAUCUUCAUUCCAUAAUUAAUUUCAUAAUGUAAACCAAUAUUAAAAAUCUCUUAAAGAACGUACGUCUGAAUGAAAUGACAUGUAUUCUAACGAUUAAUAUGGAGUUCAAAUUUAGUUAUCAUCAUUAAUGCUUUAGAAAUAGAGUUUUGUUGGUUUUGUGUGCUAAUAUUUGAUUCGAAUUAUUAGUCUAUGCAAAUAUAGCAUUCACGUAGAGCUACGGCUAGAUAGUGGAUUAUAUUGUUAAGAGCAGUGCUAUAUCCAACGAAGGAUGUUUUCCCGAAUAUACAGCGAAACACCAAUGCACCAAUGAGAAAGGAGGCCUAACGGAAUUCAUGAGGGGUCAUUAUAUAAAUAUGAAAGUCAACAAAAAUAGUUUGGUGGAUAACACACAUCGGGAUAAGUCGUGAAAUUUAAAUUCGCGAUAACUAACAUUAUUGUAUUGUUAAAGCACACCAUGCAUGAAGGAAAUGAGAUCACUAUUCACUAAUUGUUUUGCUAAGAAGGGUGCUUAUAAUUUUAAAAAUAUGUGUAGUAGUAUUAUCUUAUCUUAUUGUUUAUGAUAAUUAAGAGACGAAUGUAGUAUUUAGAUGGAUCCUUGAAAUAGAAUCAAAGGAUGGUGUUGCUAUCUUUACUUAGAUGAAUGUAACGGGAGUCUUGGUAUCAUCAUAUAGGUUCUCUAUUACCCGUGUGGAAGGUAAUGGAUUUGAAAAGGCAUGGGAGUGGGAGAUACUUUUCUCUUAUGAAGGAACCAACUACUAUUAAGCAACAACAACACCUUUUGACAAUCAUACCAACGAGGUAAACACUAAUUUGGAGAGAGAAAUAAGGAUGGAAACAUUGAAAUUGAAUGCGUGGGAGAGGGAACAAGUAAAUUGCUGCUGGUGAAGAAAAAAGAUAGAAAAGUGUCGUGUUAGGCUGAUGAAGUCUUUUCGGAUGGAGAAAUAAUUACGGCAACAUGCUUAAGAUGUACUAGUACAUAAAUACUAGAGACAAAACAACCAACAUAUUUAAAGAGGGUAAAAAGAGAAAGGUAAAUAAAUUCAUGAUCCUUAUAAAAUAUUUUGUUGUUUAUCAAAUAUUUUUCGAUGAUGCUACCUCAACUCUCCGUAAUAACAUUGAAGAAAUAUAUCAUAUCAAUUAUCUUAUAAAAUAAAAUAGAAAUUCAAUUCAGAUGGUUUGAACAUACAUACAAAAUAUAUGUAGAUUAUAUCAUUGGAGACAGACAUGUGAAGUUUUCGAUGAUGUUACCGCAACUCUUUCUUUAAUAACAUUGAAGAGAGAUAUCGUACAGCAUAGCUUAUAAAAUAAAAUAAAAACUCAAUUUAGAUGGUUUAGAAAGUAAAGUAAAUAAAGAUAGUUUUUUAUUUUUUGAAAGAUAAAUAAAUAAAGAUAGUUAUAUCAUUGGAUGCACACAUAUGAAGAAAUGAAAGAAUUUCUGCAAAAAAACUAUUAAAAAGAUAUAGAGAUUAAUAAGUAUUAUAGAUAAUUACUUCAUUUGAAUAUGCAACGGACGCCACUCAAUAAAAUACAAUUUAAUUGUUCUUGUAAAAUUAUUCGCCUAUAGCCCUUGAUGAUUUUGGUAAAAUUUCUAUCUACAGGUUUUACUAGUCUUUGAAAUAAUUAAAUUAAAGAAUAUUUUGUCACAAAAGCUAAAUUAAUAGGGACUAAACAAAAUUAAUAUUUUUUGAAUCAAUGGAUCAAUAAAAAUAUUGAGUAAAUGGGCAAUUACCCCAUAAAAUUGUAAAUUUCGUCAAUUACCCAUCUGAAAUUGCACAACGUUAAUCAAUUUACAUCAUUCGUCAAAUUUUUCUGUUAGUGAACAAGACAUUUUGCAAAUACCCCUAAAAUUUUGCACUUAUGUGCAAACAAUUAACCUUAAAAAUUUAUAUAUAUAUAUUUUUUAAAGGCAAACAAUUAUCCUUAUUUUUUCUUAACCAUGUUGUAUUUUUAUGGAAGAAUACACUAUUAUAAAUAAUACAUGUAGGACACUUGUGAUUAGAUCUAAAUAAGAAGUUAUGAACUAACUUAAACAAUAGUAAACUAAAAUAAAUAUAAGUAUAAUACAUUGAAUAUUAACUUAGAAUACACUUCUUCAAAAUGCAUGAAUAUUGUAAUUCUAGUUUUAUUAUAUAAAAUGGAGGUUAAAAAAGUUUUACUAUCACAAAAUGAUCGUACAAAGAAGUUUUUCCUAGAGUAAGAUGAUUUCACAUAUUUGCAUCAACAUAUAAAAAAAAGUUGAAAAAGGAAUAUGAAAUUUUAAAUUGUUGUUGCAGUAGUGAUUGCCAUUACGAUGCAAACCUCGAUAUUAUCGAGAAAUACGGUUAAAUGUUGCCACAAUUAUGGUUGUGAUGUCGUUGUGGAUACAUCUAAAACUUUUAUAUUGCGGUUGCGGAAAUAAUCACCAAGAAUAUUCAAACGUGAUCAACAAAAAUAAAGGAGAAUUGCAAGAAAAGAUGAUUUCUUGGGAAUAUGAAAUGUGAUCCAAGCAUAGAUUAGGACAAAUUGAGUGAGAAAAAAAAUGAAAAGAUAUAAACAUUUGAUACCAUGCUUCACCCCUUUUUUUUUUACCCAGCCACAAUAGAAAAAAUGAAAUAAUAUAAAUUUUUAAAUUCGGAGGCAUUUUGUACAUAAGUGCAAAACUUUAGAUGAACGUCAUGUUCAUUAACAGAAAAAUUUGACGGUAAAUUGAUUAAAGUUGUGGCAAUUUCAGGGAGUAAUUGAAGUUUUGUUAAUUUAUAAUUGAUGAAACUUACAAUUUCAGGGAGAUAAUUAUUUAUUUACUCUAAAAAAAAAAAAAAAUUUGUAGACACCAAAAUUAAUAAAAUAGAACCUUAUCGUAAAAAUGUUUUUGGGCCAGAGUAUAGAGUCCCUUCUUACCCUCUAAACUUUGCACUCAUCUUCCCGUUUUAACCCCGUAAACUUUGCUAUCAAAAUCAAUCGAUUAAGUUGCCCAAAAUUGGAUAAUAUGGACAAAACAUUGUUUUUCAUUUUCAAUACGUAAUGGACAAAAUUUUGUUGGUACAGUCUCUCCAUUAUUGUCCAUUCACAUUGUUUUGUAUAGAUUCCCUUCCAUCUGUUCCAUUCAGUUGUUAAAUUCAUUCUUCUCUCAUAAUUCAAUUUUUUUCUUUUUCAUAUAAAAAUACACUGCCUUUCUUUUUUUAUUGUUAGUUUUUUUUUUUUUUUAAAGAAAAACAUACUCCUUUAUGUCGUGUUUAAAUUUUAAUGUAGUGGAGUAUAUAUUAUAAUUUUAUUUGUUGUUGUUAAUUAUACUUUUACAAUGAGUGGAAUGGACCAAUAAAAGGUAUAGGUGUUGGAAUUAAUUAUAUACAAUCAUGUUCAAUGCACAAAUUAAAACAUUAAUCACAUUUUAAUAAAAUAAACUUACAUGCAUGCAAUUCUCGGAAGUUUAACUUAAUUGAUAAGGAUAUUGCAUAAUAUAUGUUGCAGAAAUUAAAAUUUGAAUUUCAAACACAUUCAUAUUAGAAGGUGAAUUUUAAAUAUCUAAGCUACUUGACAAAAAACAAAAAUAACAUGCAUAUAAAUUAAAAUCUAUGUUGCAUACGUCACAUUGAUCAUCUAGGGUAUUAAAAAUACCCAAAUCCAUUUUUUAAUAUAUCUCAACUGUGAAUAGACUUUUUCAUAUUUGUACAAAUCGAUCAAUUUCAUCCCGGUAUUAAUCGAAAUAGCUAGAAUGUCCUUGAACUUUAUAAUGUUGAAUCAAUUUAUUUACGUUAAACUCUAACAUGGAGUUCCAAGUCAGCUUCCUAUGUACAUGGAUGAAUUUAAUCGAAAAUUUUGGAUUUUUUUAGACUUUUUUUAAAAGGAAAGUCGUUACAAAUUGUUACACCGACAAAUUGAUCCUUAAAUUAUUCAUUAAAAAACAAGUUGGUCCCUAAAUUAUGUCACCCACUAUCAAAUAGAUCCCAUAAUUAUUUAUUACAUUUUGCAUGUUCAUCCAUGUUGAACAUAGUCUCUAAAAUUUUCAUACAAAAGUGUUAAAAAUCACUUCAAAAACUCUUUGAUUUCUGCAUUCACAAGCGUUAUUACAAAAAUAUGGUUGUUUCCAUCUUGUCGCACAGAAAGAAGUUGUCCACCAACAUAUUCCUUCAAGAAACACCCAUCUAACUCAAUCAAAGGCCUAAAACCCGUCUUAAACCUAUUUUGCAUGCAUCCAAGCAUGAAUAAAAGAAUUUGAAUUGUCAUACAUUUGUGCACAUCCUUGAAAAGAGAGAGUGAAAUAUUCAAAGUAAAAUUAUCUUACUCCUAAAGGGAAUUGCAGUGAGAACUAUCUUAUUUCUUGAUUUAUUCUUUAUAUUACAUAACUAAUAUUGAUUUUUGUCAUGCCUUAAACAUUGAUCCUAAUGAUAUUUGAAUAGUAUUUGUCCUCUUACUCUCCAUUCAUUGAUGAUGGUUACAAAUUGUCUGUUUAUCCUCGCUAAAUUGACCAAAUUGUCAUUUUAAAGAGGUUUUGAUUCUAUUAAACUAUCAAAUUGAUCCCUAUAUUUAAUCAUUCACUAUCAUCAAAGUCACUUUAUUUUAACAACUUAUACUUUCAAUUUAAUCCCUUAGAGACAUGUUUUAAGAGUCUUCUACAACGUCAUUAAUUAAUUUGAUGACCCUUACUAGUUCUCAACAUGCCAUGCCAUGAUUGUGUUACAUUGUACUAUACCAUCCUCAUAUGGAAGCUAGUACCCUUCAUUAGAUCAUUAGAAUAGACAUGCCCAUGGAAACUGUUUGUUAUAGUUAUAGAUAACACCAAAAUUAAUGUAGGCUAUAGUUCUUUGCGACCGACUUAAUCUAUUCACACUUUUAAUUAGACAACGAAACACAACGUAAUUGAGAAGGUGCUUCACUUAUGCACAAAAAGACGUGAAUAGAGUCAUUAAAGUCGAAGUGAAGAACACCGCUAAUCUUUUUCUAAGAAAAAAAAUUAACACCUCAAAAUGUGGGUUAAACUUUGAUAUAUUUUUUGAGUGUGUUAAAUUAUAUGAAAAAAGUAAUAAAUGUCAAAUGAUACUUCAUGUCUUGUCAAAAAAAAGAAAGUUAUACUUCAUGUGACCUUUUUUUUUUUUUAAGGGAAUACUUCAUGUGACCUAGUCACCUAUUCUCAUGUGCAUUUUAUCGCAAACCCCCCCUCAAAUAUCAUAACACCACUUGUCUUGCAAGCGUAGGAUAGAACUAUUCUUUUAGCUAAACUUUUUAUGUUGUAAAAUCUUGAUAAAAUUAUAUAAUUCGUCGUUUGGUUUAAUUUCAUGUAACAUUUUUGUUCUUUAUUUAUUUAUGAAGAAACCAAACUGAAAUUAUAUAAUCAAAUCAAAGAGCGGUUCCCAAGGACAAUGUGUGUCUAGGAAACCACUACAAAGUUACAGAGUCAGUAUACAAAAGCAGAGAAUAGAAAAAUUAGCCAAUGUUCAGUCAAGUUAAAGGGCUUGACCACCACCUCUGAGUUUCGAACACAAACAUAGAAUUUUUUUGCCUUAAGCCACCCUAGAGAUAACAAUUUGACUUAUCCAAUAGACAGGGAACAUGAAUUACAAUAUUAUUGAACAGACGGUUGAUACGUUCAUUCCACACAACCCAAGUACACAAUAGCCAAAUAAGUUGCAUGAACGAGCGUUUAACUUUACCACCACCUGUCAUAUACGUAAACUGCACCAAAUGAUCGGAAAUAUUAUUAGAAUUCACCCCAACAAAUCCAAUCCACUCGUGCACCUGCUGCCAUAAAGAUGCAAACACUUUGCAAGAUAGAAAAAGAUGCUCUGUUGUCUCCACGUGACCACAGCCUGAAACACACACAAUGUCGUCCGUUGCAAUAACACCACGCAUAACUAGAUUAACUUUUGUAGGUAAGCGGCCCCGAAUGAGUCUCCAUGCAAAUACCGUGACCUUCAUCGGAACCUGUUUAUGCCACACUAACUCCAGAGACUUGUCCAUCUGAGGAGUAUCACAAUUAAGUAACAAAUCAUAGGCACCUCGCACAGAAUAUCCGCCAGCAAUGUCUGGAAGCCAUACCCAUUUAUCUGAAACAUUUGGAACCAACAAAACAUCAAAUAGUAACGUCCUACACUCCUCUAACAUAUCUUCCUCCCACGCCCACAAUCUGCGCCGCCAAGUCCACCCCUCCCCUUCCCGCGCCAGACCCAUUGAGAACAAGUUAGCCACCGUAAUGAUUUUGUUCUCAGCCAAGUCAAACAAACGACGAAACCGCACACUAAGCGGUAUACCACCAAUCCGCUUAUGCGACCAAAACAAAGUUUCAGCCCCAUCACCCACCCUCCACAUAACACUGUGGCUGAACCACCCAUCACCAGACUCACCAUCUCCAUCACGAGUCCUACCUAUAUCAAGCUACCAAGAAGAAUCACUCCGGCCCCCCACCUCCAACCUCCCACCUACUUCGCCAUAACAGACGACUAAAACAUGGUACCACAAACCUUCUCUAUCGACUAACAUCCUCCAACACCAUUUACAUAGUAAAACAAUAUUAAACUCCUUCAAUUUCCUAACCACCAAACCUCCAUGCUCUUUUUUAAAACACAAGGUAUUCCAACCUAUCCAAGUAUUUUUAUUUAAUUAUUUUUAUUUUAGUUAAGUAACAUUUUUGUCCUUUAUUCUUUUUCUUUGUAGUUUUUUAUGUUAUAAAAAAAUAUCAACGUUGUUAUCAUUUUUUUUUAUCAAAACAAAAUAAAAAAAUCAUAAAAAAAUAUAAAAAUAAUCAUCAAACUUAGAAACAACCCAAAAUUUUCAUCAUACAAACAUAGAAACUCAAAUGUCAACGUUAUUAUUGUCUGUUAGCCAGCCCUAGUUUUCUAGUGGGAGAAACUCCAGCUUCUCUCUAAACUUUCUUCCUCCUUCGUUCAUCGAGGAGGGGUGGUUUUAGGUCAUUUUUUGACCUAUAAUCACCCCUCUACAUCUUUUUCCCCCUUUUCUUUCAAUUUAAAUAAGUGAUUUUCACAUCUAUCAAGUUAUUCCUUUUGUGUUUUUUGUCAUUUCGUCAUCUAAAUGCGGCGUUUUGUUGUUCGUCGUCUUGUGCGGCGUUUGAUUUCGCGUUUUGUCGCGGGGUUUGUUCAGUUCCUAUUGAAAGAUCUACAUCAGUCAAUUACAAAUUCAACCAAUGAUUUGGACGUCAACGUUGCAGAUCCGGAAGCAUGAGUAUUUCGGUGACUUAAGUUUUAUCAUAUUAUUUGUAGGCAUUUUGGCGUUGUAUGCUAUUAACUUGGGUGUUGUGAGUUGUUCGCAGAUUCACCCUUUACGUUUUUAGCGAUGUAUGUACUCUAUCGAUUUAAAUGAAUGAAUAUCGUUUUGUUUUUGUCAAAAAAAAACAUAAAAACUCAAAUGUCAUUAAAAAAAUCUUAUAAAAAAUGAAAGUGUAGUCUGAUAUAAAAAAAAAAACAAAUAAAUAAACGAUGUAAAUGUUACUUAAAAUAAGUUAAAUGACUAAUUAUAUAAUUUUGCCUAAAAUCUCAUAGCCUCUCAUAGAUUUUAAACUCCACCAGAAUCGUUUACAUUUUUCCGUUUUUUUUGCAAUUGAUUGACUUGUAAUAUAAUAUGAGCUCCAACUGUCACUUUCAGUCUAAAUGGAUUAAAAUGCAAAACAAUAUUUCAUUUUUCUAAAACAAUUAAAAAUAGAAGGAAUAGGGAGUAAAAAUUUAAAGAAGUCCUUUUCUUCUUUAAUAAAGGUUGAUGUUUUGUGGAUUCAAUGAAGGUCGGUCCAUAUAAAACCAAGUUGAAUUUGUCCACGUAAUUUAAUGCUAGAUAUAAUUGGGCGGCUGGCCCUCGGAAGGUUAGGCCACAACCAUUUUCAAUGCAUUUAAUGUACUUCUUCUUUCAUCACAAAUUACAGAAAGUGAUAUCGACAACUAUUUUUAUUAAUUUAUAGUAGUAGCAUAUAAAUAUCUUUGUACUAAAAUUAAAAUAGAUGAACAGUACUAUCUUUGAAUUACUCAAAUUCAAGCAAAAUCUCUGCCAUGCCAUCAUUCUUCAAGAGCAAAUAUUAUCGUGACCCGGAUAUAGAAAAUUAUGAACCAACUCAUUUACAUCUUUAUCAAAUAUUUAAAUAAUAUUCUCUGUUAACAAUUGAAUAAAAGAAAAUUAUAAAUCAGCAUGAACCAUCUAUUAUGGUGAUUUAUACAAGUUAAUUUUAGGUCCAGACUACGUAUUUUAGACAUGAAUUGAUCAACGCUGUAAAGCAAGAGCCGAAAUUCAAUAUUAUUAGUAUCAAAUUGAAGCCCAAAGUCAAUUAUAUACCAUAAUUAAGGAAAAAAAAUAGUAGUAUCUGAUUAUAUAUAUGGUCUAUCUCAAUAGUUAAGGCUUUCAUUUUCAUUCCUAACAAACAUGAAGUCAUGCAAUAAGUUUAUUAAAUCUAAACUUUAACACAUGAGCUAACCUCAUACUAUUAAUUAAUAUCACCAAAAUGACUACCAGUAUAUAUUUUUAAAUAGUUUUACCAAAAAGUUGAAUUUGAAACUUUGUGCCGUCCUUGAAAAAAAUUGUGACACUACUCAGGAGAGAAUAAUUCAGUGGUAGUACUACAACUUCUACUGAUUUGGACGGUUUAUCUUGUUUAAUAGUUCUUUCAAAAAAAAAAAAAUUAAUAGUUGUACUCCUUGAAUUUAAAAUAAGUAGUUUAACCCACAAAAUUGUACCCAAAAAAAAAAUAGUUUAACCAAAAUCAACUUUAGAUUACCAUGGUCACCUUGCGCUUAAAAUUGGAGAGUUAAGACCAAAAUAUAUUAAGAGUUUUUUUUUCCUUUUCUUUUGGUUACAAAAAAUAUAUUAAGAGUUUAAAUUGACAGUUUUUAUACAUCUGAAAAACAAAUUAAUUGGUUAAAAAAAAUAUAUUAAGAGUUUAAAUUGACAGUUUUUAUACAUCUGAAAAACAAAUUAAGUUUGAAUUAUUGUUUUUAUGUCAUUUAUUUACUAUUUUUUUUUUAGGAAUUAUUUAUUUACUAUUUUAUGAAUUCAUAGUUUUUAAUACAAAGGCUAUAAUAUUUUCCUAUAUAAAUAAUCUCACAAUAGCAAAUUAUCUAAAUACUAUAUCUAAGGAUCGUAUUGAAGAAAAAAAAAGUUGCGUAUCUAAAUAUAAAUACUAUUUAAAAAAGAGAUUAAUUUCAAAACAUUGUAGAUGUAAAGUAUUUUAUAUUAUAUUUGAUGUAGCGUUGAAUCACCAAUUCCCGCAUUUUGAUGCAAAUAUUGUCGUGAUAUUUGGAAGUUACAAACUUGAGCUUCUCUAAACGUGGUUUUCCUACCUCCCACUGCUUCAACAAACACACCAUUAGUCUAUCAACCAAUUGCAAAUAAUAUUAUGUGCACAUAAUAUAUGAAUGGAAAAUUAUAAGAAAAUUUAAAUACAAACAUAGUAUAAAUAUGUAUUUUUUAAAGACAAACGUUAGUAGUUAAUAUAAUUGUAUUGUCAUCACUGCACAAGUUGAUUUUGUUAAAUUAUGUUAGGUUUAAUCAAGUCUAAUAACGUCGAAAGUGAGGGGUUUUAUCAAAAAAUUCAAAUCCCACAUUCAUUAAAGAUAGUAUUGUUUAUAUUUUUUUUUAAGCCAAAUAGAAAAUAUAAUAAAUAAAAACAAACAAAAACAAAGACAGGGGGACAUUGGACCUAACCCAGGAAUAACCUAAACGGGGAUACACCGUGAUAAAUCUGUCCAAGUGGUACAACUCUAAUCUAUCCUAACAAAUAUAUACUAAUCACUGGCGCAACCCAGCGAAUCUGCGUACGGGCGCGAAACCAGGUUGCAAAAAAAGCAUGAAAAGUGGACAUCUACAUAGAAUAGUUAGAGUUUAACACUGGCGAAAAAAGCGUCAACGCGGUAACCCACCCAAGUGCCAACAACCCCCUGAAUCAGCAGCAAACAUAAAAUGCUCUUUCGAACAAACAACGCGUAAAAACUCAGAUCGAGGGAUGAGUUCAAUACAUCAGAAACCAGAUCUUUUUGGGUUUAUCGAACCAGACCCUUUCGGGUUAAACGAACCAGACUCUUUCGGAUUUAUGAAACUCAACCAUCGCAAAAAGGUCCAGAUCCACAACCACCCCAACCUCUGCUUUACAAGAACCAAGAAAACACAAACCAAACAAACGAAGCUACACGACCACCAUCGCCCAACACAACCACCGGCAAGAACAACCACAACCACCACGAUCCUUACGACGACGAACAAUCCGAGAGUGCGUUGAAGGAGGAUCAAUCGUGGAACAGACAUGACCGAGCACCAUAACAAACACGAUCCGGAACAACACCUAAAAACAAACAAAACAAAAACAGAACAAGGAAUUUAUAUAGUUUUUACAAGGAGUGAAAUUAUUUACUCCCUCCGUUCUGUUCCAUAAGAAAUGGCACAUUUGUAAAAAAUGAAAUUUUUUCUUAUUAUUUCACUCAUAUAUACUCCAUCCGUUUUAAAAUGAGUGUCGUUUUAACCAAUCGCACACAUAUUAAGGAAUGAAAUAAAGUAGUCAAAUGUCAUAGCAAUUUUACCAAAUUAUCCUAAUCAAUUAUUGAUUUGUUUUUCAUUAAAGAAAAAAUAAUACUUUGAAAGUAGUGUAACAUAGUAUUAAUUGAAGGGUACAAUUAAAAAUAAAAAGUUAUUAUUGCAUUGUUAACUAAAAGUGACAUUCAUUUUGGAACAAUUUUUUUGGCUAAAACUAUUAGAAAUCGUGGUUGGGCCUAACACAAUCCCACAAAACCGGCUUGUGAGGUGAGGAUUAUCCCCACUUAUAAACAAAUUGUCAGGCCAACUCCUAGCCGACGUUGGACUCCUCCUAACCGAUGUUGGACUCUUAACACACCCCCUCACGCUCAGGAUUGCACAUAUGAAGUGCGAACAUAAAUGACGGGUGACCCGAUAACAGAAACCUGAUAACAGGUGGCCCAAAGAAUCGUGAAGAGGCUCUGAUACCAUAUUAGAAAUCGUGGUUGGGCUUAACACAACCCCACAAAACCGACUUGUGAGGUGAGGAUUGCCCCCACUUAUAAACAAAUUGUCAGGCCAACUCCUAACCGAUGUGGAACUCUUAACAAAAAUGACUAUUUUGAAACGGAGAGAGUAUUUUUCUUAUGAUCAUGACUCAUUGAUCUUGUGAGCGAGACAAUAUUUUAAAGGUGAAUUUAUAAAAAUGAGUUAGAGUAGAUACAAAAAUCUAACAUAUGCGACCAGGAGGGAGUAAUAAUUAAAGAUUAGCAUAAGAAAAUGAGUGCAUCUUUUGAUUUCAUGUGGUAAUCGUGACUUGCGAAACCAUCACGUAUCCUUGGAGUUGAAUAAAGUAAGAGAGAGAAGUUGUAAAUGAAGUAGUAAAGUUUUUUAUUUUUAUUUUUUGAAGGAAAAUGAAGUAGUAAAGUUGAAAAAGGUGAAAGUGGUGAGAUACCUUUUUGUGGUGUUGCGUGUGAAAAAGCAGAAAAUUGGUUGAAAGGAAAAAUGUGUUGUGAGACAGUAGCAGUUUAGUGUCACAUUUUCCAGGCGCGUAAGGGCCCCGCUUCAGAAUGUGUCCUCUUCGUCUUUGGUCGUAUGUUCAACCUCCCAUUACGUGCGUGGGUUGCGUUGGGUUGGAAAACAUUCUUUUUCCUUAAUUUUUUUUUUUUAUCAAUUAUGAAAUUCGUAUAUUUUAUAUUAAAUGUAUAACUUUUUUAAAAAUAAUUGUUUUGCAAUAAAACUUAGUACCGCUGUCCCCGUGAGCAUAGCUCAGUUGGCAGGGACAAUGCAUUAUUAUAUGCAGGGGCUGGGGUUCGAACCCCGGACACCCCACUUAUUCACUAUAAAAGUGAAUUUCUAGCCACUAGGCUACCUGACCAAAAAAAAAAAAACUUAGUACCGCUCUUGUAAAAAAAAAAAAAAAAAAACAAACUUAGUACCGCUAUGUCCUGUUAUAACUAUGUUUUUGUUUUUUUUAAUGUCUCGGGAAAAUAUUUUUAUUUUUUUUAACAAAUGACUCAUUUAUUAUGGGACGGAAGGAGUACUACUUUUAGUUGUUUUAAUAUGUGCAAAUGUUAAAUAAACUCUUUUCUUUAAAAAUAAAAUCAAAGAAGCAGUGGCCGAGACAGACAAAAAAGUUUGGGAUGACCGCCGUCAAAUUAAACUAAUUUUUUUUUUUUUAGGGAAAAUUAAACUAAAAUAUAUAAAUCAUAUUUCAUACAACAUAUUUAAAUUUUAAUAAACCAAAAAGCGAUCAUUCAAAAAGUCAAUUAUAUAAUAUAUAAAGUCGAUCAUCAAAUACUUAAAGUGACUUGAAAUCAUCAAUAAUUGACUCGGAACUAAUACAUGCACUAAUUUUCCUUUCGGUAUAAAUUGACAUGCUAUAUGCUAGAAACCCAGGUCUCAUCUUGUUUCUCAAUUUAACAAUAUGUAAGGAAUAAAAAUGAUUGAAAUUUAACAAUAUGUAGUGAACAAGAAUGAUUGAAACUGAUGACUCUGUCACAUAUACCGAUGUAUAUUUUUUAUCUUUAAUAUUUUUAAUUAUCCAUUAAAAAAAAUUAUAAAAUUUAAUAUUUUAAAAAUAUUUAUCGAGACAAAUUUAACAACAUAUUAUAUGAUAUCAUUUUUCUUUAUAUUAAUAGAAAAAUAUUAUCAAAAUAUGUCAACUCAAAGGUGCACAUUGUCAACUAAAUCAUCUAAUAUAAGAUAGAGAGAGUAUAUAUUGAAUAUAAUAGAUAUGUGGAGUAAUUGAAAAACGGUUUGUUUAUAUUUAUGUCACUAUCUCCUUCAAAAAUAUGUGUAUAUUAUUAAUACAUCAUCCUAUGCGAAAAAGUGUGGUUUCGCCUCCUUCAUCAUAACUAAUGUACCACGUUGAGACAAAUUAACCUUUAAAUAAAAUAAUAAUAAAAAACAUUAUGAAAAGGCAAGUGUCAAAUAAAAUAAUAGUAAUGAUUAUUAUUUAAAAAGAAGCAUAAAUAAAUAAAAUAAUGAAAAAGUAGAAAAAGACACAAAAAAAAGGAGAGCAGGUUUAGUCUGUCAACAAAGCAUAUUUUCCAGAAAUCCUUGCAACCGAUAGUACUUUCAUUUCAUCCAUCAAUUCAAUUCUCCGUUUUACUACAAAUUCUCUCUUCUUCUUCACUUCCGUAUCUUUCUUUCUCUUCUCUCCUGCCACAAUAAUAAACAAUUUUCCUCGUUCCCCGUAAUGCACCGAUAAUUAAAAUUAAUUAAUUAAAAUAACAUUACCACUGUUUAAUUAAGUUAAAUUAUUACAAACCCUUUUCCUUAAUUCAUUCAUGUAUGUUUAUUUGUUCGUGUGUCUGAAAUUUCCUUUUCGCGUUGAAUUUGGAAACAAACUAUUUUUGGUGACACGCAGCAGCGGAAGGAGAGAAAAAGAGCAGAAAGAAGCAUAAUAUAGAAAUUAGAAAGGUGAAGAUAGAUAGAUAGAUACUUACUUAGAUCUCAGAUAGAUAGAUAGAUAAAUUAGAUGAAUCCCUGAAAUAAAAAUAAAAAAAAAUAAAUAAAAGGAAAGUUAAAAAGGACUUAAAAGCUAAAAGCAAAGCUACCCUAGAAAAGCCUCUACUUUAUUGAAUUUGUUUUUUGUGUUUUGUAAAAAGCUUGUUUUCAUUGUUUAUUGCUUCCAGUUCCACCUCUCAAAAAUGUUAAUUUGUCUUCUAUAUUCAAAAAGUUUCUUCUCUUAUCUCUCCAUACACUAAUUUCGUUUUCUCACCAGUGCUUCUUUCUUUUUCUCCUUCUUAAAGUAAAGUCAAGUUUAACAACUUUCUCUCAUAAUAAACAAAUUCAUUUCAUUCUCAUCUUCUUCAAUUCAAUAUUCUCAAUUCUCAUCUUAUAUUUGUGAAAUGAGAGCUGGGUUAAGUACAAUCCAACAAACCCUAACGCCGGAGGCGGCUAGUGUUUUAAAUCAUUCAAUCGCGGAAGCCGGUCGACGGAACCAUGGCCAAACCACGCCGCUUCAUGUGGCUGCUACUUUACUAGCUUCACCUUCCGGUUACCUCCGACAAGCAUGUAUAAAAUCCCAUCCAAAUUCAUCUCAUCCUCUUCAGUGUAGAGCUUUGGAAUUAUGUUUCAGUGUUGCUUUAGAACGGUUACCGACGUCGCAGAACGCUAGUUCCACGUCGGCGAUGGAACCUCCGAUUUCAAAUGCUUUGAUGGCAGCUUUGAAACGUGCUCAAGCUCAUCAACGUCGUGGUUAUCCUGAACAGCAACAACAACCGCUUCUUGCUGUCAAAGUUGAAUUGGAACAACUCAUCAUAUCAAUUCUUGAUGAUCCUAGUGUUAGUAGGGUCAUGAGAGAAGCUAGUUUUUCUAGUCCUGCUGUUAAAGCAACGAUUGAACAAUCCUUGAAUUCUGUUGCGCCUUCUCCGGUUACUGUUAAUUCCAAUCCGAUGAUGGGAUUCCGGCCGGGGAUGGUGACUCCUGGAGCGGCGCCGACUAGGAAUUUGUAUAUGAAUCCGAGGUUGCAACAACAAGGAGGUGCAGCAGCUCUAUCGGGAGCACAUAAGGGUGAUGAAGUGAAACGUGUUGUGGAAAUAUUGAUGAGGACGAAGAAGAGGAAUCCGGUUUUGGUUGGUGAAUCAGAGCCUGAAGCUGCUAUUAGAGAAGUUUUGAAGAAGAUUGAAAAUAAGGAAUUAGGGGAGGGUGUAUUUAGCAAUGCUCAUGCUAUUUAUUUAGAGAAGGAGCUUCCUUCAGAUAGAGGGCAGAUACCUGUGAGGAUUAAAGAAUUGGGGGAUUUGAUUGAGUCUCGGUUGGGAAAUUCGGGUUCCUGUGGUGGUGUGUUUAUCAAUUUAGGUGAUUUGAAAUGGUUGGUGGAACAACCUGUGGGAUUUGGAUUGGGGAAUAUGCAGCAGCCGGCGCUUGCGGAGGCCGGCCGCGCCGCGGUGGCAGAGAUGGGGAGAUUGGUUGCCAAAUUUGGGGAGGGUGGUGUUGGUAAGCUUUGGUUAUUGGGUACUGCUACUUGUGAGACUUAUUUGAGAUGUCAAGUUUAUCAUCCUUCCAUGGAAAAUGAUUGGGAUCUUCAAGCAGUGCCAAUUACUACAAGAUCACCUCUACCUGGAAUGUUUCCAAGGUAUUUAAUUUGUAUAAUAUUCUAUGGUUGUUUUGAUUGUUCAUAAAGUAAUUUUGUUCUAACAAUUUUAUCACUGAUGGAUAACAUUUAGAUCUUCAUCUAAUUACAGUAUACCCUUGAUGACACAAUUUUAAUUUUAGCAAAUUUUGUUCAAUUGAUCUGUUCUGUUGCAAGAAUAAUUAAAGGGAUUCAUGUUUUAUUUUCCUGUUUGAUGGAAUGGAGUUGAGAAAUAUUCUUGAACAGAAUCAACUAUGGCUUUAGUUUAAGAGAAUCUUAUCUUAAUGAAUAUGUUAAUCCUGUGUUCCUUUUGUUUUGAGUUUUAAGUUUUAACUAUUAGUUUGCUUCUUUGACUUCCUACAGUUUUGUUUUGAAAGAAAAACGUGGGAUGUUUUAGUUUCCAUAACAGUGUUAUAAGACAAGAGAAUAUUAGCUGUUGUUUACCUUUUGUGCUAUUGGCAGGCAAAAUUAGCUUGACAAGGCUAUGAAACAUGGUUAAAUUGUCUCCCACAUUUGGUAUUGGUGGUUUUAACUUUUUGUUUCUUGUGUGAUCAGGCUUGGGACCAAUGGAAUUCUCGGUACCACACUUGAGUCUUUAUCCCCAUUGAAGACCUUGACACCUACGCCAAUCACACCACUAACGCGCGCCUCGGAGAAUGUAGAUCCUGCAGCAGCAGCCGCACCAACUUGUUGCCCACAGUGUAUGCGGAGCUGUGAACAAGAAAUAGCAGAUAUGUUGAAAGAAACUGAAAAAUCUGAUAGUGAACUCAAACCAGAUGCCACUCGACCGCCUCUUCCACAAUGGUUGCAGAAUGCUAGAACUAACAACGAUAAUGCUAAAGUAAUGGAUCAGGCCCAGGUAAAUUUGAUUAAAACAAUUAUGUAUUGGUUGGUUCACGUGGUUAGGAAAUUAUAGAUGAGUUUUAAUUAUUGUGUUCUUUUGUCUUUCAAUAGAGCAAUGGCCAAGAAGGGAAUGUGAAGAAGAGGACUCAAGAAAUACAAAAGAAAUGGCAUGAUUCAUGCUUAAACUUGCAUCCUAAAUUUCAUCAGCAAAAUGUGAGCACAGAGAGGAUUGUUCCCACCCCCUUUUCAAUGACGAACUUAUAUAAUGUGAAUUUGCUGGGGCGCCAAUUUCAACCCAAAGUGCAACCAAAUAAAAAUUUGGGAUGCUCUCUUCAAUUGAGCUCGAUUCCAAUUCCUAUCCAGCAAUCAGAACACACGGCAAGCCCACGGAAAAGUACAGUGACCACUGAACUGGUUCUUGGGCAAACCAAGCCAUCUGAUACCAUUCCAGAAGAGUCACACAGAGAACGAAUUAAUGACUUUUUGAGUUCCCUGUCUUCUGAGUCACAAGACAAGUUUGAUGAAUUACAUAGCAAAAAAUUAUUUGAUACUGACUCUUUCAAGAGGCUACUCAAAACUCUGACAGAAAAGGUGUGGUGGCAGCAGGAUGCAGCAUCUGCAAUAGCUACUGCAGUGACUCAGUGCAAGUUAGGCAAUGGUAAAAGACGAUCAAAGGGUGACACAUGGUAAUGUUCACAGGUCCGGACAGAAUUGGCAAGAAGAGAAUGGCAGCAGCCCUUUCUGAACUGGUAUCAGGGUCCAAUCCAAUAGUAAUCUCCCUUGCACAGCGACGUGGAGAUGGAGACUCUAAUGCCCACCAAUUCCGUGGAAAAACAGUCCUUGAUCGCAUUGUAGAGACCAUCCGAAGGAACCCACAUUCUGUCAUCAUGCUUGAGGACAUUGAUGAAGCCAACACCCUUCUUCGCGGGAACAUCAAACGAGCCAUGGAGCAAGGACGGUUCCCUGAUUCUCAUGGCCGUGAAAUCAGUCUUGGAAAUGUCAUGUUUAUCCUCACAUCAAAUUGGUUGCCUGAGGACCUUAGUUACUUGUCCAAUGGUGCUCCACUAGACGACGAAAAACUUGAAAAUUUAGCAAGUGGAGGUUGGCAAUUGCGGCUAUCAGUGACCAAGAAGGUAUCAAAACGCAGACCCAGUUGGUUGUCGAAUGAAGAAAGGUCUUUGAAGCCUAGAAAGGAAUUGAACUUAGGUUUAUCAUUUGAUCUUAAUGAAGCCGCUGAUGUAGAGGAAGACAGGGCAGAUGGAUCACAUAAUUCUAGUGACUUCACAGUGGACCAUGAAGAGAACAAUCACAACGGAGGGUCGCCCUCUAAACCCCGUGAGCUUCUAGAUUCUGUUGAUGAUGCAAUUGUCUUCAAGCCAUUGAAUUUCGAUCUCAUUCGUCAAAAUUUCUCAGCAAGCAUCGCAAAGAGAUUCUCUGCUGUGGUUGGAAAUGGGAUCUCAAUUGAAGUGCAAGAGGAGGCUCUUGACAAGAUCACAAGUGGAGUGUGGUUAGGCCAAACCACAAUAGAUGAAUGGAUGGAAAAGGUAUUAGUUCCUUCCUUCCACCAGUUGAACAAGAGCUACAAUUCAAGCAACCUUGAUGAGCAUGAGUCUUCGUUGCUGGUUAGGCUCGAAGAUGAUGGCUACUCCGAUCGCCGGAGCUCACAAGAGUUGCUACCUGCUAGUGUGAGAGUCGCGGCGGAGUAGUAGUAGUAGUGUUGAGUAUCAAAUAUUGAAUAUUGAUUAUUGUUAAUACACAAUGAACAUGAGUGAUAAUAUCCGUUUUUGUUGGUUAUAGAAAUGUAAAUAGAUCUCUUUGGAAGGACAAAGUCAAUGACCCUUUGUAGAAUCGAGAAAAACCGUUAGAGGUGGAACAAGGGUCGGCAUGUGUCAUUUUUUCCCCCUUAGAAAAAGAUUAUUUAAUUUGUCUUAUAAGUUAAAUAUUGUUUUUUUUUUCUUCCUCUGUAAGCAUAGAUAUAUUUAUUUAUCAAUUAAAUGGAGGAUGGUUAUCAAUAUUAAUAAAAUGGAGUAUUGUUCCUUCACCCUUUUUCUUUCAUCGUUUUUCAUCAAAAUUUCAAGACUAUUGUUUUCCAUACAAACUACUAUUAUUUUCACUAUAAAAGCAGUGUAUACCAUUCAUUGAAAAUUUAAAGACUAUUGUUUUCAAUACAAACCACUAUUUUUUAUUUUUAUUUUGCAAGCAUGUGACUUUAAUUGAUGUUUUCAAAGUAUAUAUUGAAAAUCUACUUUUUCCAAAUAAUAAUAAAAAACAAAAGUAUUCUUAUUCUCCAAGUUUAGUUAUUGAUUCCUUAUAUGCUUCAACUUUUAGAUUUUUAAAUGAAGUUGUUUUCAACUUGGUAUCUAAUCAACAUUGACUCAACAAAAACAACACAAAAUAGAUAUAAAUCAAGUUUUGAAACAUUAAUAUUCAUUUUCCUUCUUUCUUUCUUUCUUAAACUACACCAAUAUGUUCACCAUCUCAAUAGUGAAGAGGAGGAUAUGCUAAAUAUCACAAGGCUUCUUCUACCUACAAAGAGCAACACAUAUUAUUAACAAAAUUUUGAACCAUACAACAUAUGCCCAAUGAUGAGCAUAUGGGACAUUUCCCAUCCUAAAAGCCACCAUCCACAAACAUAUAAUAAUUUUAUUGAAUAAAUUCAGAUAUGUAAUGAAAAAGGACAAGUUUAGAAUGACAAGAGCCAUCCAAUAUGUAGGCCACAUAUAAGGCCGUAGAGCACAACCCUUUACUAUUUGUUAGUUUAGUCACCAACCAUGUAAUGUACAUGAUCGGUUCAUGAACGUUGUUGCUGCCAAUUGCUUUUGGUAGCUGAGGUAAAAGGGACCGGCAUUACCAAACAAAUUAACACAUAUCCCUACCGACACAAAUGAUUGUUUUGCAGUUAACGUAUUUGAGUAUUUCCUUAUCAUCAAUUAGUAAAAACAAACUUUGCUAGUAAUUUAAAGAAUGAAUGUUCUUAGCUAUACCGUUAUGUGCAUACGUCAUUAUCAAUUUCCAUUCUUGGUUCAAAAGAAAAGUAAUGUAAAUUGCACCGAAGAUACCAAAAAGAGAAAAGUUUUAUCAAGAAAGAAAGAGUUGAAUACAACAAGAGAAGGGUUUAGUGUGUGAUUAAUUACUUUAAAUCAACUUCUAGAUUAAUAUUUUCCUUAAAAAAAAACUUUUAGAUAUUUGUUUUAAACAACAUAUUUUAUUUAACCACCAUGUCAAUGCUCAAAACGAACAGAGAUCGGUAAAAUUGAGAAUACAACUGAAGACAAUAUAUAUAGGCGCAUCUGAAAAUAAACACCCUAAAAAAUACCCCUGAGGAUAACACCCACCAAAAUACACGUCAUCACCAACAGACUCCUUCACAAAAAUGUCCACCAUAAAAACGAUAUCCCACACCACCCACCGACACUACUCACCCCCUGAGUUUAAUUUUUACUUAAUUUUAAUCGCAGUCCUCAACACCAAAGCUGAGCCACAUCCUAAAAGCUCCUAUCCAAAAAGAUCAAUCAACUUCCACCACCUCUCGACCUUCGAUCAACCGAAAGAAACCAUAAAAAACCCAAAACCAAACUUGAGCCAAAGAACUGACUCCCGAUCUCGAAUCAAAAGUGAUUGGUCCACCAGACUUUAUGACCAAAUCAGAAGGGCACCCCUCACCUCCGGUACACCAGAGAAACACCAAGUCAAGCCAAGCAAGAUUGCAGUUAGACACCGACUCCCGAUCUCGAAGCAAAAGUAACCGGCCCACCAAAAACUUGGAAAGAAAAAAACUUCUAGAUUAAUAUAGUCACAAUCUUUUUCAUAAUGAACGCGUAAAAGAAAUUAGUAAGCCGGUUUUUGGAACCAUAGCAGCCUCUAACUGACGCAUGUUUUCAACGCUACGCAAGGCCAUUAAUGAAUUAGUUGUAGUUUUUGUCAAGUUGGACUACCAAAAGUGCAAGUGACCAAAACAAGACAAGUAAUGCUUUGUGUAUACUUCACAUUCAUUUCAUUCAUAUUUGCCUAUUUUUUUGACUCUAUCGUCUUCUUUAAGACAACAACAACGCAUGUGUUCUCAUUUAUUUACAUCCUUUUUUGUUAUGUCUUUUUCUUACACUUCUUGAUCUAUUAGAUCUUUCUAAAAAACUUCAAGUCAUACAGAUCCAACUAUAUUCAACUCUGUCCCUAGCUGCCCCAAGAAUUUUUCCCCCUCUUCUUUAUGACCGUAGUAGCCAUGUAUGCUAAUCAUACUAUCUUUAAUUUGCAUAACCAUGUUGAUCUAACCAGGUUUAAUGGAUCAAUUAAAUAAAUACUUCUUUUUUUUUUAAAGAAAAUAAAUACUUCUUUGUGUACUUCUUUUUGGCUACUAUUAUUAGGAAGUUUGGAUGAUUCGGAAGUGCCAUAUUAAAAUUAAGUAAAAAGUUAACUUUUUACAUAUACUUUUGAACAAAACACCUUUAAGACAUACUUUAUAAUAUAAUGAAAUAAAUUAUUUUGCUUUAUAUAAUUAUUAAAAGUUGAAUUAAAAAAUAACAAUAAUUACUAGAAAUCAAAAUUUGAAGAUAUUCCUGUACGUAUUCUUAAAGAAUCUUAUCUGCACAAACUAAACCAAUACACUGUAAUUAAAAAGUGACUAUUUUAAAAUUAAAAGCUAUUUUUUUUUUAAUUUCACACAUGUUCAUUCCACGAGUGAGCUUAUUUAGAGCAUUGUUGGAUAUUAAAUACGAGUAUAUAUCCCUCUUCUAAAUUUAUACAUUGAUUCAUGUUGUGAGAUCACUAGUCUCUUCAACUAGCUAAACCCAACAGGCCAACCUUAAUAAAACUUUUUUUUAAUGUAUAAGAUAAUAUAAAAAAAAUGCAUUUAAAUGAGUACUAAUUUAAAUAAGCCAUAACUAAAGUUUUUUUAAAAUAAAAAAUAAAAAAUUGGUAUCCAAUGUAAAGGAUGAACUAAUUUGAAAGAUCAAUCUCACUGUCUACUAAUAAAGACCCAAUUAAAGUCGGAUCAAACUUUUGUAUGAAUCGACCUAACACACAUGAAUUAUUAAUACCUAAAUGACUAGAACAUGAGAAAGGAGCACAAUCUGAAGCUCAAACUACAGCCUAGACCAAACAACGGAUGUUCUCAUUAAUAAAGUCUUAAUCGCAAUCAAUUAAUAAUACACGUUAGCCAAACAGUUUAUUCAAGUGAAUUGAGUUACCACCAAUCAAUAAUUCUUCACCUGUGGAAAUUAGAAAAAGGUGAGAAUGGUACGUUUCGUGAACAUGAUCAUGAAUAUUGAAUAUGAUUUGUCCAUAGUGCGAAAUCAUUUGAUUGAGUUAAUUAAAGUCUAGCUCAGGGAUUACUGGUACAAUGCAUUAGGUAAAGAAUCCAUGAUUAUAUACGGUUCGAAAAGAAAAGAAGGACGAACAAGAUGAUUUCUUCCUUAAUUGCAUAGGACAAUUUGAUAGCAAAAGUUGGUGAAAUUAAUUAAUACGUUGAUCUUUAGGGCAACUUUGUAAUGUAAACGCUCUAACGCUCAAAUCAAUUUUUGAGUGAGAUGAGUGAAAGAUUUAACAUAAAAGAAUGUGUAUUUUUGACUAUGUUCAUAUGUCCUGUUAUAAGUUUAGUUUCGAUUGAAUUGAGAGAAAAACAUGUUGACGGGGCCAUUGAGAGUUUUUUGGUUGAUCACGCGUUGAUUGAUUAUUGGAAGAGUGACACUAGGGUCCGCGGGUAAAUUCUUAUUAUCAAUUGAAGGUUACAUAUUAUUAUUCGGUCUUUAAAUAUAAAUUGAUCUCUUGAGUUUUUUAUUGUCCUUUUUUUAUAUGAUAUCUUUCAAAUUUCAGUGGUAUAUUUAAUUCUCUUUCUUCCUUCUUCAUUCUCUCUUCCUUCUUAUUCAUUCAAUGGAGAAGGGUGAUUUUGGACCAUAUUCCUAUUUUUCUACAAUUUUUCUGUUUAAAUAUGAUAUUAUUUUGUUUGUUGCUUGUUGCGGUAAUGUUUGUCACCUUCAAUUCAUUACUAGUUGGAUCACAUUGAUUUCGUUAUAUUUGUGGGUGCUAUGUUGUUUUAUGUAAUUAACUUGAAUGUUGUAAUUUUUUUUUUGCAUAUUUAUCAUUUACGGUUUUAGCAAUAUUAAAGUUAUAUAUGAUUCUCGAGGUAUUGUACAAAAAAAUUGAUUACAAGGUAUUCUAUAAAUUUGAAACAACGGAGUAUUAUUUAGUGAAAAAAGUCAAUUAAGAAAGCUUCUCAACUUGGAUUAUUUUAUGACAAAAACAUCAAAUUUGCAACUAUAUAUGCUGAUGGUUGUCCAAACAAAAACUUAGCUACGUUAAUGGAGUGUGUCAUCCAUUUAAGAAAGAGAAUAAAAUAGUACAUAAUACUUUAAGCUCUUUUUUCAAAUAAAAGUUUGGCUGUUUUAGAAAGGAAUAAAGGAAGGUAAAAUUAAGCAUAUAUUUUUCUCAUACAAAAAUCCGAAGCAUAUAUUAAAUAGUUUUUAUUUUUAAUAAAUAAAUUAGAAAUUAUUAAAAAAAUUGAUAUAUAACUUUCCAAAUUUAUUAUUCAUAACGUGUGUGUAAGUAAGUAUAAAAAGGAAUAUUUCUGAACAGAAAAAUGAAGGGGAGAGUAGUCAUAAAAAAUUAGGUUUUGUCAAAGAUGCAGAAAAAACAGAACAAGAGAAAAGGUAGUAUGUUGUCGUAUUCUCCCAACACAUAUAACUUUACAACUUUAUACUUUGUGUCCGUUCCUCUUGUCGUCUCAAACUUUAGAAUGAAAACAAUUCAUCAACCACUCUAUAAACUCAUCUUUUCUCCCCCACUUCCACCUUUCGACCCUGCCUCUUUUUUAUAUAUUUAUAUUUCUCUUGUGCUUAAUAUUAUAUAUAAUGGGUUUCUUUCCAACCUUAAACACCAUUAAUUAAUGCAUCUAUCUAUGGUCAUUGACUAAGCUAUAUAGCUAGUGUCACUUAUUAGAAAUUAUAAUGUCAGAACUACAUGUGUCAAGUUACUAUUCUCUCCACGAACCUUGUGCAUACUUAAGGAAUGCUAAUGUAUAUUGUUUUAUUUGGUUUAAAAAAAUAUAAACGAUUUUCUUACUAAAGGAAUUCAAUGCAUUUCAUUAGAUAUUAAGAAGUCAAUGCAAAGUGAAACAUGAUAAAAUAAACAUAGAGGAACGAAUUAUGAACAAUGAUUCAUUUGCCAAAGAAUAGGUCACACUCUUCACUUGAUGUCAAACACAACUUACAUAGUUGUUCCACUUUCUAUCAGUUUUAUGAUUCAUUUUAUAUUUGUGCUAUUUAUAUGUCACUUUAUAUAAGAUAGUGGAAAUAAUUAAAACUCUAGCUCCUGUGUCCUACAGUGAGUGUUAUGAACAACUUUUGGUUGUUCAUUAAUUGAGAAAAACUACUCUAAAAAGAUUAAAAGUUACAACUACACUAGGUAUAUAACCCGUGCGUUGCACGGGUUUGAUCAAAAUACUGCUUGCAAUUUGCCCAAGAAUCAUACUCAAACAAUAUUUUUAAUUGGAUCCACCAAUUUUCCCACAUUAUCCAUCCCACCUUGAAAUAUAAUAUUGUUUCUAAUAUUUUAAAUGCACCAUAUUGUUGCCAAUAAAACCAAUUGCUUAAAUUUCUUUAUAUGACUUUGUUAUAACAAAGCUCUAAAAUGUUCUCUCGUAUUGUUAUGUAUAGAACCUAAAAACAAAAUUAAAAGAAAAACAACAUCAAUCUUGUUAAAAAUAAUAAUGUGCUCUCUCUAAAAAUAAAACACAACAACAAUCUUGUUAAGAAAAUAAUGUGCUCUUUCAAUAUAUAAUGCUGCAAAAUUGAAGAAUAUCAUCCAAGAGUUGGUUGAAGAAAGUGAUAAUGAUGAUCCAAAACCAAAACAAUACCACUGAAAUUUAUACCCAGAAGGAUGGAACAAUAGCCCCUAAUUAAAAUUAUAACCAAGCAAUUUUCAACAAAAGUGUAAAGAAGUAUUUGUUGUGAAAUUGAUAUCAAUAGAAGGCAUGGUGGAAACAUCCCAGGAUUGAGUGAAAAUGAAUGUGGCAUAAGUUGUGGUUAUAAACGGUGAGUGGGAAUUAUAAAAAAAAAUACACUUUAAAUUUUUCCAUUUUGUAGGUUAUAAUUGAAGGAAUGUUAAGAGAUGCAUCCAAUGAUGAUGGUGUAAGAAAUUACGGAACGUUUGAAUAGUUUGAUAGGUGCAUAAACUGUUACUAUUAGAUUCUUAAAACAUGGCUAUAGAAAAACAAUGAUGUUUCUGUUCAUUAACGUAACAUCUUUGUUAUUUUUUGUCUAGAGUGAGAUCAUAACUCAUUGUAUUCUAAUGCAUUGUAUGAUUGAGUUAUCAUUAUUGUGAAGAAAAAAAAUGUGAGAAGUUACGUAUUAGAUUAGUUUAUUAGAUAGAAUAAUUAGAGAAUAGAAAUUAAACCUUUUUUAGAGGUGUCACAUAGGCACAAUCCUAGCAUUAGAGUUUCUUAGAAAUUGUGAUUGGGCCUAACACAACCCCACAAAAUCGGUUUAUGAGGUGAGGAUUGCCCCCACUUAUAAACAAAUUGUCAGGCCAACUCCUAACCGAUGUGGGACUCUUAACACACCCCCUCACGCUCAGGAUUACACAUCUAAAGCGUGAACAUAAAUGACGGGUGGCCCGAUAACGGAAACCUGAUAAUAGGUGGCCCAAAGAAUCGUUAAAAGGCUCUGAUACCAUCUUAGAAAUUGUGGUUGGGCCUAACACAACCCCACAAAAUCGGCUUAUGAGGUGAGGAUUGCCCCCACUUAUAAACAAAUUGUCAGGCCAACUCCUAACCGAUGUGGAACUCUUAACAGAGUUAGUCAAGUUUAGUUUACAAAGAGAAGAAAAUAUAGAUAGAUAGAUAGAUAGAUAGAUAGAUAGAUAGAUAGAUAGAUAGAUGCGCCAAAGAUGCGACACCCAUCUUGUUCCUCAGCUCCUUAAACUUUUCAUGCUUCACAAAUUUUGUUGGAAUGUCUGCUUCAUAUAUAACAGUAGGACAAUGUAACAGUUUUAGUCUUCUUUUAUUUACUUGAUCUCGUGAUUCCUUGUCUCAAUGUGUUUACGGUAAAAUGUCACAAUAUUUUUUCAGAUAGGUAAAGUUUCAUAGUGUUUAAUUUAAGUUUAACAAUUAGAUUGGAGAAAAAUAUGACAACUUAUAAUUUUUUUCUUGAUUUACAUUGUAUUUCAAAUGGUUCAAGUAAAAAAUAAUAAUUUAUUUAAUAUGGUUCCUAAUCUUCACAUAUUCUUUUCCCAUAACUUAUAAUAUAUUAAAAUAGACCUCGAAAUUAUUUGUGUACAACUCAUCAAUUAUACGCUAGAUGAUUACCUCACAUCCUCCUCUAAUCACUACACUCCAAAAAAAAUCAUUCCAAACACUUCUUUUAAUUCAUUUCUCAUUCUCUUUUUUUAUUUUUAUUUUUUUUAAUUUUAUUUAGAGGUGACGCAUAUGCAUAAUCAUAGCUUAAGAAUAAUGAGUCAAAUUUAAUUUAAGGGAAUAUUAUCUUUGAGGUACCAUAUCAUCACAAUGCUAGAUCAAGAGUAACUCAAACUUACUUUACAAUAUAAAUAUAGAAGACAAAUAUAUAAUUGAUAUAAACACUUAUACAUUCAACCUUAACCUCAUAUUUUCUAAUAUAUAAAAUCCAUAUAAACUUUAUUAAAUUAAAUCUAAAAUAUUGCUAAUAAAUUUAUUAAACCUUAAUUAAAAGAAAACAACUAAAUAGCAAUAAUGUCAUUUAAGUAUCCUUAAAAUAAAGUAGUAAUAAAACUUCCCCAAAAGAAUGUGAGUAUAGUUAGACAAUUUCAUAAGAUGCACCCAAAUUUACUCUUAAUUGUAGGAAACUCAAUUGAUGGAAAGUAUGAAGGUCAACCAAUUUCAUGAUCAAAGGUUAAAUUUCCAUGUAAAUCAUCGAAACAUGAUUUUGAAUCUCCAAUUUCACGAAGAUCAAGAACAUUCCUUUAGAAUUUUGAAUAGAUGUGUGCUUCUACAAUUAGUUACCUAGGAUACUUGAUCUUAUAAGAACCUAUUCAAUUAAAAAUAUAAUAAGAGUAUUUUCACUUAUUACAAAGACACAGAUACUUGAUCAAAUUAAACUAACACCUAUGGAUAAAGAUUCUUACUUUCUCUUGUUCGACCCUUUAGGAUUUUUGGUGUUGAGAGUUUUGAGUUUCUUGUAAGAUCCAACCAAAUCCUCCUCCAUCUUAUGGAAAUUAGUUGAGAAGGAAAAAUCUCUAAUAGUUAUAGCAACAACCACAUGUUGGCUUGGAAUAAAAAUGAAUAAAAAAAUAUUCAUUUUUUAUGCAUUUUUAAUAUGUUUCCUUCCACAUGUUUAGUGAACUCUUGAUCUCAUAACAAUGUUAAAUAAAAAAUAAUAAUGAAAAAAUACUUUAAUUUCAAUGAAAAAAUACAAUCACCAUUUCAUAUAUGAAGUGUCCUUUCAACAAAACUCUCUCUUUUCCCAAAACUUGUGUAUUUGAAAUCAAAGAAAAAAUAUCCAUUAGAGAAUACGAAAAAUUAUAGAAAUAGAAACACACAUAAACACAAAGCUUGAAGAGAAAAUCAAAACUAUCAAAAAAUGAAAUGGAAGAAGAAAUGAAAAGGAUAACAUAAGCAACAUAUAUAUAAGCUUAGAAAAAAAUGAGGAGCUUUAUAGUAAUAAACUUGUGUGUGUAAGAGGAUUGAUUAAGAAUAUGAAUAAUUUUAAAAUGUAACCCCUCAAUAUUAAUAAAAUGGAUUAUAAUGCAUUCAUUGUGUAACUUGCAUGAAGUGAAGUAAAUAGAGUGUUUUUGCAACCGAUGGAAAAUGAAAGAUAGAUAGAUAGUAAGGAACGGCUAGUAAAGAAUCAAGAACAAAAGAUAGCCACAUGGCAUAAGUAUGAGAGAUUAGUUAAAAAGGGGGGCAUCGGUAAGGUGACACAUAGGAAAAAUGUAGCUUAGAAUAUAUAUAUAUAUAUAUAUAUAUAUAUAUAUAUAUAUAUAUAUAUAUAUAUAUUAUUCUAACAUAACUAAAUUCUCCAUCCAUUCAGUCAUUUAUUUAAUAAUGAUUACAAUGAUCAAUCACUUAUUUAGAGUAUAAGGAUUCUAACAACUUAGUCAAUGACUCGUCAAAAUGGAUCUCUCUACAUCCUUCUAAAAAACCAUGACUGAUAUCCUAGACCUAAUAACUAUACUAUUGAACUCAUCUUAAUCAUUCAUUACAAUGAGUGUCAUAUUUUCUAAUUAAAGAAAGGAAAAUUAAUAAAAGGAAUGAAUAUUAUGAUUAAUAGAUUAUUGAUUUUUUUUCCUUAAGCCAUUUUAUUUCAAUCAUAUUUUUGCUAUCUUUUAUGGCUUAAUAGCAGUUUUGGCCCCCUAUGUUUUAAGAAGUUGCGAUUUUGGUCCCCUAACUAAAUAAACUACAAAACUGCCUCCUAAGUAUUGACUUAUAGGCGGUUUUGUAGGUCAAAACUGCAAAAAAAAUCAAUACUUAGAGGCGGUUUUGUAGUUUAUUUAAUUAGGAGGUCAAAAUCGCAACUUCUUAAAACAUAGGGGACAAAACUGCUAGUAAGCCUUCUUUUAUUGUGAAUUAGAGUUAAACCUUAUAUAUGGCCUUAACUAUAUAUGAUAAUUGAUUGAUUAGACUCGUUACUUAUCUUCUUUUAUCAUUUGUCCUACUUGUUGAGGUUUUAGAAAUCAGAAUCCUUCUCCCCGUUUCCCAUUUGAUCCUGUAAAGGCCGGUGCUUAACUUUUCUGUGAAUUCUUCAUUCCUUUAACAGGAUUAGCCUAGGGCAUGAAAAAGGAGCUUGUGAGUCCAUGAUAUAUAUUAUUCACAUCUAAGUUUCUUUUUUUUGUGUUGAAGUUUAAACUUCAGAUCUUAAAUAUAUUAUGCAUUAUUUCUACCAACUGACUUAAGCAUUUGCAUCCAAGUUUAUCAAGACCUAAAGCUCUUCAGAAACAGAUCAACAAUUUUUAUUUACCUCAAAUAUCCCUUUGUAGAUAUACUGUUGGUUGGGCUAUAAUGGUAAUUUAGAAAUGGCAGGAAUGAAAAAGCAAAUAAUUACAAUGAAUAAUUUUGUGAAUGUGAAGUUUUUUCAUGAGAUAUUUAUGAGUGAUUGUAGUUUCAUGUGAAAGAUGCAAUCGUGUAUGUACUUCUCACACGUUUCAUGUCUCAUGGAGGUCCCCAGCAUAAAUGAUCAGUUUGUCAAAAGUUAUGUUGAAAAAAAAUUGAUUAAGGGAUAAAGAUGAAGUAUCAACGAACAUAAGACAAAUUGAUGAAGAAAAAUAUGAAAAUCCCCUAAUUAUUUGUUUAACAUUUCUUUUUAAUCUGCUUUGAUUAUGCUAAUUGAGUUUUUGUAAUCUCAUGUAAACUACAAAAUCAAAGUCAUAUUAUGAACUCCAACACACAAAACCAACGCACAUACUCAACUCUAUUGGGUGGUUAAUAGUAAUUUCUAACUAAAUUUACUCUAUUGCCACAAUUAUGAAUACCAAUCUUGGAACUAAUUGAUAUUCAUUUAAAUAGUCGACAUAUCUCAAUAUACUCUUUGACCUAACAAAGUAUGAAUCAGAAAUAUGUAUUUUAUUCAAAAUUUAGAACAAAAACAGUUGACUAUUUAGAUUUCGGUUGUUUAUAAUUUACUACGGUGGAAGUAUUUUUUUUUCAAACACACCGGCCACGAAUUAUCCUCUAAUCAAAUAGUUCAGGUAUUCAAACAUCGAUUAGUUGUAUCAAACUAAUGUGGUCGAUCGAUUCAAAUUUUAUCAUCAUAAAAUAAGUUUUUAAAAAGAAUUAAAUAAAGAUAAAUUAUAUUUUUAAAUAUAAAACUUAUUAUUAUUUUUAAUUGUUACUUUUGAUUAAUAUUUUUGUUUAUAUUUGAGUGGGGAGGAAGGGAAGGAGUAUGUGAUAAUAACCACCACAAUAUUAUAUUUCCCUUUUUUCUCUUCCACCAAUGAUGUGUACCACAAUCUUUUCAUUUUCUUUACCUAAACCCUAAAAAGGCAAUGGAUUGUCUUGGAAGGAACACUAAAAUGAAUCAACUUUUCUUUGCCUUUUUAAAGCAUAUGCAUGCUGACAUCUGAAAUUUCGCCUAAUCUUUGCUUAUUAAUAUUUUAUUUUACUAAAUAAUGAAAAGUUAGGAAGGCAAUAAGGCAGGUUUUGUCAAAUAUUAUUCCUCUAUCCUUGUCUUCCAGCCAAUGUUGUCUAAUCUGCUUCUUGUUCUAUGUAUUAAUUUAAUAGUAUAAUAUAAGAAUGGAUUCCCUUGGAGGUAGAAUAAUUGGUUGGCAAAUUAAUAUAUUUAUUCAAGAGAGGCAUGGCUUUUUUAAGUGCUCAUCUUUUAGUAGAUAUGCAGGCUUUUUAGAGCACCAUGCUUACCUGUUCCCUGAUCACAAUAUGUUUUCUUAUAAUCAACUUUUUUUCUUUUAACUUUUCCUGAUGAAUGCAUGGGCCCCUAAUCGAAUUGAUUGUACUUGAGCACCAUCACGUUUGCAAUUAGAUUGGUAGCACCUUUUUCUAAUCUAAUCAACUGCUCCUCCAUCCAUAAUUGACCGUAUAUAUUAUACACACAAUAAAUUUGAUUUGAGAUAUAUAUAUAUAUAUAUAUAUAUAUAUAUAUAUAUAUAUAUAUAUAUAUAUAUAUAUAUAAAAUAUAUUUUAGAUGCUUAUCAUUUGCAAUGCAUGAAACCAUAAUAUUUAAAUCAACACUUCAACAAAUCUUCAGGAGAAGAUCAUGCAAUCAACAACCGAUAGGCUAGCAUGUGAACAGGGAUACCAUCGUAAAUCAGCAUCAUGUGAAUAGGUGAUUUGUUAUGAAAUUAAUCUUCGAAUCGCAGAAAAGAAAUCUCUUUUUCUCUUUCAAAUGAACGACUUUUGAAAUUCAACUUGGGUUAUUCUAUAAGAGAAGUGAUAUCAACUCUUCCGACACUAAAUUAGUUGAUUUUUAUUUUAUUUUAUUAACCAUUUCUUUAUUGAUUCCUUAUUUAUGAAUGAAUAAUAGAUUGGUGCUACUUUGUAAAAGAUAAAUAGAUUGCUUCUUUUUGACAUUACUAAAGAAGCAUAUCCAAAUGAAAUGUAAUAUAACCGCAACGUAUAAUUUAUUAUGAAAAGGUGUAAAGAUCAUGUCUGCACCUAAUUGAAAAUAAAAACACGUGUAGUCGUAAAAGAGAAAAUAUCUAUCCAGCAUACCUGAUAAAUUUUGACAUUAAUGUCAGAUUUGAUGUAGCUGGAAAUAAGAUUUGGACAAACCUCUUCUUACAGUGACAACUAGGGUAUCCAUGGAAGAAUGGUGGGUAAUUUACUUCAAUCAAUAUACAUUAGUCACAUAAGCACAUUUUUAAGUGGUAUCCAUGAACUAUCUUGACCGCACCAACAAAUUGCUCAUUUUCAUUGAUUGUUGGGUAAAUUACCCACCAUUCUUCAAAAGUAAUCUAGAAAAAAUCUAUGCAAAAACAUUUCUUAGUGAGAUCUUAAUUAAACAUAAUAAUAAGCUUAGUUAGAGUGAGAGGUUUCUGGAUUGAUAUCUUGUAAAAAUAAAAAAAUAAUAAAAAAGCUUUAAGAGAAAGGUUCUACAAUUAUUGACAUGUUGGUGUUGAACAAAAUUAUCUUAUACUAAGAGGUAUAUUUUCGUAUAUAUUUCUUCCAAAAAAAACAAUACAUUUUCUGUGUGGAUAUUGUUCUGAUUAGGAGUUUGUAUAUUAUUGUAUCAAAGAAUGAAAAUCUAUGUUUAUAAAUAAAAUUACAAAUGCACUUUUUUUAAUAUAAUUCAUUAGUACCAUUAUGUACACUGAAUGAAGGGAACUUAAUCAUAUUCUUUAGGUAUAGAAAUCUGAGCUUAAUUCUAGAAUGUGUAUGGAUAUAAAAAAACAGAACUGUAGGAAGAGAUAAUCUAAGGAAAAAAGAAAUUAUUUAAUCAUUCAAAUAAAAAAUUAAUUGAAAAUUUGGACAAGACAUGCCCAUAACCACAUUGGGACAGCGAUGAUCUAACCUUGUUAAAUAAUAUUCGACGUCAGUCCAUGGGACCGGAACAAGCUGGCAAUUCUGAUCUCGUUAUGCCAAAAAUAUCUUUUGGUUUUAAUUUUGGAAGAGACAAAAUUAUUUCUAGAAAAUAUACUUAUGUAGUAAUUGAUCAUUUGAUUGUGGCAGGUUGUUUGAGUAUUUUGAAGUAGAAUUAAUUGCAUUAUUUUUAUCAACCAAGAAAAUUUGCAUGUUUUUUUUGGGUUGAAAUUUUUGUUGCAUGUUAGAUUGUUGGUACAUGUUUUCUUCUUCAUGGUAAGACGUUAUGUUUUUUUGACGAAACAUAAGUGUGUGUAUACUUGGCCCAUGUCAUGUGCGUGUUUAUGUGAAUCCAUUUGGUUGGCAGUUAUUUUUUCCGUCCUUUGUGUACAUUGUUUAUGUCAUGUGCGUAUUUACGUGAACCCAUUAGGUUGGCAGUUCUUUUUUCAUCCUAUGAGUUUCUCAUAUACAUUGUUUGAAUUCUACAAUUCUAAAUGUUUAAUGUAUUUUGAAGGGUUUUACGUUUUUUUUUUUUUUUGCCGUUCGGAUUCUAUAAUAUAGGGCGCACGAGAAAUUAAAUAAGUGGAAAAAGAAAGUGUCAAUUAGGUUCUCUUUCUUGUGACCAAUUUUUAUAGCCCAAAAGUUUUUAGAAAUAUAAAUGUGGGCUUCCUAGUUUGCUCAUAGACCCCCAAAACACUGAAAACAUAACAUUAUGAAAUUACAAAAACUCAAUUUCAUAGAACAUAACGAUAGAUCGGUCCUUUUUAACCGUCAAAGAUCUAAAUAGGGACUGUACAUCACCGUCAUCCUUAUGAACCGACUAAUAAUCAUGCAUGCUAUCAUUGUCGUUGGGGAUAUUUUUGUUAAUUGGAGAUAUUUAUAAGCAAGUGCCUAAAUAACAACUUUGAAAUUAAUAUGCCUGAUGUAAUGUUUCUAAAAAAAUAUCUUAUGUAGAGCUAAGCCCAAUUAAAUUGUUAGGAAGCUGAAAUAAAAAAAUAAAAGGCUAUUAAUUUUCCCACCCUAUCCAUUAUUCGCGCACCUUUUUUUUUUUUACGAUCAAUUUCUAUGUUGUUUCGGACGUGCUCAGAUUAUAUAAUUCAAAAUAUGUUUAUAUAUAAGCAGAAAUAAGAAUCAUUCCCAUUUUAGCAGUUUUUAACUUUGCUUUCAAACAUGUCAAAUAAAAUCAAAAAAAUAAAUGCCACCAAAAAAUUCUAACAAUCAAACAAAAUAAUGCAAUUCUUUUCGGAUUUUUUUCUGAGAAUAUGAAGAAAAAAAAAAGUUUAAACGAUAGAAUUUUGGAUUUUGAGGGACGGAGUCCCGUAAGAAGUCUCUUGUUCUCUGAUUUUUCUUCUUCUGAUUUUCUGUCCAAGUUUCGGAGCAAUAUGAUCAAAUAGCUCGAAAACCGUAUUUUCAACUAGCUUAAAAUGACUAUCCAUGUUGCAAAUAGGUUCAUAAUUUAUAUUGAUACAGUUCGGAUUAUAUAAUCCGAAAUAUGUUCCCUUAAAUAAGGGUGUUUAGGCGUUGUUCGGAUACUAUAAUCCGAAAAAAGCAAGGAACACGUCCUAUUUUUUGGGGUGUUCAGAUUAUAAAAUUCGAAUUGAUGAAAAACUCCUUUUUUCACCCCAAAAUAUAAGGAAAACUCAAUUUAAAUUAUAGAGUCCAAAAAUUGUAUGAGCAUUUUUGUAUAUAUAUAUAAAAAAAAAAAAAGCGCGGGGAAACUGAUAGGGUGGGAAAAGUAAUCCCCAAGAUAAAAUAAAAAAGGAUAUAUGCCUGGUCCAGAAACAAAUACAAGCUUAGCCCAUCAUUACCAAACACACGUCUGCCCAUCAUGAACAAUGUUAGAAAAUUGCUCGUUUCACUUCUAAAUUUGCUCUUUAACACAAUAUUAGAAGAACAAUUAACCGUCGUCGAGGGUAUUUUGAUAUUUUAAGGUUUUAAAUAGUAAAUUUUGAAGUUCGAAUAGCAAUUUUCAAAAUAUUAAGAUCUCAUUUGACGCCUUUUAUGACGGGUUAUCCAAAUUUGAUGAGAAUUUGGUAUCCAAAAAAUUGUUACAAUAAUUUGAUGAGAAUUCAAAGAAAAAAAUAAUUAAAAUCACAUUUUAUAUUUGUUAUUUAUCAUAAAAAAAGGACUUAUCACAGUAUAUCUCACGGAAACAUUUUACGUUUGUUAUUUAUAAUAAAAAAAACAAAUAAAAUCACAUUUUAUGUUUGUUUUUAUUUUAUUUUUGAUAGAAACAUUAUCAUCAUUGUUGUGGGACAUUGAAAGGGAAGUGGGUUUAUGGUGGUUAUUUUUUACGUUAAUGACAAUAUUUACAAUUUAAAUAUACGAUGAUUUUAAAAAAUAAUUGUUUUUUUAAUUAGGGAUCCAUUUUUUAUAUUAGAACAUGACUUCCGAUUCGAUUGGUACAGCCAGGGACGGAUCCAGAAUUUUCAAUAAGCAGGGUCAAUGCAUAUACAUAAAAUUACAGGAGAAAAUAUGAAAGUAAUACUACUAUUUUAUUUAGAAAGUCAUAUAUUUUAUGUAAAAUGCACGAGUUUCUAAACAAACAUAUUAUUUUGAACAUAUUAACAUGUGCAAUUGCACUUGAUAGAAAAACUUUUUAACAAACAUAAUAUAAAAUUAGUUUAGAAUAUGACUAGGGUUUUCCUCUAGUGUACUCCCUCCCGUCAUGUUUAUAAGAAAAAAAUUAUUUUUUAGGUUCAUUGAAUAGAUAUCAAAUACAUUAGGUAUUUAAUGAAUCUAAAAUAUAGUGUUUUGCUUAUAAAUGUGAUUAAAAAAAAGUAUUAGUUUUGUUAUAUGAGGUCAACGUACAAUUUAAAGUGGGAUCAAGAUAAAAAAAAUCAUACUAUUAUUAGUUGAAAUAAAAUAAAAUAAAGUGGGGUCAAUUGACCCCAAUGCACACAAGGUGCAUCCAUGCCUGGGUACAGCUCUACUGUUAAUGGUGUUGUGGAAACUUCGUAUCAAUAAUAUGAUAAUAAAAAAUUGCGUCAUCUAAGACAUGGAAGAAAAACGUGUGCUGUAUAUUUAUUUUUCUUUUACAUUUUUCGAUUAGCUCACUCAGAUGUAAAGUGAGACAAGUAAAUUUUAGAGUGGUCCUUUUAUUGUUGUCAUGAAACCUUAUCUUCGACAAAUGUUACUUUCACAGCCUAAUAUAGUUUCCAAUUCAAUUAAUGCUUUAAAAAUGAAAUGAAUAUUAGCCCCCCGUCUUAAAAACGUACAAUGAAUCAAAUAAAUGUCAUUUUAUCUUCUUAUACUGUAUUUAGGAUUGGAGGGAGUAUUAGGCUAAGAUUUUGAUUGAAAUGGACAAUUUCAAACAUGUGUAUGUAUAUAUAACAUAACUAGAUGGACAAAGCUUUAAUGGCUCAAACCACCAUUGUAAAUAAAUAAAUGUAAUUGAUUCUUGAUGCUAUGUAGUAGCAUUCUUGUGACUUAAGCAAACUGAAAUUCUAGUUAUUUUUUGAACUAGAGGACCACUUUGAGUCAGCAUUUCAUUACUUUUUGCCUUGGAUUUAAUCCUUUCUAGUAUCUUAAUUUAUCACAAAAAGUGGUUGAGUAAACAUUAGUUACCACUUGAUUUAAUUCCGUAUCUAGAAUUAGAAAACUUGCGGUACUAUAUUAGGAAACUUGCAUGGAUAGAAACAUGUAAGAAAACGUGGAUAAAAGUUGUUCACUGAUCCAAUUCCAAUUAACGUGUAAUUAUCAGAUUCGUCUUAAAUGAAUGAGUUGGAUUGGUAAUCACUCUUUGUCAUGCAUUGUAUCUUCUUAUUUAUUAAGCUUUAACUUUGGUUAUAGACUUCUGGGUCUAAAAGGCAAUAACUUUUUCACAUUAUGUACAUAGCCAGAAAAAAAAAAUAGUACUAAUUGCAAAAAAUAAUUGUUUGAUAACCAUUUUCACACUUCAGUGCAUCUUUGUAUGCUUCCUCCACUUGGUAGUUGCAGUGCAAGAAAUUUGAUUCUCCCUUAGAAAUAUUAUUAAUUUCAUAUUUGAGUUUUGUGAAUCAACUUGACUCAAUUUGAUAAUGAUAGCCUAUAGAUUGUUGUAUUAUUAGACAAAUUAAAACUGCUUCCCUGAUUUACAUAUGUCAAUGUAUGAACCAAUCCUAUACUGGGCACGUUGGCAACAUAGAAUUUUGUCAUAUGUUGCAUUGAUAUAUGGACUGUACCUUUACAAUUGAUUGAUUGAUUGUGUUUGAAAUUAAGUGAUAUAAUCACGAUUUUCUCAUGUUUGAUUGUGUUUGAAAUUAAGCCUAAACAUACCUUGCACUACUCAGAAGCUUUUACAAUGUGCGAUACAAAUACAAUUUGCUAAGAAAAUUAGGGAUUGACAAUUUUGACAUUAUUUUCACGAUAUCAAUAACCACCUAUACAUAUGGACAAUUUGAGUCCGUUCAACAUUAUCAAAACAAUUUUCUUAAGGCAUGUGGGAAUUACACACACUUUAAACAUGAGUGUGGAUAUUGAAGUUGUAUUUGAGUCAUGUUGUUAAAGUUUCUGAAAUAUGCAACCUAUAUAUUAUUUGAACACCCACACCUUAUUAGUUAGCAUUUCAUAGUGAUAUUCAAAUUAAUUUAACAUGUUAUCAUGUUGAGAUUUUGUGGACAUGUGAAAAUUGGACUCCGAUUCACAUUAGACGUUAUAGUGAAUAUUAGAAAUUGUAUUUGAGUCUAAAUAAGUUUAGUCACUCUCAUUAACUUUUGUCGGUCAGUUCCAAAAUUAUUUAACAAUUUUUUUAAUUUUUUUCUUAUUAUCUUAGUUGAUUUUUUUUAUGACAAGAACCAAAUUAACUCAUUUCAUUCAUAAUAUCAAGCUGAAUACAAGAUGACAUAUGCUCAUGAUAUUGGAAACUAACAAAUAACAAUGAUGCUCUUGCUAACAAACAAGCCACAUUAUUUACUUGUCACCUCUUUUAAAUUGCACGCUUCCGCUUCAUUUGGUUGUGGAAUUCAUUGAAACCAAUUUGUUUUUGCUGCUAUGUACUCGUUUUCUCCCCUCAAACACAUUCCUACUAUGUAGCACCUUUAAGAUGUAUUAACUACUAUUACUUUAUCAAUAAUAUCUUUAAUUGCUUAUUACAAAUAUAAAUUGCGUCAAAAAAAUUAUUACAAAUUUAAAAAUAUUUACAUCAUGAUAAUAAACAGACAAAAUUACCGCACACAAGGACGGACCUGAACAAGACACAGUGUGGCAAGUGCCACACCAGUUCAGGUCCAAUUCUUUUUUAUUUUUUUCAAUAUUUUUUUAUCGGCUCAUUGUAUAUUUUUACUUGUAUAUUAAUAUAAACACCUAUUUUUUUAUGUUUAUACAUGCAUCUAUAUUUUUACUCAUAUAUUAAUAUGGGGACAUAUUUUUUCUCUUAAUUUACACGUGUCUAUAUUUUUACUCAUAUAAAAGAACCUAUUUUUUUGUAAUUUAUAUAUGUGUUUAUAUUUUAACUUAUAUAUUAAUACGGGCACCCAUUUUUUUUUAAUUUAUACACAUGCCUAUAUUUUAAUUCAUAUAUCAAUACAUAGGUUUAUAUAUAUAUAUAUAUAUAUAUAUAUAUAUAUAUAUAUAUAUAUAUAUAUAUAUAAUUUCUAUGCAAUUGCAACUUGUUUUCAAAAAAAGAGCGCAACACGCUUAUCGGUCUGCAUGCACGGGUAUCCUGCUAGAGCAUUUGACAUCUCUUGUAACCUAUAUAUAAAGAGAUGUUCUUAAAACAAUUAGUAAUGAUAUAAUUUUAGUUCAUUUUCAACAAAUAGAAAAUAGAUUAUUUUCUUUGUAAUUUUGGUUGUUGCAACUAUUUUCAAUAUAACUUCUUAUUAAACUCAAUAUUAUAUAAUUAUUUGACAAAAAUUUUGCCUCACUAGUAUUUUGAAAGUCCAGAUCCGUCCCGGACUGCACACAAAAAAAAAGUUUCUAGUUGCAUUGGCUUGUGGCAUUGAUAUGUGUUUCUUUCAAGGUCCUAUAUUUGAUUUUCUUUACACUAUGUUUGGUAGAAGAGAAAUAAGCAAGAGAGAAAUAAGGGAGAGAGAAGUUGGAGAGAGAUAGGCUAUUUCUCAUGUUUGGUAUAGAAGAGAAGUGAGCAGAGAGAUACAGACGACGUGGGACCCACGCCUUUUUCACUUCUCUCCAGUGCGAAGAAAGAGAGUGAAGGCACACACUUUUUCUUAUUUUUCACUAUUCUCCCUGGUUAUAUACAACUAUAUUAUUUAUCAUUUUGUUUUCAAAUUUUUGUUGUUGCUUUCCUCAAUUUUUUUUUUGUUGUUGCUGUAGCCGGUCGAAAAAAAAGCAAGUUGAGAAUAAAACCAAAAAGAAACUAAUAUGGUUCUCCCUCUUUGAUCUAAUUAAUUUAAUCCAAAUGAAACUAUUGGAAUUCACUAAUUAGUUAAGUAAUGAAUUAGGAGAAUUUAAUCGAGAUGACUAUGUAAACACAAGAAUUAAUUUAAUUGGACAAAAUUUAAAUAUUCUAAAUUAUUAAUUGAGUAAAUAAUUUAUUCAAUAUUUAUGUAAAAAAAUGUAGUUUAAUUAAUUCUUGAAUUAAUUAAACUAAAAUAAAAAAACAACAUUUAUGUUAGGUUAGUAAAUAAUUUAUUCAAUUUUUAUGUAAAAAAUGUAGUUUAAUCAAUUCUUAAUUAAACUAAAAUAAAAAAACUACAUUUAUGUUUAUAUGAAAUUAAAUUCAAAUAUAAUAUUGUAUAUUAACUUUUCUAGUAUAAGGAUAUUUUAGUCUUUUCAAAAAUUAAACACACUUCUUUCUCUUCUAUUUCUAUUCUUUCUCUCUUAUACCAAACAAUAGCUCAAAUUUACUCUAUUACUCAUCAACUUCUCUCUUCUCUUACUCUUUCUCACCUCUUUCUCUCUUCACGCUUUCUUCUCACAAUCAAACACACACUUAAUGUCAAUUUAUAGUGGUUAGUCCAUACAAAGUUUUGCUAUAGUUUAAGUAGACUCCUACAAGUAGACGAAAGAUUGGACUCGUAGGACUAGUCAAUCCUUAAGCUAAAUACCGAGUUUUUUUUUUUAAAAAAAAAAAAAAAAACUUAAACUGGUCGAUAAGAAUGAGUUUUAUCUUUUCCAUAUCACUCUCUUGUACUAUUUGUAAGAUAUUUUCGCUCUAGGACUAUCUAACUAUCUUAAUUCUUAACUCCAUUUUCUAGGAAGAAAUGUUGUCACACACGUUUCAAUAAACUUGACCUCAUUUUUGUAUCAAUUAUCAAGUAAUAUUGGUAUAUCCAAUGAAGGGGCAAAUUAUAGAAUACACCACAAUUAUAUAUAGGUGGUUCAUGACAUGAUAUAUAUUCAUUAUCCAAUAACAAUUCAUUAAGAUAUUUGCAGAACAGUCGAUUAUUUGAUUUCAACAGUUUAAGGAAGCUUGUUGUCAUUGUCCAUCAAUGUACACUCAGCUUCCCAUAAAGAAACAAGCAUGCUUCACAAGGAUAAGACCAGUCCAAGUAAUCCACUGCCAUGUGUCAAAAAAAUGGAAGCUGCUUAAGAUAUGUUCCAACCUUUUUCAUGAUAUACAUUGGUACAAAAUUGAAUUCCAUCUAAACCUUUUUCUUCAUGCAUAAAAAUCCUAGUUUACUUGGACAAAUGCUAUUGGACCCUUUAAACUGAUUACUGAGCUUCUAAGUCGUUCAACAAAAAUAUGCUUUAGGUAGGAUCAACCACUCCAAUACAUUAAAAAAAAUUGUGAGAAGGUAGUUGGGAAGCAGCAUUGGAAGUUUCUACCGACACAACGUGUAAUCAAUAGAACAUGACCUGAAUAUCCAGCUAAUGAUUUCUGGUUCUAGUUGAAACUUGUUCUUAAAACACUCAAAUCCGUGUGAGAAUGUUGAUGAUUAACUGUUCAACAACACAAAAAUCCGUGACUUAUAAGUUAUUAACUUUUCUAACUUGUUUGCAUUGGAACAUAAAUUUGCCAGCUACCAACUUUUUCUGAACUUCAACGUGCUCUGAACCACAUCAUAUGAUGCUUGUUUGUGUCUUUCAUUCAUUUAUUUACAACCCAAAAUGCACGUUUUUCUCUCUCUAUAAUUUAAAGUAGUUCUAAGCUUCAAGUAAGAACAUUUACUAUACUCGAAAAAAACCAAACAUAUCAAAAUCAAUUUUAACUCUCAAUAUGUGGAACCAAACAUACACUACAUCAUAGCACAGCCAUCAAGAAUUAAAUGUUUUAUUUCUAAAAAAAUCAGUUUUCACCCUUAUCAAGAGAGCUUCUCCAAGCAGUCAACAAAAAUAAAUUUUAAAUUUAUUAUUCUUAAAUUAAAAAUGAUACCAAGGGUCAAGACAUCAUCCACCCACCCAAUUUGAUUAAGAUCAUUAUCAAUAAACUUUGUUUGUUAACUAAAAACUCAAACUCAUGAAGUAUUGCUGUUAGGUAAUUCAUUUCACAAAAGCAUAAACCUGUAUUCACUCCUUGUCAUACAAAACAAAACAAGAAAUUUUGCUGCUAGUUACAUGAAUAAGCAAGCUAACUAGCUAAUUUGUAAAAUUCUAAAAGUAUUGAUUGACUUUUUUUCCUUCCCAAAUGAAACAACCUAUGAAGAAGGCAUCUAUCAUUCUGUACAACAACAUUAGUUUUACUGUAUAGAUAUUUCUUUCUAUUUUGUGCUUAAAUUUUGCGCUGAUGCAGCAGCAAGUCCUUCCAGCAGUCUGAUAACGUGACCAGUAUCAUCCAAAUAGUAUUUAGCCCUACUUGGUUUAUAACCAAUAGUGCAUGCAAACACUUGUGAUGAGGUUGGUAAGGCUAAAUUUGCAAUGCUUUCAAACAUAUCUUCAUCUGAACGAUCAUCUCCUAGACAUAGAAGAAAAUCUGGUGACUUCUCCUCAUUCCUCAUGGUUGAUAUAAGCUCUUCCACCACUUUACCUUUGCUCACACCCUGCAUUCCCACAUAAAUACAUGAAACCAUUACAAAAGAAAAAAUUUAAUAAUCUGACUAUUACAAUGUAUAUGAAUUAAAUCCUUAAAAGAACUCAGAGAAAGGAAUCAUCAUUACAAAAUUCACUUUCAUAAACAACCUUCAUUCCAAUUCUAAUUAACUAAUGAAAUCUUAAAACGAAUUAUCUUUCAUUUGGUCUCUUGAAAACUAAGAAAUGACAAAAGAUUAAUAUGCAUAAAAGAGGAUGGUUUGUUUAUGAUACCUGAGGCUUUACUUCAACAAUAUGUUGUCCCCUUUUAACUACUACAGGAUCAUUGGCCAGCAUACUCUCAAGGUGAACAAGAAGCUCUUUAGCUUGCCACAGUCCAAAAUCAGGAUCUGCUUCUUGAUGUUGCCAAACCAUUGCACUUUCUUUUUCUUCAAUGAAGGAACCAUCAGUCGCUUCUGUGUAAAGCGCCAUCACCUUUUCUACAUUAAUUUUCCAAUCAAAAUCUGAUGCCAAUCCGAGAGUCGUCCAAGGAGAAUCCUUACUCCACCUGCCAUCAGUCAAAAAGGAAUCCAUAAAAUGAAUCAACAAGUAAAAAACACAUCGAGAUCAUGCAACAUUGAUGAAUGAAUGAUGAAUUUCAAUUUCAAGAACACUACAUUGAAAAGUUUAAUUGAAUAAUGUUACCUUGUGAAGUAACCAUGUUCUGCAGAGAGACCCAAUUUGUCACAUGGAGAAAACCAGUCGCUAAGGCAAACUCUUCCCCUGCCACUAACAAUGAACACUGUAUUUUUGGGAUCACUGCAUAAGGAAUUCAAGAGAGAGAUAACAUCCAAACUAGGAGCUUUGUUAAUUGAUCCCUGAGGCAUCAUGGUGCCAUCAUAGUCCAAAAGGAUCAACCUACUUUUGGUAUCUUUGUAAGCAGGGGCAAUGUCAUCAAGACAAAGCUUCUUAAAACUAGGAUCCAAAGCAAUGAUUCUAAAAUUAUCAAGUCCUAAUCCCACAUAUGUCUUGAGAUAAUGCUCCCUACAAGCUCUCUCUAAAUCCUGAUCAAAACUCUUGGCCCAAUACGCUACAUCAUGAGAGCUUAUGUACUUAUAAUUCUUCUUGUGCCGCAAUUGCUUCUCGGAAUCCUUCAUUUUGAUUGCUGAGUUCAUUUUCUCUGAAACAUCAUCAAUGUUCCACGGAUUCACCCGAACUGCCCCGCUGAGUGAAGGCGAACAACCAAUGAACUCAGAAACAAUGAUAACACUAUUUUUAGGCUCAUCAUUUCCCACUCCAAGUGUUUUGUCCAAUUCAACACUUCCUUGUCUACAAACAGUAUACUCGUAAGGAAUCAAAUUCAUCCCAUCCCUCACAGCAUUCACAAUACAACACUCUGAUAUAGCAUAGUAAGCAGCCUUCUCCUGAGUCGAAACCGGACCAUUUAUACAAACAAUUGGCCUAUACCCAGAUUGUUCAUCACCAUAUUUGUCAUUAACUUCUUUGGCAAUAGCUUCAAUCUCAAACUUCACAUCCUGUAUAUCUUUUCCGCUACUCCUUGCUUGAUUCAGAAUCUGAACCAACACAACUUCACCCCUUAAUUUUUCAUUUCCCUCCAAAAGAUUCCUCAAUGCCAGAAACUUCAACCCAAUACCUUUGAACAAAUCCAAGUCAUCAACCCCCAAAAUCAAAACCUUCCCUUCAAAUUCUUCCUUCAACUCUUUCACCCUCUUAGCUGUUUCAGAGGACGACAAAACCAAUUCGAGAAGACCCAUGUGGAUCCCCACAGGAAGAAUCUUGAUGGUAACAUUUCUUCCAAAGUAAUCAACACCAAUGUAACCUCUUUUAGACUCAUAAUCCAAACCCAACAUCCUACUACAACAAGACAGAAAAUGUCUAGCAUAAUCAAAAGUAUGAAAUCCAAUCAAAUCACAGUUCAACAAACCCCUAAGAAUUUCUUCACGAACAGGUAUUGUUCUAUAGAUUUCUGAAGUAGGAAACGUGUUGUGAAGAAAAAAACCCAAUUUGACUUUAGGAAAACGUUUCCUCAAGUAAGUUGGUAAAACCAUUAGAUGAUAAUCAUGAACCCAGACAUAAUCUUCAUCAGGAUUCAAAACCUCGCGAACCUUGUCCGCGAAGAUUCUAUUGGCCUUUUUGUAUGAAAGCCAAUGAGAGGAAUUGAAACGCACACCUUGACUCUUGGACAGAGGUAGCAUGUAGUGAAACAAAGGCCAAAGAUAAUGCUUACAAAAACCAUGGUAAAAAUAGUUGUGAGUUUCAGAAGGUAGAAAAGUUGGAACACAGCGAAACUUUUCUAACAAGACUUUGGCAACUUCUUCUUGCUGUGAUGGUUCAAUUUCAAUAUGUGAUUUUAACGAACCAACGUAAAAGAGUUCAGAAUCAGAGGAAAUACCGUCUUUGAGCUGAAAAUAUAUGCUAUCAACGUCCCAUUCGAAUUUCAAGUCACAAGAAGAAGAUGAAACAACGCGUAUUGGUAACUGAUUUGAUACUAUUAUCAUUCUUCGUUUACGAGAAAUCGGAGAUGAAGGAACUGAAACGUUGGAAUAUUGUCGUUGAAACUUCUGGAACGGUGUCAUGAGUUCUGGAACUAUGUUUAGGUCUUCUUGUUCGUAAUUGUUCAUUGUUGUUAUUUGAUGGUUUAAUAAACCUAAACAAGAUCUUGAAAGCAUUGUUUGAAAAAUGAAAAAGGUGGGAGUGUUUGUGUUUGUGUUUAUGUUUAUGUGAAAAAAGAUUAUAGAUGAGUGUUGCAAAGGAAGAUGAAGCGUUGUUGAUUAAUGGAAAUUGAAGAAAUUACUGAUUCAAAUUCCAUAUGAUAGAUAAUAUAAGAAGAAGAUUAUGAGAGGAGCGUGUGUGAUUUUGAGAAAAGAAAAAAAAUACUGUAUAUACAAGACUCUGCUUACUUUUUUAUGUGACUAUACCACUAUGGAUAAGAACGAAAUUGAACCGGUUUUCUAUAUUAUGUUAAUUAAUUUUAUCUGACGGUUUAGAUUUCUUCUUAUCUCAUCACUACAUUAGAUACUAUGCGCUUAUUCUUUGCUUCUGGAUUUUAAAAUGUUACCGGCUAUAACCGGUGAGGUGAAAAUGGAUAAGGAUAUAGACCAAAGUAUAAAAUUUGCAUUCAAUGCUAAUUCUUUGGAUCACGUGGCCUUUACGGCAACAUCAUAAAAAUAGAACAAUCCAUCAAUUUAUUUUUAAAUUGCAGUAUUCCUAACAAAUAGUACAUCUAAUUUUAUUACUAUAUUUAUUCUCAGUUAUAUUUUACGAUUAUUUGGUUUGCUACACUUUGGAUCAUUUGAAAUGAUAGGAAUAACCAUAGAUUUUAAAAUAUGGUUUUCAAUCCUAUUAACCUCUUAGACAAAGUAAAGUUUAAUUCUUUCUUAUGGUUAAGGUCGAAAUAGAUGGAUUUUACCUAUUUUUACCAUGAUUGGUGGAAACACCUCAUUCCUCGUAUGUGUGUUCUCUUGUAAUUUUUAUUCUAGAUGGUGCUUUUGUUUUGGCACCAUAAUCUUGUAAAUAUUUUCUGGUGUUUUCCUUUUACACAUCUUAUGCAGAGUGAAACAUUGUUGGUUUAGUAAUAUAUCUCAUUUUAAUUUGUUAAAAAAAAAUAUUUAAUUUCUCAAACAUAGCACUUGAUACUAAUUUUUUAGAUCAGACUCACUAAUAAUAUCAAUAAUUUUAUAUCAUUAUAUUUUAAUUUUUAUUAUUAAAAAUGUGUGGAGCUCACAAAUAAGAAACGUUUAUUAGAGACUCUCAACUUAUUAAGCAUCCAAAAAAGAAAAUCCACAAUGAUAGUACCUAAUAGGUAUCAAUACCACAAUGGUGAUAUAAUUGAGGAUGGUUUUAGGAUAAUUGUUAACAAUUUUUUUUUUUUUAAUGUUUUAAACUUAAAUGUGGUUUUUGUGGUUUGGUUUUCUUAAGACCUGAUUUUGGGUUUCCUAUUUCUAAUUGUGCAUUAUUUGUUAUCCAAUUUAAAAAAAUUGACAAAUUCAUGAUUCCAACCAUUCAAUUUGAGUAUUUCAUAAUAUAUUAGGUGAGCUGACAUAAAAGUGAAUGGUCUAAUCAUCAAGAGUCUUCAAAAUCAAGAUGUUAAAAUUAAGUCAUGAUCAAAUAUAAAGAGACAUAGGAAGAUCAUUAAAAUGAUACAAAAAUAGUAAAAGAAUUUAAAGCUAAACAUCCUUAGACUGAAACCGAUAACCUCUUUAUUCAAGAUUUGUCAGACGGAAUAACUAAAAUUUAAAUUAGAAUUAGUCAAAAAAAAAAAAUAGAAAUAAUCAUGUUAACUUAUCUCAUAAAGAACGCAUAAGAGUGUUUAGAUGAAAUGAUAUAAUAUUUUAGGAAUUAAUCUUCACAUUUACGCACGUUAAUUUUUUUAUUUUAUUUAUUAUUAUACAGCUUAGUGGCUAACACACACACAUUUUAAGUGUAGAAAAUUGUGCGUUUGAGGUUCGAACCUUAAUCUCUAUAUAAUAUUAUCAUUGCAGCUACCAACUGACUUGCACAUGCAUAAUUGUUUUCACAUAUUUCAUAUUAUAAGAUGCUUUUUUUUUUAAGAAAUAUAUAUAUACAUGUUUUUUAUAGCCAAAAUAAUAUUACUCCCUCCAUCCCAUAAUAACUGAGUCAUUUGCAAAAAAAUAUUGUCUCAGAAAAUUGACCCAUUUCACUUUUCAAUACAAUAUUAAUUAUUUUUUUCUAAUUAUAACACUAAUUAAUACUCCAUCCGUCCCAAAUUAUAAGAAAAAAAAACUCAUCUUCUUUGUCCCAAAUUAUAAGUAAAAAAGACCAACUUUUAUCAAAUUUAAUUAUAUUGUUUCAAAAAAUCAUCUUUUUCAAAGAAAAAAUAAAUGCAAAGUGCAUUCAAUUUGCUUUCUCUUUCAUUUUUUCAAUAACCAAUUAAAAUUGUUUUUACGUCUUCCUAUAAAAAUUAUUUCAAGGAUAACACAAGAAACUAUGUUGCAAACUACUAUGUUUUUGUUUUCUUAAUAAGUGUGAUUUAUUUUUUGUUUAUAAUAUGAGACAAAGAGAGUACUACUUUCAUCACUCUCAAUUCAAUAUAUUCUACUUUGCAUUUAUGAUAAAUAAUAAUGCACCAAUAGUUGAUAAGGGCACUCAAAAUCAUUUUUUUCUCUCUUACACUUAUACACUUUUUCUUAAUAAACGUGAAAUGAACCAAAAGCUCAAUUAAAAUGAGACCGAGGGAAUUCAUUUUAACUCAAUUGGUUUUAAAUUUUAAUGCAAGUAUUGUGUCUAUCUAUAUAUUUAUUUUGGAAUGCAUACAAUACCUUCUUUUUCAUACGGUUGAAAAGAUCAAAAGUGGAUGGAUAUAUUAUACGAGUAGGGUGUGUUUGGUUUAAUGGAAAGAUUAAAAGAGGAAAAGAAAGAUUGUGGAAAGAUCUUCUUUCCAUUGUUUGGUACCCCCAACAAAUAAGUAAGGAAAGAAAGUUUUGGAUGGAACCCACACAAAAAAUCUUUCUUCACUAGAUUGAACCGAAACAAGAGAGGAGACCAUGUUUUUGCUUAAAAAAGACAAAAAAUAACCCUAUUCAAUAAUAUAAUAUUAACAAUAUGUAAUGGAUGCUAUUUUAUGAAAUAAACAAUAUAUAAUGUCCACAAAAAAUUAUAUUAUACAAACAUGCCAAAAAAAUAUAAGAGAAGAGAAAGAUGAAUAUUUGUAUGUGUAAUUUUGUCACAACACUAUAUAUUAUUGCAUAUAUUAAUAUUUUAUUAAUAUACAAGGGUAUUUAUGUCAAUUAAUAAAUACAUAUCUUUCUUUUCUCUUACUUUUUAUUCUACUUUCUCUUUUACCAAACAACCAUAACAAUUAUUUAACUUUCUACUCUCUUUCAUUCCUUACAUAAUCUUUCCUUUCACUUUUAUUCACCAACCAAACAAAGCCGUAAUUGAUUGAAAAAAUCGAAGUGUUUUAAGAAUAAAAAGAGGAACACACGCCAACAAGACGAGAUCCCUCUCCGCGUUCACACGGAUGGCACAAAUUUCCUUGGAUGACGUUUAAUUCCCCUAGUCCCUAGCUACGGUUCUGGGUUAUCUACAACAGCUAGGAAGAUUUGAUUGUGGAUGGAUGUGUAAUGUGUUUUUAGACGAGAAUGAAUCCUUUCAAUUUUUAUAGAUUAAUGUUAACUUGUGUCUUUGGAACACAUGUUAAGUAAUCAAAAAGAGUAAUUUUGUAUCGGAAAAUAUAAUAUAUUAAUUUUUAGGAUUAAUUAAGUUUUUAGUUCUUAUAAAUAUUCACAGUUUUGUUUUUAGUCCCUAUAAAAUAAAAUCACACUUUUUAGUCCCUGUGACAUUUUCCUUAAGCAUUUUAGGGACCAAAAAUGUUGACGGAAAUUUUUUACAAGGACUAAAAAUGUUGAUGGAAAAUUUUUAUAAGGACUACAAAUGGUGAUGGAAAAUUUUAUAGGGACUAAAAAGUAUGAUUUUAUUUUGUAAGGACUAAAAACAAAACUGUGAAUAUUUAUAAGGACUAAAAACUUAAUUAACCCUAAUUUUUGAAAAGUUGAAUGCACGACUUUUGAUACAUGCAUUUCUUUAAUAAGUUUCUAAACAUGUGCCCUAUAAAAUAUAAUCAAAACCUAUAAAAUUUAAAAUUACAUAGUGUAUGCAUUGAAAAACAUUUCAACUUAUUUAUAGAACUAUUUUUUAUUAGAAAUUGUUUAGGCGAUUCGUACUCAGAAAGGAUUUGAAGUGAUCGGACAUAAUGAUGGCAUUUGUCAAACAACAACCAUCGAGAAGCAAUUUGACGGGUGUAUAGAGUAACUUAUUACACUCAAGUUAUUAAGAGAGCAGAGUGAAAAUGGUUAUAGAGAUAGCCAUUGAAACGGUGUUACGAAAGAUGUUAUUGUUACCAUAAAUUCCUUUUAGGUUUGUUUUGUUCAAAAUUUGAAGUCCAAAGUCCUAUUUUGGACCGACUUUGUAUAUUGUAUAAUUUUAUUGAUGUUGAAAAAAAACUUAAAAGAUUAAAAUAAACAGAAGACCAAAUUUAUUUUAAAGAAAGAAGACCAAAUUAAAUAUUAGGCAGUAAGAUAUAUAUUGAGUAAUAGAUAAAGAUAAAAAAUUUCUAAAGAAAAAGAAGAUAAAGAUCAACAUAUAUUUUAUUCUUUAAAUUUUAAUCAAAUGGAAUAUAUGUUGGAAAUGUAUGUAGGGAUCGAAGUUCGAACUUCAUCCAUUCCAUUUAUUUACAUUUAAAAUAUUAAACUACUUAACCAAAUAAAAAAGAAAUACUCUAGUUGGUUAAAAGCUAAAUUCUUAGCAAUUUUUUCUUUUAUUUGAGUAAUAGUGGGAUUAUGAAUACGAAAGAGUAAGACAUGGUGUGAAAGAAGGGGUAGAUGAAUUGUUAGAAGUAGCCACAUGGAUCUAUUGUUAAGGAACGUGGCGUGUGGAUGUCGUCUUAUCCCCAAAGACUGCUUUGACUGCCAGCUUGGCAUCCACUCUUCUUCAUGUACUAAUCUGAUCAAAUCACUUUAUGCCACAUCUCAUCCAAUUUCUACUAUGCUCUUCUUUGUUUACACGCAGCUUUCAUCUAAAAAUGAAGUAUAAUAACACAAAUUAUUAUGCUCCAAAUCAAUAGCUUUUUCUUUGUCUAUUAGUAUAAUUGUAGUAAUAAGAAUAACUGUGAUAAACAUAAAUCUGAAAUGAAAGGUUUCUUUUAUUAUCAUUUUUAGUGCCUAAUAAUAGAUAAAAUUAAAUAAAUGGCUAAAGAAGUGUAUAAAUGAACAAACGUAUAAAAUACGGUGGACGUCGGCAUUUAGAUGUGAAAAAACGUUUGUGAAUUUAGAAGAUUUGCAACGUUCUGGCAGAAAUAGGUCUCACAGAGGGGUGGGGUCAACUGAAAGAUGGGGCCCACUUUAUCCACAAACAUAUUGCUAUAAAAGGUAGUUAUUCACGUGGCUGGCAUAUAAUGUUCUAUUCUAUCUAAUUUAAGGUAUAUGAUGUUCUAUUUUAUCUACUAUUUUUUCUUCUCUACCUUACUUUACUUUUUUUUUUUUUUUUGUUGCAGAUAAAAUCUCAUUAGAAUCAUUUUUCUUUUUCAUGUUUCAAAUUCAAUGAUAUUAAUUUUAUUUAGAUAGUAAUUUCUUGCUUCAUUCAUUAGUUAAAUUUUACUAUUGAAUUAAUCAAUAUCUCACGAUUGGACUAAAUCAUAUAUGAUUAUAAUUAUUGAUUUAUAGUAGUAGUGAAAAACUCAUUUGUAUAUGAUACAAAACCAUUUUCCUUAAAAAAAAAAAAAAACAUAUAAAAUCAUUUUUUUGUUAACCUUCCAAUUUUUAGAGGAAAUGGAUCAUGAUAAUCCGAAAUUCGGUUGGGAGGUAAGUAAAAUAUGAUCAUGAAUUAUUUUACUUAGGAAUUGAACUCAGAUUCUUUUAAACAAUUUAUCCUUGGUGGGAUUCAUUAACUACUUAAACCAUAUUACUUGGUUAAUUAUUUUGAAAUUGCUUUUCUCCCUUUCAAAAUUUUUCAUUCGACAAUGAGUAAUUUCUUUCAAAGGCACCUUUCUUGAUUCAAAAAUGAAAAUGUGUUUGCUUUAAAAGUAUGAACAUCAAUUCUUAGAGAAGUGUAUCAACAAACAAAUUAUCUAAAAAUAGAAGGACUCGAAUAAAGCUAUAUUUCAUAAUUUUGUGUGUGUUUGCAUCAUACAUUUUACAAUUAAAGGCAACAUCAUUUUCCAAAGUAGCAUCAUUGAUGGAAGAACUCUUGCUCCAACUCACAUUUUGGUUGAAAGUGAUCCACGAUGUAGAAUCACUCUUCAUCAUGUAUUAGCACAAUAAAUAAUGAGUUUGUUCCUUGAAUAUAUAGAGGACGAAGAACAAGAAAUAUACUACUUGUAUAUUAGUUUAAAUAUUUAUUUGAAGACCACUGAGAACAAACUAAAUUUCAUGGCUUUCUUAUAAACAAAAAUAAGUCUCUGUUCAAAUAACAAAUAACAUCAAAUAAGUCAUGCAUUAUGCACCACUGAGAUCUUAAUCAUUUUCUUUUCUAUUGUGACAUGAUUUUAUUCUCGGUGGUUACUCUUUACCCUUUGAUCGACCAUUUUCUAUUGUUGACUGCUACCUCAACUCAUACAAUAUUUUUGUUCUUUUAAGUUAUGCAAAGUCGUUUACCCAAUACACGUACCGAGAUAAUUCAAAUAAGUCACGAGAUUAAAUUUUAUAUAUUGUCCUUGUAAAUAAUUAUAUUGUCGACAGCUCACAAUCAUUCAUAUGUGUAAUUUUAGAAUAAUUAGGUUAAAAUCAAGAGAUAUUCAUUAAUUUUGUGUACAAUUAUUUUACACGUACAUCCAAUGAUAUAUUUUCAUGUUAACUCAUAUGUUUUUUUUUUUUUAAAUAAACUUAUGUUUUCAUACUCAUUAAUUAACGUAAUAAAUGCAUGUAUAAAAUAACUACUAUACGCAACACUAAUUAAAUUCUUAAACCAAUAGUCAAGAUGAACAAAUACAUGUGAUGAUAAAAUAAUCACUCAUAUAGCUAACCAAAUGCUAUUUGUCAAUGUUUACUAUGUACUAUAGUAUUAGUUUUUUUCUCAAUUUCUAUACAGCCCACCAAACAAAAUGUUUUCAAACAUGAUAGCCUGCCAAAUAUGGCGAAAUAAAAAUUCGAAUUUGAGUUGGCCAGCCAAUCACGCUCUCUUUCCAACUUAAGCUGAAAAGUUCACGAUCCCAUCCUACUACUACCAAAUUCCAGGUUUAAUUAAUUAAUUAUUGCAGGCAUAAAUAAUUGAAACAAACUUUUGAAGAUUAAGAAGGUUGGAAUAUUCAAAAGUAUAAAGCAUUUCCCCCAUUUUUUUCUUGAUAAUAUUAAUUAACCUAACCUAUCUUUCUCUCUUUCCUCACGAUUUUAUACCAAAGAAUAUUAUUCCUAACUAAUCUAGGGCUUUUUGGACAUAAUAUAGAUCAGUCAUCUUUGUCUUUUUGGUCUUCUUGUUCCCUUUGGACCGGCUUGUUUUCUAGCAUUUUGUCUUUUGAGCAGAAAAAUAUACAGCAUGCGUUAUUGGAAUUUGGUAGAUAAGGCAGCUGACAAAGACUUUAUAGUAUGUCCAAAUUUUUGUUUAUAACCUUAUCCUUGAUGAGAAGCAAUAUAUUUCAAAAGCACAACACACAUAUUGACAACAUUCAUCAUUUGUAGUUAUCACUAAGUUGACAAAUAAUUAAAAUAAGCAGCCUCAAGUGUGCAACAUGAUCUUCAUUAUUGUAUUAUACUCCUAUUUCAAAUUGGUUGCAUCAAUAAAUAACUAAUUAAUUUUCUCAUCCUUCUUUGUACUGCACAAAUUAAAAAAUGACCAUAACCUCUAUCUCAAAUAUUUUUAAAAGUGGAUUCCAGUUGUGAAGAAAAGCAUCAAUGAUCUUUUUGGAUAUGUGUCCAAUUAACAGCUAGGUUGCUUUCCUCCCUCGUUAUGAAUUUUCUAGAGUUGUAAACAUUAUCCUCUUCUUCAAACCCAACUACCUGGUCUGGAAUAUAUUACUGCCUUCAUAAAUAAAUACAUUUCUUUUUCUUCCUUAUUUUCAUUCUUAUUUAAUAUAUAAUUUUGAAAAAUGUCAAUUGAAUCUUUUAUCUUGAUUUUAGAUAUUAAUGUAGUCAUGAUUUAUAAGAUGAAAUAAAUUAUUUUACGUAGAAUAUUUUAUCAUUUUUUCAGACGAAGUGACAAACACAAUUCGAAACUCAUACAUAACCAUGAGGUUCUGGGUUUCAACCCGAAUAAAUGAUAUCAACUAAACAAUAUUAACAUUAUCAGUUGAGUUAAAACUUAUAAACACAAAUUUAUAAUUUGAGUAUCGUAAAUAAUUCAUGGUGACAACUAGGGUACCAUGGAAGAAUGGUGGGUAAUUUACCUCAACCAAUACACAUUAGCCACAUAAGCACAUUUUUAAGUGGUAUCCAUGAACUAUCUUGACCCCACCAACAAAUUGCUCAUUUUCAUUGGUUGGUGGGUAAAUUACCCACCAUUCUUCAAAGGUAAUCUAGAAAAAACCAUAAUUCAUCCCUCAACUUGACAAGCCAAUUUAAUACUAUAGUACCUUUCUACCUUGGAUAAGAAUUUGAAUCACAGAAGGUGUAAUAUCAGACGACUUUAAGCAUUGCCGACUAACCCUACAAAUCAACACGAGUCUUUUCAACGUAUUUUGUCAUCACUCGCACGUUUACCGGUAAACUUUUUGGUAGGUCACACAUCCAAAAACUACUUCAAGUCUAACAUGCUUAACUAUGGAGUUCUUAUGGUAGUACCAAACAAUUCUUAUAAGUCUUCCUUCAACCAUAUAGUCUCAUACCUACACUGCUUCAUGAUCCCUCUCAUUCCGAUGUGAUUCGGUUCGUCUAUAAGCUGUCGGGAGCCGCUCAUUGUCGAGCCUUGUACACUGGCAAUCACUUCCCUGUCCUCGUCAAUCGUGGGUGUUACAUGAUAGAUUGGAAACUUAGGUUAGUUGGUUACAUUUUUUCAGUUACGAUAUUUAACAAAAUGCGACAUGAAGAGGGGCAAAAAAUCCAAAAGAAAAAGACAAAAUACGUCAUCCCCGUGUGAAAAUGUUAGAACUCUAUAGGACUUAAACGCAAGGGAAGCAUAUAUUCGAGAUUGGUUCAGACAAGAGGAAUUCUAUAAGUUUCUUCUUCUAUUUAUUUCCACAUCUUUUCAUGCCAAUUUCCAUGUCACUUUGCUAGUUAUUGACCGAUGCGUUGCUUUUCAUGGAUGCCGACAUUAUUUAAAUUUAUUUUAAAAGUUUGGACCAAAUCAUAUUACUCCCUCCGUUACUUUCUAAUCGCGACUUUUCCAGAAUUUUUUUCUCUAAUUAAUUAUCACUUUUAAAGUUCAAUACAACAUUAAAUAUUGUUUUGCCUUUAUUACUUUUGAUUAUUUAUUGUAGAGCGAAAAAUAUAUGCAAUGAGUUAUUAAAAGAUAAAUUGUUGUAUCAAAAAUUGUAAAAUAUAUUUGUUGUCUUGAUUUGUGGAAAAAACUCAAAAGUGAUAAUUAAAAAGGAAUUCAGAGAGUAAUACUUUACAUUUUAUAUCUGCUAGCAAUUUUUCUUAAAAUAAUCUAACAUUGAUUUAUAAAAAAAAUUAUUUAUAUCUUUAACAGAUUUUGACAGUAUUACCUCAACUAUAUUUAUUUAUCUUUUUUUACUCAAAUUAUAUUUAUCUAUCUAAAUGAAAAAAUUUACUUAAAACAAUAUAUCUAUUUCUCUUUAUUAAUUUCGAAAGUUGGGGGUUAUUUAUUUAGUAAUUUUUUUAGAAGAUUUAAUUAUUAUCCAUGCGUGAAAUUGUAAGAAUAAUUUAAGAAUCAAACUGUCGAUAACAACGAGAAAUACAUAUAUACAAAUUGUUUUCUAGAAGAUUUUUUUAUUCUUAAAUUAUUUUUUAACAUAAUUCAAAAUAUUAUUUAACAAAAAAAUUUAAGGAUAAUUAAGUUUUUAGUCCCUAUAAAUAUUCAAAGUUUUGUUUUUAGUCCCUACAGAAUAAAAUCACACUUUUUAGUCCCUCUGACAUGUUCCUUAAGCAUUUUAGGGAUAAAAAAUGUUGAUGGAAAUUUUUGACAGGGACUAAAAAUGUUAAUGGGAAAAUUUUAUAGGGACUAAAAAUGCUGAUGAAAAAUUUUAUACGAAUUAAAAAAUGUAAUUUUAUUUUAUAGGGACUAAAAAUAAAAUUCUGAAUAUUUACAGGGGCCAUUUCCUUAAUUAACCCAAAAUUCAAUUGAUAUUUAAGUAAUUUAAGAAUCAAACUCUUUUUGAGUCAUUUUAGCUUGCACUUGAAUUAUUUGGUCCGAUCAUAACAACGAGUUAUAUAUUUGGUUGCAAGGAAAUAUCUUCAUCUCAAACCAUAUUUUUUUUUUUGGCCAAAUACCUCCCCAGGUCCUUUAAGUUUCAUGUUUGUUUCGGAUAAAUCUUUUAAGUUUCUAAGGUUUCAGAUAUGUCUUUUAAGUUUGAAGUUUGUUUUGAAUUGGUCCUUUAAGUUUCUAAGGUUUCAGAUAGGUCCUUUAAGUUUCGAGUUUGUUUUAGAUAGGUCCUUUCUAUCAAUCUCCGUUAAGUCAAAGUUGAUUUAAUAGAGGUGACCUAUUUGAAACAAAGUUGAAACUUAAAGGACCUAUCUGAAACCUUAGAAAUUUAAAGGACCUAUCCGAAACAAACUCGACACUUAAAGGACCUAUCUGAAACUUUAGAAACUUAAAGGAUCUAUCUGAAACAAACGUGAAACUUAAAUGACUCAGGAGGUAUUUGACCACUUUUUUUUGACGAAAAGUCAUCUCAAACCAUCGAUCUUGUGAAAAUUCAUGUUUGAUGGUGGAUUAAAACAAAGAUCAAAUGUUUUCUUAUGAUCUUAAUCUUUGGUAAAUAAUCAUCUUGGUUGUUUAGGUUUCAAAACUUUUUUAUGUUUAAUUUCUUUUGAUUGGUUGUACCUUUCUUUAAAAAAAAAUUGUAUUUUCUCUUUUCUAUUUUUUGCACACAUACCUUGUGCUAAAUAGUCUUUUAAUACAUUCCUUUGUCUUUUUAAAAAAAUUAAAAGAAUCAAAUUGGUUUAGAUAUGUUCUCUUUCAAGAACUAAUGUGGAUUUUUGGUUUGACCAAAUAUUGAUGAUUGUUUUCCUUGUAUUAUUUCGUUUAUUGCAGUUGAUUUAGCUCGUUAAUGAAGUUUGUUUUUGUAAAACAAUGUAGUCCUUAAUUGGUUUAUAAAUAAACGAAAGUUGAUUUUUCUUUCUAUAAUACUCCCUAAAUAAAUAUGAAAGUCGAACUAUAUGGAGAGUUGAGUACAUUUGUACUCCUAAUAAAAAUAAAGAUGCUCCUUUGUAACAAAAAAGAAUCAAAAUGUUCCAUAGAACAAUUCAUUUCCGUUAUUCCAUACUUGCCGGCACCACCUAAAUAAUGAUAAUGUUAGUUAGCAGGUUACAUCACCUCUCUAAAACAUUAAACAUCAUCUUUAAUUGUUUCCAAAAGGUUUAAAGAGAUUACUUCAUUUCAUGUCGGUUCUAUAGAAGCAUCUUUGAGAGCUUUGCAUUGCAUUUAUAGACAUAUAUUAGACAUAUGCAUGUGUUUAAGUUCAUGCAUUGUCUACUUGUUAGAAAUGGAAUUAUGCUAUAAUGUCUGAAAGAUCUAGUUAAACGGAUAAUGUCGAUAUUGUUAGGUUGAUCAUUUUUGCCGAGUAUAAAUCCAAGACUUUACGUUAUAUGUGAGUUUCAUGUCGUACUUAAUUGAAUUCGUCUAAAAAAAGUUGUUUCAAUAUAUACUUACAUAUGUUAAGUAUUUGUUUAUUUGUACGGUGGUUGGAGGUGGCUGUGGCCAGCUAUAUAGUGGUGGAUCCCUCUCUCCCCACCACACUUAAACGGUUCAUUCUGAACUAUCCACUUCACUUUCUUACUAUCCAACCCAAAGCAAAUGGGAUGGUACCUAAAAAACACUUAAUUAAUUGCUUGCUAGCUAAUAUCUUGUUCACUCAAAUGGAACCAAAUCACAGACACACGCAAACAGUUGACAUAAGGAUAAUUUACAAUUUCACCUAAGUUUGGUUGAUGUUUAUAUUCAUUCUAUUUUCUUUCGUUCCACGAUAAUUGAUCUAUUUAUAAACAAAAUGUCUGAAAAUAACAUUUCACUUUCAAUUUUCAACUCAUAUUUUUUUUUUAAUGUUUUAUCAAUUAUACCUUAAGUGAUUUUGUAGAUAUCAUAAUUCAAACUUUAUAUUUAUGAUAAUGACAAAUAUUUUGGAAUAGAUCAACACUCAAUCUUAUCACUAAUUACAUCCAACCAAAUGACAUUCGUGUAAGAGAUCAUUCAAGCCUACACCACCAAAAGAAUUAGAGGAAAACAACCUCAUGGCCAAAUCAAGACUCUUUGAUCAUAAUCACACGGUGAUUCAGGAUAAUCGUCACAUUUACAACAAUUAUCUAAAUAUUUUUGGGACUAUAUUCUAUCCAUGAUGCUUAUAUCACAAAAGAUCAUUAAAUGAAAGAUACGCAAUCUAUUUUUAAUUCAACAUCUUGCUUGUCUUAAACUUUAAUUGACUUGAACAUUGAAGUUCUUACAAACGCAAAACCUUUUUUUUUAUCAACUCACACCAACAAUUUCAGACGUCCUCUACAAAAAAAUUUAAGAUCAAUAAUACACUAAUUAUUGAUUCAAGUAAUGUGGUAGAUUUAUAUUUAUUUACUAUGCAUUUUUUAGGGUUCCACCAUAUAUCUACUAAAACAUUAAUAGUAAGAUGUGAGAUCACGUGACAGGGUGACUUGGAUUCAUAACAUUGGUCCAUACAUGCUGUCAAUUUCAACAAAUUAGAUUGAAUCCACAUAUGAAAAAUUUAUUAUAUGGUCGAAAGAGUAUGUGGAUCCCACUAAGAUUUAAUACGAGAUUGGAUAAAGAAAGAAGCAUUGGCCCACAAUUUGGGAAUUAUAAAAAGCAUGAUAAAAGGUUGAAAUUUGGAAGAAGAGCAAAUUGGUUGGAAACACAAUUAGCCACGUUUUAGGGAGGUAGGUCCUACACGUAGAAAGGAGUUGAAGAUAUUAAAAAGAACACGUUUUGCUUUGUUGCUGUGAGGAUUGAUGAACUAGGAACGGGUCUUUUUCUUGCAACUACUUUUCAUGUUUUGGUGUUUAUAAUCUCUAUCCUUAUCCUUGUUGGUUUUUAAUUCAUCAAUGCCUCUUUCCUAGGAUGCUGCUUCUUUUGUUGACCCACGCUUUUAACAACCAACUUUGUAAUUUCCUUUUAACUGUAAUGAAUCUAUCUACCUAGAGAAACUCUUUUGUUAAUUUAUUUCUAUUAGAAAAAAAAUUAAAAUCUAAACUCUAAUUUUCCUUUUAUAGAGUUAGAUAGUAUCUCUAAUAAAAGGUCAAUUUUGUAAAUAUGGAUUAGAUUGAGUGUGUUUGAUUUCAUGGCAAGAAAAGUCAAAAGUGAUCGUAAACAUGUACAGUUGAUUUUGACAUGUUUCAUAAAUAUUUUUAGAAAUUUUAAGAUGGAUUUUUAUUUCAAAUACACCGUUUAAGUCACUCUAAAAAAAAUCAUUUUUACCAAAUCAAUUCAUUUAAAAUCAGUUUUUAUAACCGCAAAACUAAACUAGCAUUAAGUAUAGAGUUUCAUUUCAUUUCAUUCACGUCUUGUUAGUUGUUACUACAGGAUUUAAAUUUUGGACAUUCUUUUUUAGGACUAUUUGGACGUUACUUAACUCACCAACUAAAUUACCAAUAUCUCUAAUUUAGUAACUACCUAUUUUGAAUAAGCUGAAUCAAAGCCAAAAUAAAUUUGCUCAGUUUGGGCUGAAUCCACUAUGGAUAAGUUUGGUUCUCACUUACCACCUUAGACUAUUAUAGAAGCAUUGUUCAUUGAUAGAUAAAUUAAUAUAAUGAGACACACCAGAACCUCAAAUAUCGUUGUUUUUGGGGAAACUUUCUAGAGCAAAACUUUCCAUGGCCUUGGGGACGCUUUUCCUCGUCAUUUUCGAGAAGUUUAAAUGUUUAAUAGAACUUAUAUAGUUCAUGGCUUAGAUUACGUUACAUCCUAAUCCAAGACGCAUUUUUUUAUAUUUAAUUUUUGACGGUAGACGCAUAAUUUUAUUUGAAAGAGACCAAACUUUGUUAAAAAUUAUAAAAUAAAAUAAAAUAAAAAAGUGGAUCUUACUGAACGAAAUCUUACAAGGAUUGGGAUAUAUACGAAGGGAUAAACUCUUGAAUACGCCGCGCUUUCUUCUUCUUUACCAGCAAUAUAUAAUAUUGUACAGUUUUUGACAAUUUCAUUUUGACUCAAAACAUAGUUUAUAUUUCUUGUUUCUUUUAGUGUUUUAAGGGGAUUAUCUUCUAAUAUUCCAUCAAAAAAAGAAGCAGACAAUCUUCUAGUUCUAGUAAAACAAGAAGAUAAUCUUAAAUCCGAUAGUAGCUAAACAUUGUCCGUCAUGUAUAAUGACUGUACUUGAUUCAGAUUAUGAAAUCCAAAAAAGUGUUUGAUGUUGAAGGAUGUUUUUAACGUGUUUUUACACUUUUUGAAUUAUAAUCUGAAAUUUGUAGGGCGCACAAGAAGCUAAUAGGGUGGAAAAAGAAGUUAUCUUUUGAAAUACAUCCAAAUUGAGUACCCAAAAAAAGCCCAUCUAGUUCCAAUGUCAAAGUUCUGGGCCAAAUACCCAAUGAAGAUCGUAGAUUUCAGUUAAUCCAAUCCAAUAAUCACAUGAAAAUUGCUUUUCUCACAUCCAAUGUUUCCUAGAAACACAUGGAAAUGACCAAAAAAAUCCAACGGUAGUUAACCACCGCUGACUUAUAACUAGAAAAUCAGCGGUGGUUAACUACCACUGAAUUUUUUGGUCAUUUCCAUGUGUUUCUAGGAAACAAUGGAUGUCUAAUCAUUUUUGUAAAUAAAAACUCAUUUUUUGUGUUAUCCAAAAGUACACUUCUAAACAAAUUAUGUUUUUUUUUAAAAGAACUUCCGAACAAAUUAUGUUGUUCUAUAUGUAAUUUUUCAGAAAUGUAGAGGUAAAGAAAGUUGCUCCCUAAAAUAAUGUAGUACGUAGAAAAUAAUCUUACAAAUGUGAAAUAUACACAUUAAUCUUUAAUCACUACUCCUUCAUCUAUUUUAAGUGUCAUUUCAGGCUAUGUACACACUUAAGAAAAUAAUUAGUUACUACUAUCAAUGUUGUAGUAAACAAUAUUUAUAUCUAAAGUACCAAUAUUAAUUAGAAUUAUUGAAAGUGGUAACAAUAAUUAGGCGGACUAGUCAUCACUGGAGAAAGAGCCCAGCAACUGCGGCAUUUUCAAGCAUGCAUUAACAAAUGUACUUUAUGCAGUAACAACAAUCUUAGAAAUUGAUUUGCAGACAUUCCUUGAACUCAUUCGAUAUCUUAAAGACCUGGGUGUUGGUGUAAAACCUAAUAGUUUGAAGAGACUCGUAACUCUUUUUAUGCAACAUGUUUUUCAUAUGAAGAUCUUACUAAUAGAGGAUGUGGUAAAUGGUUUUGUCAUGUUUCAAGGAAUUGAGGAAGGUACAAGACGCAAUAACUUUGAGGCUUCAAAUAAGCUCUCUUUUCUUAGCUCAAGCUGUGUUUGCUGAAGCAAUAUCUUCUCUAAAUUUGGAUGAAUUUAACAGUAAGCUGCCACCAAAAUAUAGUGGGAUGGAGACCCUGAUGCUGGUUCAAUCAUUUGCAGCUGGCUAGACAAGCUUCUAUCAAUGAGGAUCCAAUGAAUGAGAAUUAGUUAGUGACGUGUUGAUCAUCUGUGAUUCUAUUAGGGAAUGUAAUCAUAAAGGGGGAGUAGUGGUGAGUGUGUGGGGCAUUCGUUCUGGUUAGUUGGUUAUGAGAGUUUCUCUCUGGUAGGAGUCAUAGGUUCUGUUAGUCUGGUUUAUUUUCUUUUUCUGCUGUAAGAGCACAUCUUGCUCGAUUUCUAUUCAAUAAACAUACUGUUUCUUUAAUGUAUAAUUUGUGGGUUCUAUCAAGGUGUAUGUGUCAUUUUCAAUGGGCUUUUGUGCAAUAAUAAAGAGGGAAAUCCUAAUAUCUUGGUUACAGCCACAAUUUCUUGUGUAACUGAAAAGCUCGUUCUGGUAACAAUCGAGCUCCCAAUUGAUAUAAUGAAAACUGGAAAAAUCUGAGUUUUGUUUUAUUUUAAUUAGUUGAGACCAAAGAGUUUAACCAUGGUAUCCCUAAGACUAGCUGGCAACCAUCUAAUCAACUUACUCAGUCUUCACAGUAAGGGGAAAACACGGAUUAAGAAUUCAACAAAAAAUGGCAGCACCAGGGAAAAACAAUGAGUGGGUAAACAUUCAUACCAAGUAACAAUAAUAGGCUAGCAACAAAAUUCUGUUGUUAAAUCAUGUUACAUAUGUAGCAUUAACAUGUAACAAGGAAAAUUGAGUAGUGAGAAUUGUAUGAUUUGGUUUUUGAAGAAAGAAUCUGCGUUUCUUAGUAUGUAUCCAUGCACCUUUUGGGCUGUCUACUUCACAAAAAGUGAACAAUUGCUCCAACUUAGUCUUGCAGCUGAGAGAAUGAAGUAGAUGUUUGCAUAUCAAAACACUAAACAAGCGUUGUUCAACCAAAUGAAAGUAAUCAAUGCUUCAGAUAUUUCUCGCUAAAUAUGUUUAGUGUUUAGAGUGCGUGCAAUAAUGUCAACAUCUAUAUGUAUGAGUUUACCCAAGUUCAUGUAAUGUACAUGACCCAAAGAUAUGUAAGUGUAAAAAAUAGAUAUUUUCAAAGCUCACCUGAGUCACAAUACUUUAUCCAGUUUGACCUUCAAUAGCUAGGCCCACUGUGAGACCAAUCAUUGCCCAAGCUCCAUUAGUUGCCUCAAUUUGGUGUCUCUUCUACAGUCAAAACCUUAAGUUGGUUAGGUUUAUAGUAAACCGAGGAGCAUAGUUUCAUUAGUGUUAUACUACUCGGUUUCUAGUGUCUAAACUUCACCUCGAGUUUUUCUUUUUCUUUAAUUCUUUCCAUUUGUUUGGCAACCAAUCGCUUGGCUUCGAUAGGAUCAACCAUGAUCACAUCCUUCUUUGAACCAUCCUUUCCUGAAGAUACCUGUAUAAUAUUAAUAUAAAAGAUGUAGAUCUCAUUAAACAUAAAUAAAAAGAAAAUGGCAAAAAGAGAAGGGGAGAUUUAAUAUCAAAGGGGAAUUAAAGAAUACUUUACAAUUUACCCAAGAAAACUUGUAUUUAAUUUAUUAACAAAGUAUAAUAAUAUCCAAAAGAAGUAAGGCUUGGGCAAGAAAAAGUUGUAACUUAUAUAAAUACCAUUCCUUGCAUUAAAUAAAUAAAUAAAUACACUAUGGGUCCUUUAAGUUAUUUUGAUCACACAUAAGUCAUUUAAGUUCGAGAUUUGUAACAGAUUGGUCCUUUAAGUUAUUUUAGUCACACAUAAGUCCUUUAAGUUUGUAAAAGAUUUCAAUUUAGUCUUUAUGUUAACCAAAACGACGAUGUGGCAGAAGGACUAAAUUGAAAACUUUUACAAACUUAAAGGACUUAUGCAUGACCAAAAUAACUUAAAGGACCAAUUUGUUACAACCCUCAAACUUAAAAGGACUUAUGUGUGACUAAAAUAACUUAAACGACCAAUCUAUUACAAACUUGAAACUUAAAGGACUCAUGAUGUAAUUUAACCUAAUUAAUAUAUAGCAAGUUUGCUGGCUCAGAACAGACAAUGCAUUGAUUUCAAGAAUGAACAGUUGAGGCUAAAGUUUAAAAAUACUAUUUCAUCGGAAGAUAACACCCUUUAUUUUCAGCAACAAAGCUAGGUUUCAAUAAUUAGAAUGCAACUAAUAAUGAGAGGUAAUUUUAUUGAAUCACAUUGAGACAUUUAGAUAUUAUUAAGAAAGUCAGAUAUAUUGAGAAAAACCCAAGUCCAACAUCGGAUAGAUAAGACUUUUGAUAAUAGUUUAUAAAGAGGAGACACUCCUCACCUUAUGAACCGGUUUUGUAAGGAUGAGUUAGACCACAAAUUUCAACAAGAUAUUCUCACAUUACUGUGUUAUGAUUUCCCAAUCUUAUAAUUCCAGAUUUUUAUAACUCCAGAUUUCUAUAACUAUAACUCCAGAUUUCCCAAUCUUAUAAUUUGUUACUGUGUUAUGAUUUUCUACCUCUUUCAUAUCCUGUUAGGUUCCUCUUAAGGACAAUUUUUUCUUUCUAUGUAUCUUUUGCUAUCUAUAUCAAGUCAAAGCAAUAUGUAGUGAAAAGGAGGAAGAGUGAACUGAACUUACUUGGCGAUGGUUAGAAAAGAGUGAUUAGUAUGAAAGGAAGCGAAUUGAGCAUUGGUUAGGGGAAUAAUGGAUGAAGAAGAAGCCAUUGCUCACACCCUGUGAUCUUUGCUUUAUCCUUUCCCAAUUACUAUUUUUUAUUUUAUUUUGAAAUUAAAACAUAUUUGAUAUUUUAAAAAGGAAAGUGAAAGCUUACCCCUCAUUUGAGUCCCACAAAAUACUCAAUUUACACACAAAAUACGCAUAAGUGAAAAAAUUGGGGUUUAAAGCCGUGUCAUUGUAUUCGAUCUAACAAUUUUUAAAAUGUUUAUGAGAUAGAACUUCUGGAAUACAUAGAUAACUACCUCACGUUUAGUUCCAAAAAAAAAAAAAACUACAUCAUUUUAAUUUAAUCCAUAAAUUAUAUAAAUAAAAAUAAUCCUUAAAUUAUAUGAAAUUUGUAAAUUUAUUUUCUAAAAUAUAUAAAAUUUGUCAAUUUAGUAUCUAUCAAUCUAAUAUCAUUUUAAAAAGAGAUUAAAUUAACGAAUUUUAUAUGCUUCGAGGAUAUCCAAUAGUUUUUACGUAACCUAAAACAAAAGCAAUUUCUUAUUCCCCUUUAACAAAAACAAUUUCGUCCUCUCGUGAGCUUAACUCAGUUGUUGGACAAUGUAUAAAAAUAUGUAAGGUUCUGGGUUCAAACUCCGGCCACUACAAAAAAAAACAAAAACAAUUUCUUAUUCAAGAAGAUACAAAAACUAUUUAACACUUAAAAUCCUUCAAAAGUUACACUGGUUAAAGAGGGCAAAAUGCACGGGUGCGGUUAUGAUGCAUAAGGAAAUCUUUAUGCACUCUGCAUAAAUCUAGAAAUGGUUUUGGAGUACAACUCACGAAAACCAUUUUUAUAGCAAAAUGGUUUUGGCAUAAUUUUAUGCAGGGUGCUGGAAACCAUUAAGUAUAUCUAAUGGUUUUGGAGUACAACUCACAGAAACCAUUUCUGGAUUUAUGCAGGGUGCAUAAGGAUUUCCUUAUGCACCAUAACCGCGCCCAAAAUGCACUACGCUAGGGUAAUUUCUUGGUAACUAGUAAUUUCGCUCGAACGCAAUCACUUUUUCUUAUUUGAAUUUUAGAUUUCUGCUUGCGCUUGCUUUAUCCAUGGCAACAGACCUUUCUGCAAUUCGUAUUGUUGUCGCCGGCGACAAGGAACCGGCAAGUCUAGUCUAAUCACUACUUUUGCCACCGGAAAUCCUGUUAAGGAUGUGCCGCCGGUACUCUUAUCCACCCGACUGCCUAAACAUCUGUCUCCGGAUGGCGUACGAAUCACAAUCAUCGACACCUCUUCCCGGUAUCAAAACAUCUGUGUUUUAUUUUUACAUUUUUUUAUCAAAAUAUGUAUAGCUUGAGGAUCAAGAAACCUUUUAGGAUUUAUUUGUAUUGAUAUUUCACUUUAUUUUGUUGUUGUUGCUGUAGUCCUGAGGACUGUUUUAAAGUUGGUGAACAACUAAGACGAGCUGAUGCAAUUGUUCUCACAUAUACAUGUGAUCGGCAAGAGACACUUGAAAGACUGAGUUCAUUUUGGCUCCCGCGUCUUCGCGAUUUAGGGGUUCUGUUCUCUCCUCUUUUUUCCAUCUACACUUUGUUACUAUUGUACACUGCAUUUGCAUUGAGAAAAUGUUUGCAUGAUAUAGUUAUAUACUUAUAUGGACUUAAUGAACAGGUAAACGUUCCGGUUAUAGUCGCUGCCUGCAAGCUUGACUUACAACAUGAUAAUCAAGAGGAGAGCUUAGAAGACGUUGAAAUCACUAUUCGUUGUUCAGCAUAUACAACUAUGGGGGUAUAUAUAUAUCCUUCAUAUUAUUACAAUCAACAACUUCAUUGUUUUCAAAUAUUAUUAUUAAAAAAGUAUUUCACUUUACUUUUCUUAUUGAAGGUCGCUGAUGUUUUCACCUUUGCACAAUAUUCUGUCAAUUGUCCUUUGGGUCCGUUAUAUUGUCGAAAUUCCAAGACUCUCAAACCUCGAUUUGUCCGGGCUUUAAAGCGGAUUUUUAUUCACUGUGACCUUGACAGAGAUGGCGCACUUGGUGAUACUGAACUGAAUGAUUUCCAGGUUUUACUUUUUCCUUCUCAUUUAAACAUCAAAAUUGUGGCUCAUUUAUUAUCUGAAUGUUAUAUAGCUUAAUUAUAAGAUUAUUUCACUGUAGGUUAACUUGAAACAUCUAACAAAACUAUUUACAGGUUAAAUAUGUCAAAGAUCCGGUGCCAGAAACUAGAAUUGCGAAUCUAAUGAGAUUUUUGCGAGACAGAUUCCCGGAAGGUAUGAAUGAACGUGGACUUACUUUCACAGGAUUUCAAUCUCUCCAUGCUGAUUUCAUGAAAAUUUUGUUUCGUGAGAUACCAUGGACUAUGCUUAAAAGGUUUGGAUAUAAUGAUGAUAUCAAACUUGCUGAUCAUCUAAUUCCGGAUUUGAAACGUGCUCCUGAUCAGGUGUUUCUUUUGAUAUGAAAUGUGGCCUUGUGUAUAUUUUGUUCUUUAUUUCUUUAUUAGACCAGUUUGAGAUCAAUUUUUUUACAACAUGAAACUUUCAAUGUAUUCUAAUCAAGAUUUGAUUUAACGUCUACAGAGCAUCGAGUUGACAAAUGAAUCUCUUGAUUUCUUGAAGAAAAUAUUUGUUGCGUUUGAUAUUAAUUCUGUAUGUCAGCCGCUCACACGUUCUUUAAUAUUUUCACUUUUUAAUGCUUCUCAUUAGUGAUUUUCAGACAUUAUCUCAACCGGAUUUAUUGUAAUAUACAAAUUGAAAUUUAAUCACAUUUUUUCACUCCUUCAGGAUGGGUAUUUGCAACCUGAAGAACUUAAAGAAUUGUUUUCUACUGCCCCGGAAAGGUAGAUUGCUUUCUCACAUUUUUUGCUAUACUUAUUUUCACUUUAUUAUCAUCCAUUUCAUGCUUGAUUAAUUUGCAUUGGUUUCUUCUUUAAUUGAUAAUGGGGCAGUUUGAUCUGGAAUGGUUCCUAUGUCCUUUGUUGUGUAAUUUUUCAAACGUGCACAUUCUAUAAGGAUCUGGUUUAUACUUUGAACUAUGAAUUGUUUUUUAUAUGUAUGCCUUUCCCAAGUAGGGAUUUCAAUGUUGACUUUUGCCGAUGUUAUUUAAUAUUUUAUGACUGUUAAUUUCAGUCCUUGGAUCGGAGCUCCCUACGAGGAUGCUGCAGAUGAGAGCGCAUUUAGAGGACUAUCACUUGAUGCAUUUUUGUCAAAGGUGCUCGAGUUUUUUUCCUUAGUCUCUAUUCCCUCUUCCUCGCAUUUUGUUGAACAAUGUGUGUACGGUUGCUGGACUUCUCUUCAGAGUUUUAUCAAUCAAUUAAUUUGAUAAGUGGUUUAAAUUUGCCUCAGUUUUAUAUCAUGUUUUGACACAUGUCUAGUUUGUGUAUCUUUUAAGUGCGCUUAACAUUUUAUCUGCAAUAUUGCCACGAAUUAUCAUUGAUCUUUUAACACAUACUAUAUGGUUUCUGUACAGUGGGCCCUGAUGACACUUUUAGAGCCAACUUUUAGUGUAAAGAAUCUGAUUUAUAUUGGUUUCCCUGGCGAUCCAUCAACUGCUAUUCGUGUGAUUAGGAGCCGAAGUUUAGAUCGCAAAAUGCAACACUCGGAACGAAAUGUAUUCCAGUGCUUUGUUUUUGGGCCUAGGGGGGCUGGAAAAUCUGCACUGUUGAAAUCUUUUAUUCGAUGGUAUUUUCAUUAUGUUACGUCGAAGCUUUCUGCUACAUAGAUACUAUACUUUAAUUAUCAAGUAUCACAACUUAUUGUUGUUAAAUUCAUAAUGCAGGCCAUAUCUUGAAAUUUAUGAUCCAACUAACGAGGAUCGUUAUGUUGUAAAUGUUGUUGAUAAUUCUAUGGUAAAUGAUACAUGAUCGACAUAUGGCCCGUUUCUUCAUUUGAUAUAUUUAUUUUUCAUAUCUUGCAUUUCUUUCUUCAUGCUCGUGUUUUAUCAUUUUGUUUGCAGGGAAACAAGAAAUAUCUUGUGCUGAGAGAAAUUCCUGAAGAUGGAGUUAGAGAGCUGCUGGCGAAUAAUAAGUCUUUGGCCUCUUGUGACGUUGCAGUUUUCGUUCAUGACAGGUGAAAAAUGAUAUUUAAGUGUUCAUUACGCCAAUAUAACAUAGAAAUUAUGGAUUGCCUUUGUUACAUAGGUAUUUUGUAGAGUACUUGGGUCAUAUAUUUGGUCAUGUUAUAAAUGGUUUAAUUUACUGUUCUCCCAAAAGACCCAAAAUGAGAUAAGAAGCAUAAACCAAACUAUUUUCCUCAAGAGAAACCCAACAUCCAUCUUUUUUGUCUGUUUGUUGUUACUAUUCUAAUAUUUUCACCAUUAAAUUACUUGAUGGUGUUUAUAGGACUUGGCGAAAUUACAACUCUAUCAUUGAAUUCAAGUAUUGAUUAGUUUUGUGUAGUCUGUUUGGCUAUUUUAGCUGACAGACAACAUUUUAAAUUUUUAAUCUUCGUUCUAAUAUAUACAAGUCACUAUGAGUUUGCAUGGUAUUCAUUAAAAAACACAUCAAAUUUACUUCGCUUCCAACGCAUCUAUGAACUUCCAAGUUAUACAUAAUUUCAUGUUCUUUUGGUGUCUACUGUGGACAACUCAUAUUAAGUACAUGAGAAAAUGUUGGCUGUAUAUAUCUUACUAAAUAUUCCUCAUGGAGGUCAUCAUCUGAACUCCUUGUAGAAAUUGCUCGUCACGGAGAAGAUAAUGGCUUUGAGGUGCCUUGCCUUAUAGUUGCAGCUAAAGAUGAACAGGAUUCAUUUCCAAUGGCUACACAAGAGUUAACUAGGGUAUUUUUCAUGGACUUAUUCAUUUGGAUGAUAUAUGAUUGCAUUAUCAUAUUGCUGUAGAUAAUUGUUUGAUGGUUAAAUAAAUAGCUAUUUAAUGUGGUGAAUGUGACUCGUCUUGUUAUUAUGAUUUCAUUCAAAAACUUUAUGAAUACCAACAUUUAGCAUUUUAGUUUGUGUGAAUUACUUUAAUUAUAUUCAAGUUGAAAUUUGAUUAAGGUGAUUGAAUGCCAGCUUAAUUGUCAUUGUUUCAGUUUGUGUCCUUUUCUUGUACAUUUACCUUUUACUGGAUUUUUAUUUUGUCAUCUUUAAUUGUUUCUACUGAGAGAUUGGUUUAAGUCAUCAAUUCAAUUUCCCACACUAGUGAGUUAAAUGCCUGGCAGUACAAAUUGUUUACCCAUCAAUAUCUAGCUUCCAUAGCUAUGAUUGAUUUGUUAAGCUUUAUAAUUAUUCAGUUUCAACUUUCAACUCUUAUCACAACAUUUUCACUUUCAAGUGUAAUAACAGAUUGUCAGGAAAAUAAUAUUGUAUUCUGUUGUCUUCCUUUGUGGCGUUGUAGCAUAUAUAAUCAUAUUACAUAUGUGCUUGAUGCUUAGAAUUUUCUAGCAACUACAAUAAUGCUUCUGACAUGCCAAUGUAUAUCGUAGGUUAGUCGGGACUUGGGAGUAGAGGCUCCUAUACCAAUCAGUGUGAUGUUAGGAAGUCUCAACGGUCUAUUCCGCCGAAUUGUAACUGCUGCUGACACCCUCAUCUAAAAUCGGAAAAAGCCGUAGGCAGGACCAUCAUUUAAUCAUUCCUGAAACUUAGCCGUGCCCUCCUUUAAGCAUUCCUGUUACUGAAGCUGGAAAUAGCUGCAAGCUGUAUGACAGGCUCAUAAACGAUCCUCUUCUGUUUGUUUCAGGUAUAUUGGUUGUAAGGUUGAUUUGUUGGUUUUUCAUCAAGUUCCCUUUGACUUGUGCCAACUAGAAUAAGCAUGUUAACUUGUUUGAUUUUUGGUUGGUGUGACUUGUAUGUUGGUUCAUGUAUCAUGUAUCUUUUGGUUGCAUUAAUUGUUGAUAUUCCGAAGCGUUCUCUAUUGUAUCUUUUGUUUUAGGCUGUUUCUGUUAGACACUUAGACUUUACCAAGUCUUCUGUUUCCAUGCUUCACCUAUUUUUUGUUUCAUGCCCUUCUAAUUUGUGGAGUGACAAGGUGGAUAGACGGUUUGGGGGAGAAAAAUUAUUAAUUACUUUUUAUUUUCUUUCCAAUUUUUGAACACAUUACUGAUAACUGGUUAUUACUAACAUUUGCAAUGAAAGAGAAGUGUAAUUGAGUUUAGGACGACAAUUUUGUGAACAAUUUGACAUGCCAUUUUAUGCCUAUAUAAUUUUUGCUUCGAUGUUUAUUGCAGCUGCAGCGGUGGUCGUUGGAGUGACUCUAUUUUCUGCAAGGAACAAUGCGCAGGUUUUGUGAAUGAGUGGAGUGGGUAUAACAGUAAAACAUACCCUUAUACAUGUUGUUUGGGGGUUGAAAUAUGUUGCUGCUGCAUGAUGUCGAGAUGGUUCUUUAGUCUUUGGUGUAGUGAGGGUCAAGCAAUUCUUUGCCUUUUGGUUUUUUGUGCUGAUUAUAUCGUUUUUAGACAAAUUGACAUUCCUUGUGCCAUUGUCUUUUAUUAUUGAAACGUUUAGUUACUUUUCCAAAAAAUUCAGUAAUCACUGAUCACACUUAAGAACCACUCACAAUAUGGUUCUGUCAGGAUCUUUAUUUGGCAAUUCAAUGGAAUAUCGUCAUUCACAAUGACUUAAACGAUGACAUAUUCUCAAUCAUUGGUACAAAUUGAUGAAAAAACCAGAUCAGAAACUGAUGGUGUCCAAACUUAUGAAAUAACAAAUUAGUCUUUUAAAUUAAGGAACAACAAAAAUUUUGUUUCUCAAUCAAAAUAUUUAUUUGGUUAACAUAACGAAAGUGAGUGUUAGAGAGAGUGUUGGAAAGUGAGUGUUGCUAGCAUUCCUCUUAACCGGAAUAAUCUCUUGUAGAUAGAUAAGCAUAAAACCUUUAAAAUUGAUGAUCUAAAUUUAGAAGAAAAAAAUGACUAAAUUAACACUCAUUAUUCAAUUUAAGGGAUUAAAUUACUAUUUUGUAUAUUUGAACGACUAAAUCGACCGGCCCUUAAUAGGAAGUAGGAACUCAUCCAUUACCAUACCAGCAUACCUACAAACGAAUAAUAUACAACCUUUCCUUAUUUAAACAAACACCAGACCCUUAUUUGUUGGAGAAAUUGUACUCAAAUCUCCUUGGUGAUGCUAAAAUGACACACACUUUUCUAUUUUGUAAAAAUAUACGAGAGAUAACACACUGGAAGACGGAGUGAGUAAAGUUUUCCCCAAAAAAUAUCAGAUUCUCUAUUCUAUGGACUUCUGUGAAUUAAGAAGGGGGGAUGAUCCUAAUAUCUCAGUUACAGCCACUGUUUCUUUUGGUAUCAACUAAGUUUGCAAUUGAUAUAAAGAAAACUGGAAACACCCGAGUUUUGUUAUAUUUUAAUUAGUUGAGACCUUGCAACCAUCUAAUCAACUUAGUCCGUCUUCACAGUACGGGGAAAGCAUGCGUUACUAAUUCAAAAAUAAAUGCCACCACCUCGGAAAAACAAUGAGUGGGUAAAGAUCCAUAUCAAGCAACAGCAAUUGGCUACCAGUACAAUUCUUUUGUAAAAUCAUGUUACAUAUGUGGCAUUAAUAGGUAACAAGGAAAAAGUAAGUAGUGUAAAUUGUAUGGUUUGGUGUUAAGAAAAAACCUUAUCAGUAAACCUUUAACAGAUAUAUUCACAAAGAAUGUGAGAAAGAAUCUGCAUUUCUUAGUAUGUGUCCAUGCUCCUUUUCGGCUGUCUACUUCACAAGUAUGUGUCCAUGCUCCUUUUCGGCUGUCUACUUCACAAAAAAGUGAACAAUUGCUCCAAAGUAGUCUUGCAGCUGAGACAAUGAAGUAGAUGUUUGCCCAUCAAAACAUUAUAGAGGAAUUGUUCAACCAAAUAAUGGAAGUAAUGAAAGUGAUCAAUGCAUCAGAUAUUUCUCAUUAAAUAUGUUUGGUGUGUGCUGUGUGCAUGUAAUAAUGCCAACAUAUGUCGGACCAGGAUUGACUGCAGUCACACAAUCUUCUAGCAAUUGGAUGUGCUACCGUUAUUUCAUGGCCCUUGGUUUACUUUAAUAAAAAAAAUUAGAAAAAAUACAGGUUGAGAGAGAUAGAGAGAGAUGACCGCAGGGAAUCUGUUUCCACAUAUGUCUGUAUGAGUUUAUCUCAGUUCAUGUUAUGUAUUGUCCUAAGUACAUGUAAAUAAAAAAAGUAUAUCCAAUGUUCACCUGGGUAAUGAUAUUUUUUCCAGUUUGACCUUCAAUAACUAGACCCGCUGUUAGGCCAAUCAUUGCCCAAGCUCCAUUAAUUGCCUCAAUUUGGCGUCUUUUCUGCAAUCACAACAUAAAGUCGGUAAGUUUAUAGUAAACUGAGGAGCAUGGUUUCAUUGUGUUAUACUACUCAGUUUUCUACUGUCUUUCACCUUAAGUUUUUCUUUUGCUUUAAUUAUCUCCAUUUGUUUGGCAGCCAAUCGCUUGGCUUCCACAGGAUCAACCAUGAUUACAUCCUUUUUUGAACCAUCCUUUCCAGAAGAUACCUGUAUAAUUAUAUGUCGAUCUCAUUAAACAUAAAUGAAAAGAAAACCGCAAAAGGGAAGAGGAAUGAAAUAAUUUAUUUUGUCAUAGAAAAGUAGAAGGAAGCAACAAAGCUGGGUUUUAAUUAUUAGAUUCAACUGAUAAUGAUAAAUUGAUAAUUAAAUUUAUUGAAUUACAUUGAUAGAGACACAAAUAUUACAAGAAAGUCAUUCUCACAUUAAGUAAUCGGUAUUUUAAAAUAGCUAAAGCCUAUAAGUCUAUAAUUCCCACUGAUUUUCCAACUUUGUCAUUGCUUACUAUGUUAUGAUUUUUUCCCUUUUCCAUAUCCUGUUAUCCUCUUAAAUUUUGAACCUACCACUUCUCUCCUGUACAUUUGUAUUUUUGUGCAAGUAAAUAUGUUGACUAUAGCAUAGAAUCACAGGAAGUAGAAACUAGAACAUAUAUGAAGUAUUGAAAUGUAUAAAAGCAACACAAGUAAAGAACCAUUUGAGAUCAUAACUAUAUACUUGAGAAACAACCAAUCUGAAAUAAAAGAUCAAUUAUUUUCAACCAACAACACACACACACACACACACACACACACACACACACACACACACUAGGAAGUGUUCAAUUAAUGCAUACAUUGGGAUUAGCAAGGACUCGAAAUGCUUGACUCUGGGUUCUAUUGGAAGCCAUGCUUGCGUCUUGCUCUCUUCUCCAUCCCCACCUAAAACAAUAAGGUUAAUCUCAUUAGUUAGCAAUAACAAAACAGCGUCCUUACCCUACAGGUUUGCCAUGCCGAUUCUUAUUCAAGCAGAUAAAGUCCAACAACUAUCAGUUAGAUUCUUCCUAAGGUCAAAUUUUUAUCCUCAGGGUGGUUUGUUAUUUAUUUUUGUCGAGUCAAAGCAAUGUCGUUUACUACUAUAAUGUUUAUAACAUCCAAAAAGUAACAGACGCUGGAAUUCCUAAAGCAACCCUGCUAAUUUUCUCAAAUUGAUCUGCAAUUUUCAUUGAUUUCUUGAUUGAAAUGAAUCAUUGUCUCAGAACAACUGUUGUUCAGGUAUGUCAAUGAUGAAUACUGUUUUUCAAUCAUUUUAAUUCCAGGGCAAAGUUGCAUAAAUUCUAAUUCCUAAAACUUACAAAUCUAUUCAUUUUUAGUUUGCCUUAAAAAAUAGAUAGACAAUGAUAAUGAUAAGAAUAACACCAGAUACUACACCCCAGAAGCUUCUAUUUCCAAAUUUUUAUUUCUAAAGCUUCAAUUUAACAUUCAUUUCAUGUGCUUUCACAACAACAAUAAAAAACAUGAAGAAAGAAGUGAAAGGGGAGAGUGAAAUAAUUACUUGGCGGUGGUCGGAAAAGAGUGGUGGGUAUGAUGAAAGGAAGGGAAUUGAGCGUUGGAUAGAGGAAGAAUGGUUGAAGAAGCCAUUGCUCACACCUUCGCUUUAUCCUUUCCCAAUUUCUUUUCUCACUUUCCAACUAACAUUACUACUACUUGUUUUUUAUUUUUAUUUUAUUUUCAAUUUAAAAAAACAUGGAAUUUCAAAUUUUGUCAUACUCAACUUUUCAACAAUUAGCAACAUACUUCUUUCAAAACAAAAAUAUAUUACUUCGAAUUUUGUUUAACAAUUGUUUUUUGAGUUUUUCUAUUUCCACCCCAUGUUUUUCUGGUUACACCCAAAUUUUUUUUAAAAAAAUUUAUAAUAUCAAAAUUGCCCUUUUAUAUAAAUUUUCUUAAAACUUUAAUUUUAUUCAUUGUCAGUGAGUUUUACCCUCUUUCACCCCAUAAAGCGAUCGAUCAAACAAUUUGAUGUUCAAUAUCAAUCUCUAUGAAAAUUAAAGAGUGAAUCAAAAUAUUUUUCAUCCAUACUCAAUUGGAUAUAAGUAAGUGAAUUUCUUCUUCUAUUUGCUAGUUUCAAUUUUUUUUCCUUCACCUGCACUGAUGCACUGUACGAUUACGGUUUUAAUUUACAUUGGCAAGGUUAACUUAAAUUCAGUUUAAGUAGGUUCAUGUAAACUAAGUUUACAUGAACCUACUUAAACUGAGUUUACAUGAACCUACUUAAAUUGAGUUAACAUGAACCUACUUAAACUGAGUUUACAUGAACAUAUUUAAACUGAGUUUACAUGAACAUAUUUAAACUGAGUUUACAUGAACAUACUUAAAUUGAGUUUACAUGAACCUACUUAAACUGAGUUUACAAAAUCGCAGAACUGUGAAUCGCAGAACAAGGAAAACACAAAAUCAGAACUGAGAACCCAUAACAAGAAAAACACAAUCGAUUGAAGAACAACACUUGCUAACCUGAUUUGCUUCGAAUUUUCUUUGAAAUCAUGAAUGGACGUGAGAAAGUAUGGUUUUGAAAAUCUUCGCAGAACACAAUCGAUCGGUUGGAGAAUUAUGGUUUUGGAAGAAGGGUUUUGGGGUGUAACCAAAAAAGAAGGAAUGGGCUUUUUGAAAAUCAAAUUUUAUGAAAGGGUAAUCUUGUCAUUUUGGGGUGCAACCAUGAUUAACUAGGGUGCAAGUAGAAAAACUCUUGUUUUUUUUCAUUUGAACAAAACAAUUAAUAAUGUAUUAUGAAUGAUGAUAUUUCAACAAUCAUUUUGUAACAGUUUUUAGAACAAUUUUCAUACGAAUAUCAUUUUUCUCAUGUAUUAUUCUAUAAAAUAUGUAUCUCUAGAGUAAGUAAUUUAUGUAACCAAAAAAAAAAAUAAGUAGGUAAUUUAAUUGCAAUUUUAACAUCUCUUACAAUUCCCUUUUAACUCAAAAAGAAUUGAAUUCAUUUUUUGUGUGCCUCAAAACCGUGUAUAACUAGAUCAGGUAGGAUUAAAUUUAUUUUCAAGUCAUUCAAAAUCGAAUCGAAUCGGAUAUUUUUUUUUAUCAACUGUACAUUGCUUCUAACUUUGGUUCAAAUGAUCUUUUGUGUGCCUCAAAACUGAUUUAAAUUGCACCAUAAACACUCUACCUACUAACCAAGGUUAGGUUCCGUUUGGAUUGGCUUAUUUUAAGCUUAUGUGGGCUUAUAUACUCUCAUAAGCCUUUUUAAAGGUGUUUGGGUAAAUAAAUAAAAAUAGCUUAUCAUAGUUUUAUAAGCUGCUUAUGUCAUAUUUCAAUAAGCCUAAAUUUUCAACUUACCCUCCGGCUUAACAAGGAGCUUAUGAAUUUAUGCAACCUCCUUCGAUUCUCUCUGGAUCCACUUUUUCAAAACAUAUAUUUUAAUUAUAAUGUUAGUUAUCUUUGACGGUGCAUGAGUAACAAAAUUGUUAUAUACUUAUCUUACUAAAGUAACACACGUAACUGAGAUUUUACUAUUAUUUUUUUAAGGAAGUUUUUUAUUAUUUUUUUGUUACGUAACAGAAUGAAACUGAAUAAAAAAACAAACUUAACUUAAUAACUUUUUUAAGGGCGAAUAUUGAUUAUACUAUAUAUAUAACUUUAUUGAUUAUACUAUAUAUAUAUAUAUAUAUAUAUAUAUAUAUAUAUAUAUAUAUAUAUAUAUAUAAUUAAUAUAUUAUAAUAUUGUUUUUUACAUCUUGAUUAAUUUUAUCAAAAAAAGUCAUGAUAAUUGUGGUUCGAUUCUCUGAUUUUUUUGUUAAAUUAAAAAUAUUUAAAAUUUUGAUAAUUGCUUAUGCAAUGUCACAUCCAAACACUUCAAUUUAUGUAAGUACUUUUUAGUGUACAUAUCCAAACAUAAAUAGUUUAUCAAGUAUAAGAGCUUAUGAUGUAAGCUCUAAUAUUAUAAGCUCUAAUGCUAUAAGCAUCUAUAUAAGUUGUUUGGAGUCUAAGUAUAGCAGAAUGAACUAGUUUUUAUACAACGUAAUAAAUCAAUGUUCAACUCUUAAUUGAAAGCGGUGUCACCUUUGUAUUCCAAUUUAUAGUGAAUGAUUUUAAAUAGAUUUUUAAUUAUCGCAUCCUAAUGUAAGGUUAUGUAAGAAACUUAAAUUUACAGUGGUGUAUUUACGGUGAAAACAAUGGAUCUGGAUCCUCUCCAAUUUGUUCUCUCCAGCAGUCCAUCCUGCGCCAAUAUAAGUCUUUGGAUUAAUCUGAAGACAAAAGGGAGAAAUAAUAAUUUAUAAUAAAAAAAUCUGCAUUAAAUUAAAUCAGAUAAACUGUGUUCAUCGUAUUUUUCCUUGUAUUCACAAAACCGUGAUUCGGGUUUAGGUCAAGGUUAAAAAAGGCAUUAGAUUUUAUUUUAUUAGAUUCAUUUUUUUAAUGAAUUUAAUAACUUAUUCAUUCCGUGUUCCCUUCAAUAAAAUAAAAAAAAAUAUUCAUUCUGCGUUAACAUAUUUAAUAUGGUCAUGCAAUCAUAUUUUACCGUCUUGUUGUAUUUUCUUCUCACCGCACCACCACUUUUCCGCCACCUAAGUCCCAAUCAAACCCGUUUUUGGAACUACGCCCAUGUUACGAAAAUUCUGCUCGACGACAACAUUGAAAGCAUGAAACAAAAGGAUCGUGAUGAGAUUGGUCGUGGAACAACGUCGUGACGGCGAUGUCUGGCCGCAUCUCCUCCGGUCGUUGUCCUUAUUCAAUCAAUUGGAAAGUAUAUUGUGAAGAUGAAUUUCAUUUUGUUUGUAUUUAGAUUGAUUUAAUUUUGUUUUACACAAAGUGAUUGAAAUUACAAACUUUAUACAUUGUGAAGUCCAUGGCCCCAUAAUGGUAAGAUUAGUUUGUUCCAUGUGAAAGGGUAUGAAAGAGGUCGAUCGAUAAUCCUUGCUCAAUUUUCUCCUUUGAGUUGCAGUGACUUGGACUGAUUUUUCAUAAGUGAAGAAGAGGAUGUGUUGCACAUUAGAAAAAAAAAUAACGAGAUACAUCUUUCUCUCUCCAUUAAUUGCCAUUUUCCCCCUUUUUUUGUGUGAACCGUUGGAGGAGAGAGGGCAGUAGACAAACAGCAGGAGGGGAUCCAAUUCCGAAAACACUAGUACUACUUCUUAACUGUGUACUAUUUGUGUAUAGAAGCGGGACUUGGUUCAGCUCAAACACUUUCAACAACUUAAACUAUGUUCACCAAAAAUUUCACUUCUCAACUUCCCUUCUACGAUAUCUAAAGUACAAGUAUUUCUUGUGUCUUUACGUGACAUAAAAGCCUAAAUUAACACAAACAAAACUAAAUAAAUGUACAAAAGUAUAAUUUCAUUUAAGGCAAAAGAUCAUGUUAGUUAUCCCACAUUCUCAUUGUUAGUGUGACCAAAAAAAGCAACUAGCUAGGAAGGUGUUUAAUUUACUAUUGACUUAAAAUUAAAUCUACAACUUAAACAAACCAAAAAAAGAAACAAAGAAAAACAAAAAAUAUUACAAUAUCACAAUACAGAGAGUUGGGUUUCUUGAUCUUCAUCAUCUACUUGAUGAAAUUCCUUAAUUGGAUGCCGUUUUCUACAUUCACUGUAAUAAACCGUCAUUAUGACGUAACUCAAAAGCACCACAAAUCCAUAACAAACUAUCACAUACACUUUCUCUUCAAAACCCAUCGACGAAUCCUCACCGUCCAUAGAUUUCUCUAUCCUCCACCUGAUCAAACUCGAAACCCACACAAAUAAACCCGAAAGAACAAACCCACAAACCCGGUUUCCCUCCAUCAAAUCGGAUCCGGUUUUUAUUGCUUCCCACCCGAAUCUCUCUUCCGCCACGGAAACCACCAAUCCGACGCUCAACACCGCCAUCAAGUAAACUUCGAGACCCGACCUGAAUAUGAGAACAAGGAGAUGCGAUCCAGUGAGUGCGUUGAGGAAGAACGGCAAGGAUGAAAAAACGAAGAGAGUGAAGUAUACGAAGAUCGACGUUACGAAAACACGCAUGAUGUUGGGUUUAAGGGAUGCGACGGCGGAGUUAACGGUGGGGGUAGGGAUGAGAGAGGAGUGAACGGCGGCGAGGGUGGCGAUGAGAGAGAAAACAUAAGCAGGGAAAGAGAAAAGGGCUUUGAUACGGAUGAGGAAAACAGCGUUGUCACGAGAUUCGUGCCAAACGUGACGAGCUUCGAAAUGGGUGGAAGCGAAGUGAGCGAGGGCUUCAAGGUGGCGGAUUUGGGAGGUGAGUUGGUGGGUGAAGAUGGAUUGGUAGAUUGAGAGGAUGGAGAGAGGGAGGGUUGUGAGGAGGAAGAUGGUUGUGAAAAGGAAUUUGUUUGUGGUUAGGAUUUGGAGAGAGUUGAAUAGGAUUUUGAAUGGGGUGAAGCAACGCCAUACAGCGCCGGCAUCGCACAUCUCUUACUGGCUACUGUCGGUGGAUCAUGGAGGAGGAAGAUGAUGAUGGUUUUAGGUUUCCUUCUUGGUUAGGACUGAGGAAGGUCGCGACCAAGUGGGGGUGGGGAAAAUGAUAAUUAAAUAAUAAAUAAUUAUAAAAAAAGAUGAUUUUAGGUUCCACUCUCUUUUCAUUUUUUGGGGUUUUAAUUUAUUAAAGCUGUUUUUUUUUUAAGCAAUUAAUUAUAAUUAGUUCAAGUUUUUUUUUUUUUUUUUUUUUACAAGAAAUAAUUAGUUGAAGUUAUCAAAGACAAAUACUAUAUUUUUCGUUCAAAUACAAAUAUGAUAUGAACCAUGCAUAAUAUAUGUAAGGUCUUUGAACCCGACACAAAAAAAAAAAAAAAAAUCUGUUCAAAAAUAUAUAUAAAUUAAAAUAAAUAUAUUAUUUUUUUGAAAAGAAAAAAAAAAAUCUAUACUCACAAAAUUUGUAUCAAAAGUUAAGUUAAUAUUGUGAACUAAAUUGGAACUAAAGUGGGUAAAGGGUCAAAAACUAUUGAAUCGAAAACUCCUUCAAAUUUUUAAUUAACUUAACUUUAGUUCUAAAAUGUGAAAAACUAUUGGGUCGAGGAAUGCUAGGACAGUUGGUCACACACUCUCUUAAGUGUAUGGUUCCACGUGUCCCUCCUUUUCAAUUUUUAUUUGCUAACCGGUUCAGCAGGUAGAGAUAUUUUUCAAACACUGUUUUUUUUUUUUUUUUUUUUUUUUUUAAUUCCUUAUUGUUUUUACACUUAUCAUUGUUGUGAAUCCAACUCCCCCGUCGUCUUCCUCGCCGUAUGCGGUACCCGGCGGUGGUUGUUUUCAGAUGAAGUAAAAACCUCUAAUGGUUAUUUGAUAUUUGGACUGGAAGCCAAGUGAACAUAUUUUUCCACUGUUUGGUCAAAUUCUUGUGUGCGGCGGAGUCCACUUGACCACCAUUGUAGAUUUCAUCCUCCCGCAACUGCAACCCAGAAAAUUUUGAGUGAUUCAGUGUUUUUUUUUAUGCAAUGUUUGAAUGUCAGCUAAUAUUUCAAUAGAAAAUCGAUUGAAUGCUUUGAUUUAUACAAUUAAUAAUUGAAGAUUUGAACAUAGGUAGUUGUGUAAGCUUUUCUCCAUGCAGGAUUAAAUAUUGAGACUUGUAUAUGGCAGUGGCGGUCCGUUUGCAGAGAUGGCUUGGCUUUUGAGAUGCCAAUAAUAAAAAAUAAAAAUAAAAAAGUAAUAAAAACAUUUCAUUCUUUAAAUGCCGGUAAACAAGGUAAGUAGAUAAAUAAGUGAAAACGUGGCACCAUACACAUAAAAAGUGUUUGUUGGAGAGUGUUUGAGUGAGUGACCAUAGCAUUAUUCAUUAUGGCUCGCCUUCUUUUGAACCUAUAUACUCUUUAUUUUGAAAGACAACAUUCAGGGUUAACUUCGGAAACCUCUUAGUCCUUAGAAUUCCAUUUGUUUUAUAGAGGACAUGGAUACACGCAUUGAUUAUCUACGAGAUUUCUCUAUAAAUUAUCUUGUGUUGAAUUGUUGAGGGGCUAAUGAUUGUAAUUUUCAUUCUAUUAUCUACGACAACGAGAUAAUUUGUCGUGUUGAUUUUUUAGCGCAUCUUGAGACAAGUUAUUAAGAAAAUUUGUAUGCAAACUGUUACAUUGGAUGUUGUUCACAUUUUUGCUCGGAUCUGGUGCCUCUGGAGAUCAAAUAAGUUUUGAGAUGAAAAAACAAAGAAAUAGGACAUAACACAAACUACACUUAGAAAAUAAGAAGUCACCAAAAAGAACAAAUACAGGUUCAACCUUGAGAAAAAUACAAAGCACAAAAAAACAAGUAGCUCCUAAAAGGGGAAAAAUACAAAAUCAACAUGACAUAAAAUCAUUAACACCCAAAAACAUCAAUCACGGUCUGCUGGAUCCUGAUCGAACCACCAUCUCCCGAAACAUCAAAGCUAGGAAGCACUUGACAACCUACAAAAGAAAUUAAAGUGAACAAUCCCCAACGGGAUGAGCGACUAGGACAAGGUCCCACUACCAGAGAUAGGGCGACCUAGAACGCCUCCUAUACAUAAUAAUAUUGGGCUCCAACAUACGACAUAGGUCACUUCUGACUCAUAAAAGGUACAUUGCCUAGCUUAACCACCCAAAGAUAUUAUAUCAAAUAUGGAGGGCCAUGUUACAAGUGACAAACACAUGAAUGACUGAUUCCUCAAUCAAUUCACAAAAGGAGGAUGAGGAAGCAUUCAGAUCCAUGAUCACCCUUAUUUUAAAAAGAUUAUCACGGGUAAUGAUCCUAUAACGGAUAAGCUUCCAAGAGAAUGCGAUCACCUUGACAUUUCCCUACAUAUGGUAUUUUGUGUUGUUAAAUACUAACAUGGUAACUUGUAUUAUGCAUACAUAUAUGUAAAAGGAAAUAUCUUCUUAAACACAGUUGAACACGCUAGGAAGGGACAAUGACAAAGAUCACACAUCUUAUCUGCAAACAUUAUGUUUACCACGCUCCUCGGAGACCAUCACUGUAAUUUAUAAAGAGAAAAUUUCAUUCGACUGAAAGGAUUUCAGAACAUAAUAAUUUACCAAGUGACAAGGUAGCAUAGAGAUGAUCAAUUGGAAGACGAACAUAGGAUUUGAAGUAAUAAGAAAGUCAUGAAUCCAACUAUUCACAAGUAACUUUGUUAUUUUUAGAAAAACACAUUAAUGAUUCUAUUUUAUCCAAAAGGUGGGAGAAAAUAUCUUUAUUCAUACAACUUUUAAAAUGGAUAUAUAAUGGACUUCACUUAUAUAUACCAUUAAAAUGGAAAUGUCAUUGACAUUGACCAAUCCAAUUAUAAUAAAUACAUCAAUUCAAUUAUUUUUUUUUUCUCUCUCUUUCACAUAUUUUUAUGUUCAAAAAAUUUAUAUUAAGUGUAGCACGGUGUUACAUUAAAUGGACCAAUGUCAUCUGAUAUUAUGUCACACAAUUGACAUCCUAUAAUACUCUAACUAUUUCAUUUUGAACUGCAACAAUAAUAAUAUUAAUAAUCCUUUAGGUGUUUUCCCUUUAAAUAAACACUAUAGUGUAGACACAUUGGAACCAAAAGAUAUAAAAAUAAAUACGGAGUAACCACUUUCAUAUUAUUUUUUUGUUUUGUCUUUCAUAGUUGCCACAAUGUUUACCAACAGGCAAUAACAACAUUAUCUAUUGCGGUGGUCUCCCCCCACAGAGAUAAGGUUGUCAUAAUCACAAGUCUAUCCCAGUCCUCAUCCAACUUCAAUUAAAAAUGUUGUAAGCAUGCACAAGAUCAGGCAUUGUCUCUAGCUAGUCGUAGAGGCCGUUGCAUCGUGCAAGAGGCAGUAGAUGGUAUCGUUUAAAUCUCCAUAAUAGUAUACAAAUAAUUUCUACUGACGAUUUAUGGGCAUAAAACUACUUUAGAAAUAGAAAACAAGGUUACAACACAACAGCGCACACUACUUUCAUAAUCUUUGACACAGGUCGAAUAUCAGCUAUCUCCCUGUAACUAUUAUGAACUUAUAUCUAGAUUAUAAGCAAAUAUUGUCUAAUCCCUACAACUUUACCAAAAUAUAUAAGUUUCCAGUACAAUGCAACCAUAAAUUGUCCGCAUAAACAAAAAAUACAACUAUAAACUGAUUAAGAAUAUAUAAUCUCAACACUUGUGUACUCCAAUGCAAAGUCAAUUUCGGGAAAUGCUACACUAAUCAAUUUGUCAUGCAUCUAACAAUGACAGAAUGUCUUAUUCAAUAUAUAAAAUGCUUUCUACUCAUUGUUUUUGUCUCUAUCUCCUUCAAACAUAAUAUCUGUUAUGUUAAAGAUCUUGGUAUUAAACAGGAGGAAAGAGUGAAGGAUUGCUUGAUAACAACAAUACAGUAAUUAACGAGCGAUCUAACUCUCAAGAUCGUACGAUCUUGCGAUUCAACAAGCCACCACCGAUCUGGAGCGGGUUGAAGAUCGGAGAUCGCGACGGAUUGGGCGUCGCGCCGAGGAAAAACGGAAACUCGGCGAAUCGUUUUUUUUUUUUUUCGAUUCAAAGAAGGGGUUUGGGCGGUUCAGAUGACGUUGACCUGAUCCGAUUUGGUUGCGACCCGGGUUGGUUAUUGCGAUUUCAACCCGUAUCGCUUUGAAAGGUCAUAAUCUAUCAUUAAUUUCGUUUUUUUGGGACUUGCUGGUGUUUAAUUGAAUCAUUAGGUUAGGAAAUUGGGAUUUUUUUCUCAUCUUCUCUGAAAUUGUAAUUCAUUCAAUGAAUCAAUUCCCUCUCAUAUUUUAUUUAUUCUAUAAAAACAAGUCCAUUGUGCAAUUCCUUCUCAAUCUCACUGUGCAAUUCCAAAAAGACAGUACUUCAAUUCCCUCACAUCUUUCACGUUUUUAGACGAUGUUUAUUAUGAUGUUUCAGAUGAUAUUAUAGAUUUUUGUAGUUACUUUUAUAAUUUUGUCUAUUAUGGAAGAUCUUACAAUCCUUGUUACUAUCCUACAAUCUACGCUUUUUCUAUAUCCCAAUGAUCUUUAGUCGGAUCCUGAUUUCGACAACCAUGCUCCCAUGCCCAAUCAGAAAAUAAUCAAUCUUCUUUAAUAUGUCCUUUGCUUCUUUAAUAUGUCCUUUAUAUAAAAAAAGAGCAAGGACUUCAUGUCAAAAUUUUACAGGGGGAUGCAUUCAUCAAGAACACAAGUUAAAACACCAAAUUUCAUUGGCUUUUUGGAUUGGUAUAUCUGAGUUUACCUACUACCAUAAACACUUAUGAGACAAUUUAAGAGAGCUUAUGGAAAUAUCUUAUAACAUGUCUAUAAGUUGUUCUCCGCUUAUUUUCAUAAUCUAUGAAGGAUAAAUAAAAACAAACGUAUAUCAAAAUAGCUAGCCUAUAUUUUAUCUUUUGUUUUGUUAUGGAAAUAGCUUAUUGCCAUACACAAACAGGACCUCUAACCAAUUAGAGAACGCAAUUGAUUAGGCAGAUUGUAAUCAUGAUCCAAACAAAUUGAACCAAGCAAUUGAGAGCAAACAAUAAAACUACCAAAAUCUAAGGAUCAAGGACUGUGCAAAAAUGAUGAAAUGAAACUCGGGUGAAGACAAUUCCAUUAAAAACUACUCUGAGAAUCAUAAGAUUACAAAAGCACAAUCCCCCACAAAUUAGCUUCCUCCAAAAUGGGAAACAUGUAAAAAAAAAUAACCUUCGUGCAAUUCAAGCACAAGGGUACUAACUACUAAUACUAUUCUACUAUACAUUCAUAGAUUAAAUUCAUUCAACAUUAAUAUUACAUAGCCUGAGAAAAAGCUAAAAAAAAAAACUCACAAGCUAUUUAUUAUUACAAAAGGGUGAAACCAUUGUUGUUAUUAGAGCAAUUCCAAAAUCGUGAAGAACCUUCUUCAUCUUGUUCUACAACCGAACCUUGAGAAGUUUGAGGGUUAGACCGAACCGGUGUACGGCAAGUAGGACACGUGGCAACCUUAAGAAGCCACGUAUCAAUACAUCUCCGAUGAAAAACAUGACCACAAGCAGCGAGAUUUCGACACCAUUGACCAUUACGAAAACCAUCCAAACAAACAGCACAACGAGAAUCGGGUUCGGAAACGGAUCCUUUGGUUAUCCGGAAGUUGGGGAGGUUGUUGAUUUCGCGAGGGAGGAAAGCGUCGGUGAGAGAUUGAAGACGUCGAGUUGGAGUAGGACGGAAACGGAGACGGUGGAGAGCACCGGCUAAGAGGAAGAGGUUGAGGAGGAGAAAGGCGGCGAAACCGAGGAAGAGGAAGAAGAGGGAUGUGAGAAGAAGCAUGAUGAUGGGUUUGAGGAAUAGGGAGAGGAGAUUAGGGUUUGGUUUUGGUUGUUCAGGAUCGCCAUGGUGAUGAUGAGGAGGCAUGGUCGUGGUUGAAAUUGAAGGUUUGAAAAAAUGGUGGCAAUAAUAACAGAAGCUUGGAAUAGGAAUUAAACAAAUAGGAAGGAAUAUAGAAGAAAUGAAGGAAGGGUCGGGAUACGCGUAGAUGUAGUUACAAAUCUAGCGGCGGGUACGGUCCACGGGUUUAUAAUAAAUCUAUGUUUGUUUGUUUGGGUUGGGGGUAUUGUUUAUAUUUAUCGUCGUUAUCUUUCUUUUUAUCUUCAAACCAAAUUAAUUCACGGAUUCCAUUUCAUUCCAAAGGGGCAUAUGCUGCUAUAGAUUCCCCUCCGUUAGAGAGUAAUUGAUGCCUCAUGAGUAAUGAAUGGGUGAGAUCAAAUCUCUGUAAAGUUGGUUAAACUACGGAUUUGAAUUUGGCGUUAUAGAAAAGCACACUGUUCCACACUGGAAUGAAUCACAGUCGUUCAAAUCACAUUGAAUGGCUCAGAUUGCACACAAAUUUAACGCAGUUAAAUAAUUUCAGUAAUUGAUUUAAAUCGAACGGUCCUCAUCUGUUACAGCGUCCUACUGUAAUAGCAGGAAAUCCAAACACUGCAUCAAUUGGGGUUGUUGGAUCGCUUUUAUAUUGUCGAGAUCAUCUAAUGUGUGAAGUAGUAGUUAUAGAGAGAGUAUUUGAUCUCGCAUCUAUUAAACAUUAAAAAUUGAGAUGUAAUGAUAGAGAUUUAUUGAUAGAUAAUGAUAUAAACUUAUUAAUUAUUAGUGAAUUCAUUUAAUGAUUUUUUUUCUAGUGAUGGGGUUACAGGAUAAAGUGCUUAUUUAGUACUAUUAUCGAAAAGUAAUAAAUGAAUGAUGUAUAUAUAUAUAUGAGACCCAAUUAAGUAAGGACUUUCAUGCAAUCCUUCGUCAAUGNCUGGAAACACCACUUCCCGUUCGACUUGCAUGUGUAAAGCAUGCCGCCAGCGUUCAUCCUGAGCCAGGAUCAAACUCUCCAUGAGAUUCCUAGUUACAUUACUUAUAGCUUCCUUGUUUGUAGACAAAGCUGAUUCGGAAAUUCAUUUCAAUGAAUAACUUGUAUUCAAGGGCUUAAUAUUCGCCGGGAGAUCCCUCCCAUAAAUAUUAUAUGGUCCUAUAUCACCUUAUGUCAACCCCAUAUCCAAUAUCCAUAAUGGUUAUUUGAUAUUUGGACUGGAAGCCAAGUGAACAUAUUUUUCCACUGUUUAGUCAAAUUCUUGUGUGCGGCGGAGUCCACUUGACCACCAUUGUAGAUCUCAUCCUCCCGCAACUGCAACCCAGAAAAUUUUGAGUGAUUCAGUGUUUUUUUUUAUGCAAUGUUUGAAUGUCAGCUAAUAUUUCAAUAGAAAAUCGAUUGAAUGCUUUGAUUUAUACAAUUAAUAAUUGAAGAUUUGAACAUAGGUAGUUGUGUAAGCUUUUCUCCAUGCAGGAUUAAAUAUUGAGACUUGUAUAUGGCAGUGGCGGUCCGUUUGCAGAGAUGGCUUGGCUUUUGAGAUGCCAAUAAUAAAAAAUAAAAAUAAAAAAGUAAUAAAAACAUUUCAUUCUUUAAAUGCCGGUAAACAAGGUAAGUAGAUAAAUAAGUGAAAACGUGGCACCAUACACAUAAAAAGUGUUUGUUGGAGAGUGUUUGAGUGAGUGACCAUAGCAUUAUUCAUUAUGGCUCGCCUUCUUUUGAACCUAUAUACUCUUUAUUUUGAAAGACAACAUUCAGGGUUAACUUCGGAAACCUCUUAGUCCUUAGAAUUCCAUUUGUUUUAUAGAGGACAUGGAUACACGCAUUGAUUAUCUACGAGAUUUCUCUAUAAAUUAUCUUGUGUUGAAUUGUUGAGGGGCUAAUGAUUGUAAUUUUCAUUCUAUUAUCUACGACAACGAGAUAAUUUGUCGUGUUGAUUUUUUAGCGCAUCUUGAGACAAGUUAUUAAGAAAAUUUGUAUGCAAACUGUUACAUUGGAUGUUGUUCACAUUUUUGCUCGGAUCUGGUGCCUCUGGAGAUCAAAUAAGUUUUGAGAUGAAAAAACAAAGAAAUAGGACAUAACACAAACUACACUUAGAAAAUAAGAAGUCACCAAAAAGAACAAAUAAAGGUUCAACCUUGAGAAAAAUACAAAGCACAAAAAAACAAGUAGCUACUAAAAGGGGAAAAAUACAAAAUCAACAUGACAUAAAAUCAUUAACACCCAAAAACAUCAAUCACGGUCUGCUGGAUCCUGAUCGAACCACCAUCUCCCGAAACAUCAAAGCUAGGAAGCACUUGACAACCUACAAAAGAAAUUAAAGUGAACAAUCCCCAACGGGAUGAGCGACUAGGACAAGGUCCCACUACCAGAGAUAGGGCGACCUAGAACGCCUCCUAUACAUAAUAAUAUUGGGCUCCAACAUACGACAUAGGUCACUUCUGACUCAUAAAAGGUACAUUGCCUAGCUUAACCACCCAAAGAUAUUAUAUCAAAUAUGGAGGGCCAUGUUACAAGUGACAAACACAUGAAUGACUGAUUCCUCAAUCAAUUCACAAAAGGAGGAUGAGGAAGCAUUCAGAUCCAUGAUCACCCUUAUUUUAAAAAGAUUAUCACGGGUAAUGAUCCUAUAACGGAUAAGCUUCCAAGAGAAUGCGAUCACCUUGACAUUUCCCUACAUAUGGUAUUUUGUGUUGUUAAAUACUAACAUGGUAACUUGUAUUAUGCAUACAUAUAUGUAAAAGGAAAUAUCUUCUUAAACACAGUUGAACACGCUAGGAAGGGACAAUGACAAAGAUCACACAUCUUAUCUGCAAACAUUAUGUUUACCACGCUCCUCGGAGACCAUCACUGUAAUUUAUAAAGAGAAAAUUUCAUUCGACUGAAAGGAUUUCAGAACAUAAUAAUUUACCAAGUGACAAGGUAGCAUAGAGAUGAUCAAUUGGAAGACGAACAUAGGAUUUGAAGUAAUAAGAAAGUCAUGAAUCCAACUAUUCACAAGUAACUUUGUUAUUUUUAGAAAAACACAUUAAUGAUUCUAUUUUAUCCAAAAGGUGGGAGAAAAUAUCUUUAUUCAUACAACUUUUAAAAUGGAUAUAUAAUGGACUUCACUUAUAUAUACCAUUAAAAUGGAAAUGUCAUUGACAUUGACCAAUCCAAUUAUAAUAAAUACAUCAAUUCAAUUAUUUUUUUUUUCUCUCUCUUUCACAUAUUUUUAUGUUCAAAAAAUUUAUAUUAAGUGUAGCACGGUGUUACAUUAAAUGGACCAAUGUCAUCUGAUAUUAUGUCACACAAUUGACAUCCUAUAAUACUCUAACUAUUUCAUUUUGAACUGCAACAAUAAUAAUAUUAAUAAUCCUUUAGGUGUUUUCCCUUUAAAUAAACACUAUAGUGUAGACACAUUGGAACCAAAAGAUAUAAAAAUAAAUACGGAGUAACCACUUUCAUAUUAUUUUUUUGUUUUGUCUUUCAUAGUUGCCACAAUGUUUACCAACAGGCAAUAACAACAUUAUCUAUUGCGGUGGUCUCCCCCCACAGAGAUAAGGUUGUCAUAAUCACAAGUCUAUCCCAGUCCUCAUCCAACUUCAAUUAAAAAUGUUGUAAGCAUGCACAAGAUCAGGCAUUGUCUCUAGCUAGUCGUAGAGGCCGUUGCAUCGUGCAAGAGGCAGUAGAUGGUAUCGUUUAAAUCUCCAUAAUAGUAUACAAAUAAUUUCUACUGACGAUUUAUGGGCAUAAAACUACUUUAGAAAUAGAAAACAAGGUUACAACACAACAGCGCACACUACUUUCAUAAUCUUUGACACAGGUCGAAUAUCAGCUAUCUCCCUGUAACUAUUAUGAACUUAUAUCUAGAUUAUAAGCAAAUAUUGUCUAAUCCCUACAACUUUACCAAAAUAUAUAAGUUUCCAGUACAAUGCAACCAUAAAUUGUCCGCAUAAACAAAAAAUACAACUAUAAACUGAUUAAGAAUAUAUAAUCUCAACACUUGUGUACUCCAAUGCAAAGUCAAUUUCGGGAAAUGCUACACUAAUCAAUUUGUCAUGCAUCUAACAAUGACAGAAUGUCUUAUUCAAUAUAUAAAAUGCUUUCUACUCAUUGUUUUUGUCUCUAUCUCCUUCAAACAUAAUAUCUGUUAUGUUAAAGAUCUUGGUAUUAAACAGGAGGAAAGAGUGAAGGAUUGCUUGAUAACAACAAUACAGUAAUUAACGAGCGAUCUAACUCUCAAGAUCGUACGAUCUUGCGAUUCAACAAGCCACCACCGAUCUGGAGCGGGUUGAAGAUCGGAGAUCGCGACGGAUUGGGCGUCGCGCCGAGGAAAAACGGAAACUCGGCGAAUCGUUUUUUUUUUUUUUCGAUUCAAAGAAGGGGUUUGGGCGGUUCAGAUGACGUUGACCUGAUCCGAUUUGGUUGCGACCCGGGUUGGUUAUUGCGAUUUCAACCCGUAUCGCUUUGAAAGGUCAUAAUCUAUCAUUAAUUUCGUUUUUUUGGGACUUGCUGGUGUUUAAUUGAAUCAUUAGGUUAGGAAAUUGGGAUUUUUUUCUCAUCUUCUCUGAAAUUGUAAUUCAUUCAAUGAAUCAAUUCCCUCUCAUAUUUUAUUUAUUCUAUAAAAACAAGUCCAUUGUGCAAUUCCUUCUCAAUCUCACUGUGCAAUUCCAAAAAGACAGUACUUCAAUUCCCUCACAUCUUUCACGUUUUUAGACGAUGUUUAUUAUGAUGUUUCAGAUGAUAUUAUAGAUUUUUGUAGUUACUUUUAUAAUUUUGUCUAUUAUGGAAGAUCUUACAAUCCUUGUUACUAUCCUACAAUCUACGCUUUUUCUAUAUCCCAAUGAUCUUUAGUCGGAUCCUGAUUUCGACAACCAUGCUCCCAUGCCCAAUCAGAAAAUAAUCAAUCUUCUUUAAUAUGUCCUUUGCUUCUUUAAUAUGUCCUUUAUAUAAAAAAAGAGCAAGGACUUCAUGUCAAAAUUUUACAGGGGGAUGCAUUCAUCAAGAACACAAGUUAAAACACCAAAUUUCAUUGGCUUUUUGGAUUGGUAUAUCUGAGUUUACCUACUACCAUAAACACUUAUGAGACAAUUUAAGAGAGCUUAUGGAAAUAUCUUAUAACAUGUCUAUAAGUUGUUCUCCGCUUAUUUUCAUAAUCUAUGAAGGAUAAAUAAAAACAAACGUAUAUCAAAAUAGCUAGCCUAUAUUUUAUCUUUUGUUUUGUUAUGGAAAUAGCUUAUUGCCAUACACAAACAGGACCUCUAACCAAUUAGAGAACGCAAUUGAUUAGGCAGAUUGUAAUCAUGAUCCAAACAAAUUGAACCAAGCAAUUGAGAGCAAACAAUAAAACUACCAAAAUCUAAGGAUCAAGGACUGUGCAAAAAUGAUGAAAUGAAACUCGGGUGAAGACAAUUCCAUUAAAAACUACUCUGAGAAUCAUAAGAUUACAAAAGCACAAUCCCCCACAAAUUAGCUUCCUCCAAAAUGGGAAACAUGUAAAAAAAAAUAACCUUCGUGCAAUUCAAGCACAAGGGUACUAACUACUAAUACUAUUCUACUAUACAUUCAUAGAUUAAAUUCAUUCAACAUUAAUAUUACAUAGCCUGAGAAAAAGCUAAAAAAAAAAACUCACAAGCUAUUUAUUAUUACAAAAGGGUGAAACCAUUGUUGUUAUUAGAGCAAUUCCAAAAUCGUGAAGAACCUUCUUCAUCUUGUUCUACAACCGAACCUUGAGAAGUUUGAGGGUUAGACCGAACCGGUGUACGGCAAGUAGGACACGUGGCAACCUUAAGAAGCCACGUAUCAAUACAUCUCCGAUGAAAAACAUGACCACAAGCAGCGAGAUUUCGACACCAUUGACCAUUACGAAAACCAUCCAAACAAACAGCACAACGAGAAUCGGGUUCGGAAACGGAUCCUUUGGUUAUCCGGAAGUUGGGGAGGUUGUUGAUUUCGCGAGGGAGGAAAGCGUCGGUGAGAGAUUGAAGACGUCGAGUUGGAGUAGGACGGAAACGGAGACGGUGGAGAGCACCGGCUAAGAGGAAGAGGUUGAGGAGGAGAAAGGCGGCGAAACCGAGGAAGAGGAAGAAGAGGGAUGUGAGAAGAAGCAUGAUGAUGGGUUUGAGGAAUAGGGAGAGGAGAUUAGGGUUUGGUUUUGGUUGUUCAGGAUCGCCAUGGUGAUGAUGAGGAGGCAUGGUCGUGGUUGAAAUUGAAGGUUUGAAAAAAUGGUGGCAAUAAUAACAGAAGCUUGGAAUAGGAAUUAAACAAAUAGGAAGGAAUAUAGAAGAAAUGAAGGAAGGGUCGGGAUACGCGUAGAUGUAGUUACAAAUCUAGCGGCGGGUACGGUCCACGGGUUUAUAAUAAAUCUAUGUUUGUUUGUUUGGGUUGGGGGUAUUGUUUAUAUUUAUCGUCGUUAUCUUUCUUUUUAUCUUCAAACCAAAUUAAUUC
Molecule: long non-coding RNA, 97081 nt
Filed under: Medicago truncatula (barrel medic)
Lineage: Eukaryota; Viridiplantae; Streptophyta; Magnoliopsida; Fabales; Fabaceae
Description: long non-coding RNA (MTRU_LNC002610)
Source: RNAcentral